UCUUAAUUUGUUCUUGAUGAUUUGAGAUGACAGAUCCUAGUUUAUUAAGUUUUACAGUUCUAACAUUAAGGUCCUAAGAAAUUUAGGAUUUUGGGUUUAACACUCACUCUGUAUAAGCCAUGUUAAGUUCUUAGUUCAUAUUUAUUUUGGUUUAUGCCCAACCAUAUUUGGGUCCUCUAUAAAUUUAUUUUGGUCUAGGUCUAGAUAUGUUCUAGUCAUCGGUUUGAUUUUUCUUUAUAAUGAUUAAUUUUGGUUAUAGUUAUUAAAAUGUAUUUUUUUGUAAUUGCAAUGUGAUUGUGCUUAUAACUUAAAAAAAAUACAUAUAUUAAUUGAAAAAUAUAUUAUGUUUAACAUAUGAUUAUAUUAAAAUAUAAUGUCAUUUAUAAUUUAUUUUAAUAAUUAUUAAAGUAUGUAACACCCCUCACCCGUCUCUGUCACCGAAAUCGAAUUACGGGAUGCUACAGUAAAUAACAGAAUAAGAACAUGUGAAUUUAAUUCAAAAAUUCAACAAAACAUUCAUCAUAUCUCAAUCAUUCAAACAAACGUGUUUUGCAUACAGUUUUGAGCUUAAAUCGAGCUUACAAAAGCUCCCAAACCAUCCAUAAUCAAAUAGGGUCUUAAUUGAAAACUUAACAAAAAGUAGAGAAAUUCAGAAAAUAAGGGUCACACGACUGUGUAUCCAGGGUGUAUGACAGACAAUGACCGUGUGUGCAUGAGUCACAUAAUCAUGUCACCAGCCCGUGUAACUAACUGCAACCGUGUAAAACUAGAGUCGCACGACUGUGUAUCUAGACCAUGUAACUCACUGAAGCCGUGUGAACCUAAAUGCAAAAACUUACAAACAUUUACAUGGUUGUGCAACUUGGCCGUGUGAGAGACUGAGACCGUAUUAAAAAUCUAAUGACCAAAUCAAUAGUACCACACGGGCGUGUGGCCAGCCCGUGUAAUAAACUGUAACCUUGUUUACCCAAAGCUUCCCAAUCAAUAUAGAGCACAUGGCUGUAUCAUUUACCCGUGUGUGACACAUGGUCGUGUGUUAGCCCGUGUGUGUCAAUAAGUGCCUUACUAUGCAAGCUACCAUUCAAAAAUUUCACUUAGGUCAUGAAUAUAUAUUUAACCAUUCUUUAAACCUAUUCAAAAUGUAUAAAAAUAUGCCAAAACAUAUCAUUUCCUAAAUCAAACCAAUAUGCCUCAAGACACCAUCACACAACAUGAUUUAACACCAAGUACAUUUCAUUUCAUUGCUAGAAUAGAUAAUGACCAAAUAUAUGCCUUAUACAUGACCAAAAUACCAACUUUCAAUCACAUAUUAUUAACCAAAAAAUGCCAAAUCCAUAACUUAUAAGAUUAACACCAUAAUUAUCCUACAACUCAUGCUUUUAACAUCCAAAUUAGACAUUAAGCUAUUGAAUCUUGUUUACCAACAAACCUCACCUAUUUGAACAUCACAUACCAUAACCAAACAUGCCAAACAUCCAUGAAAGUCUAUCACAUUUUCCGUACUUAUCAACCAACUUCAAAGUUACCAUUUCAAGCCAUAAUCAAACAUAUCAAAAUGUCAUCAAACAAACAUACUUUAUAAACACCAUACACACUUUGCUAUUACAAAACACCUAUAUACAAUUCAACCCCUAUUACAUGAUACAUAACCGAAAUGAACAAUUAAAAGUCCACCAAAAGUGGUUGGAUAGUGUGAUUCUCAAGUUGAUCUGAUCGCCGAUUUUUGUAAAAUGAUAACUACAGAAAAUAGAAAACGAAACACAAUAAGCUUCAAUUAAGCUUAGUAACUUCAUAGGUUGGAAACAAUAUAACAUACCUUAAUUUCCAUGUCUAAAUAGCAAAAAAGUUAACUGAAAAUUUUACCUCGUUACCACAAUUCAUAUUAAUAGGUGUGUUUAUCACACUGAAGUCACAUAACCUUCCAUAUUAGACAAGUAGAUCUAAAACCAUGUCAAGUCAUUAUAUCAAUAAACAUAAGAAUAUUCUUAAAUCAUUUAUUUAUGCUUUACUGCAUUAUACCUAUUUACCAAUCAUCCAAUCUAUUAACAAUAAUUCAGCUUGACGAAACUAUUAUGAAUAGAUACAGAUAUUUGGUUAUCCAAUCAAAACAUAUCUGAAUGCUCAAAAGAGCUAAACCAUUCAAGAACAUGCCUUAGAAUUGAGUGCCAAGCUCGUAAGCUAAACAUCCCUCAGAAAACACGCCUAGGAACUAAGUUCCAAGCCCGUAGGCUACACAUCCUCCCCUAGAAACACGCCUAAAUCACUGUAAAUAUUACUCGGUAAUCCGCAACAAAUGCUAGAUUCCGAUACAUUCAGUGAACAUAUGUACAUAUCAUCUAUCAUCAUCUCAUCUCACAUAAAACCUGUACAGUGCGGAAAUAACCUAUUAGGAUGCCAAUUGUAUCCAAUCUCAUGUUCAUUUGGGCUCAAUACAUGUAAUAAUAUGUCACUUUUCAAUCAAGUUCUUUUUCUCACCUUUGUAUCAAUUACAACAUUUGAGUUUACAUUUAAACAUUCCAAUUAUAUAAUACAAACAUAAAUAUUAAAAAAAUACCUAGAACUAUACCAUAUGAACUUACCAAGGAAUAGCAACAAUAGAAGAAGUAUUAGGGACUAAUAUGCUAUUUUUCCACUUCCUCGGUUAUCUACUGGUUGAUUAAUUUAUUGAUCUAUACGGUAAUUCAUUUCAAAUUAUUUGUUCUAAAUACCUUAUAACAUCUUACUUAAUGAAUAUGACCUCCUAUUAUCAUUUUCACACUUUUUCUAAAGUUUUACAUUUUAUUCAAUUUAAUCCCUAAAAACGUAACAAGCAUAUUUUCCAUAGUUAAGCCCCAAAAUUUAAAAUUGAACUCAUUCUCAUCCCUUUACAGCUCUCCAGCAUCUAAAUUUAUAAGAAUUUCAUGCCAAUUUUAAUAAAUUAUCAUUUUAGUCCCUAAACUCAAAACUAAUCAAAUUCACUUAACAAAAUAGUCUUAUUUCAUAACAAAGCUUCAAACCCAACCAUUAACAUCAAAAUAGCUUUAAAAAAAACAAUGAAAUCUUUUCAAAACUUUAACAAUAUUACGACAUAGUCCCUGGGCUAACUAGAUUAAAUUACAACAUUAUAAAAAACAUAAAAUGAUCUAAAAACGAGCUUCGAAUUCACGUACCUGCAAAGACUUAAGCUUGACCGAACUUUCAAAGUUCAACAAUGGUGUUUUGGUAGGAAAGAACAAGUAAAUGAAGAAGAUAACUUUAAAAUCCUAUGUUUUAAAUUUUAUUAUUAACAUUAUUUUAUGUAUAAAUUAAUCAAAAUACACCUAAUAACCAUCCACUAUAAAAAAAUAUGGCAUAAUUGCCAUUUUAAAACCAUCAAAUUAUUCUUUUAAACUCAUUUAGUCCAUAUAAAUUAAGAGCGAUUAACUUUUAUAGUUUUUAUGAUUCAGUCCUUGCACCUCAAUAACUAAUUGAUCAAAAAAAUUACUAGACCAAAAAUCAUUAUAACACUAUAAAUGACCCGUAAAUGCCCACUCAUUAGAAUUGUGGUCUCGAAACCACUAUUUUUGACACCAUUAAAAAUAGGCUCUUACAAAAUAUUUUUAUAAUUUAUUUAUUUUUAUUAUUUUUAAUUGAAAAAUUUUGAAUAUAAAAAUAAAUAGAAUAAUAAAUAAUUAAUAAAAGGUAAAGUUGUCCUUUUAUUCAAAAUUCAUUUAGUAAAUAAAACUUGGUGGGUUAGUUUUUUCUAUCAAACCUGGGGGGUGGGGAGACUUCAAGGGGUUCCAAUACUUUUCUCUAUCAUUUUUAAGAAAAAAAAUGAGUUAUUUGGUAGGUAAAGCAAGGUUUGAGCUUGACCUGGAAUUUUCUUUGGAAUUGGGUUUAGGCCUAACUUGACUCAGCCGAUGAGCACCUCUAUCAUAAACAAGUUUAUUUAGUUCAAAUGAAUGAACAUGAAUGCAUGUAAUUUUAAAUAAACAAACAUGAAUUAAACACAAAUAAGAUUAAAAAUUUAAAUAAAAACAUAAAUUUGUUUAUAAACAUAGAGGAUUAAAAUUUUAAAUAAACUAAUCUUAAAUAAACUAAUUUAUGUUUCUAUUUAUUCAUUUGAGUAAACCUUGACCAUUCACGGUUGGACCUAAUACACGAACCUUAGAAAAAAAAAUUGUUUAUAGAUGUCAAGAGUGAAGCUUUACCUAAAUGUCAAAAGUUUUAAAAGUCUCUCAAAUAAAUGUUUGAAAACAAUUCUAGUUAUAAAGAUAUUAAUGGUUUGUUAAAAAGAAUUAUGUUAUGGAUAAUGGUGAUAAUGAACAAAAGUUCAUUACGUUUAUGAAAGGAAAAGGGAAUCAUUCAAUAUUAUAGGAAAAUGUUAAGAGAGAACCCCAUAACUACUUGUAUAUAUGUUCCACCAACGUAUGCUUUCUAAAAUAUCCAAACAGUGAAGCUCCAUGAACCUUGUCAUAAUUUUGGAUUAAUUUCACUUUUUCUACUUUGCUAAAGUAAUAUCGAGUGAAACAUUUGCUACGGAAUACUUCUUGGAGAUGACACUUUACAUGGCAAUCUUGUUCUAUAAGUGAGUUAUUUCAUGAUAGUAUUAUUCUUAGAUGAAGUUGCUCUAAACAAUUAUUAUUCUUGAGCAAACAACUAUUUAGAAGAAGACUUGUUUUGGAAAAAAUUGUUCUAAACAUAGUUGUUCUUGGUAGAGGUUCUAAACAUCAACUAUUUUAAAUAUAAUAGGUUUUUGGUUGAGGCUUCUAUCAUGUUCAUCAAUUCUUGAAUAAAGGUAAGAAUAAGAGUAUUUUGAUUUUUAGUAGAUUAUCCAUGUCUUCUAAUAAGUUUAGCGUUGAAGAUUUUAGUCAUCUAAUGCUAUCACUCCUUCAGAACAAAAUUGUCAAAAUGUAAAGGGUUUUUGGUUUAGAGAGAAAAAGUUGCAAACAAGGAAAACAUAAUGUACCAAGACAUCACAAAGAAAGAUUGAAGCAAACCAACAACUAGUGGUUCGUAAGGUGGAGAAUUGUUGAAGUAGACUACUUGUGGAUAAGAAUAAACUUGAGAAAAGGAACAUGUUGAUAGAACUUUAAAAAGUUUUUAAUGGAAUAUGAAUUGCUAAAAUGCUAAAAUCCCCUUACAAGUUGUGAAGGGCUUUUAAUUAUAGAUGUAAAAAUAAUAGUUAUAUAGUUAUACAUUAAAUAAGAUAAAGAGAAAGAUUUUCAAUUACAAAAGACAUUAAUAUGUUUUAUUAAUAAAGUUUAACCACCUUUUGAUAAUAACUGCAUAGUAAACAAAAGUUCACCACAAUUCCAAAGACAAGGAAAAUCACUUGAUGCUACAUGAAGGGAAAUCACUUGGUUCACACUAAUCUCUAAACUUGAUAAAAUUUUCUAUUUUUGGUCUAUAUGAUGAUGUGGCACUUUGAGAUUGUGUCAUGUCAUUAGUUAUAUUUUAGAAAAAAUAUAAAUUUUGAUGUAAUGAUGUGACAUAAUAUAAGUGUAACACCCUACGCUUGAACUGGUUGUCGGAUUCGGGUAUGGAUCAUUAUAGGUUGACCGGAUUCGAAAAACACACCUAUGUACUUUUCUUUAAAGAAAAGCUCAUUAUCCUUAUGGUGGGUACCUCCUUCAUCAGAGUGGUAUUCCUUUAGUUCAAGACCAUUUUUGUAACAACCCUAACCCGUAUCUGUCUCCAGAAUAAGGUUAUGAAGCAUUAUCAAACUUUUCACAUAAACAAUCAUACAUUUUCAUAUUCAUUUCUCAUAUCCAAGCAAUAGUCAUUCAAAUUCAAUCAUAUAGUCCCUAACACAAGCCCUCAAGGCCCAAAAAAAGCAUUAAAAACAAAUUGAGACUAAAUUGAAAACUCAUAGAAGUUUUGGAAAAACAUUGAAAAUUUACAAAGUGCUGGGGACACAUGCCCGUGUGGCCAGGUCAUGUGUCUCACACAGUCAAGAGACACGUCCAUGACUCAGUCCAUGUGGGCAUUCGAAAUGGGAUCGCAUGGCCGUAUCCUAGCUAGUGUCCAACCCCAUGUAACUCACUGACUUGGGUCACACGGCCAACCACACGCCUGUUUGACUAGCCCGUGUAGCUCAUUGACUUACUUUCAUUAGAAAUUUUAGGGGACACACGGUCGUGUCUCCUGACCGUGUGUCACACAGGCCUGCGUUUCUGCCCGUGUGGACAAAAAUAAGCUAUUUUCUAAGCCAGAUUUCUCACCCAAAUAGGUACCAACCUAAGCUCAAUAAUGCAUAUACAACCAUGGCAUAAAUAAGCAUUCAAAACUAACCAAUACCAAGUUUAUAACAUGUAAUAUCCACACAUACAACAUGAUAUCCAUAAGCACAUUCAUUUGACCACUUUAAAGCAUACCAAAUAUACUUCCAAAGUCUAGUUAAAUGGUUAAUUACAUAUAUGAGACAUUGAACCUAAAACUUAGAAUGCAAGCUUAUCUCAAUUCCAACCAUUUGGUUCCAAAACACAAUUUCACAAGCAAGGCAUUCAUAUAGCAACUAUACACCACAUAUCACAAGGCCAUUUAUACAUAUAUACAUAUCAAAAUAUAUGACCACUUUUCAAGCCAAUUCAAAUGGCCUAAACUCAUCAAGACAUAUAGGCUAAAUUAGCCAAAAUACCUAUACAUGUCAUUUAACCAAAAUAUAGAGAUUCAAAAGUACCAAAACGAGAGCUUGAUAGUGAGACACAAUCUCCGAUAACUUUCAAUUCGAAUGAGCUUCCGAUUCAGUAUUAAAACACGAAAAAUUAAACAGAGUAAGCAAUUAAGCUGUAACAUAAAACUCAGCUUACCAUUUAAUCAUAAUUUAAGUAAUUAAACAUAGCAUAAUGCAACUCAAUUUGAUCCAUAAGCCUAACACAUGUUCAUCCACAAGAUUAGACAUGAAAUAACAAACCUCAUAGAUUCAAUUCUCACAUGAUUGACAUACAUACCUAUACUAGUUCAUAUCGAACUCAUACACUUUCGUAAUAACACUGUGCCCGUUGAACUAUUUGGAAUAAUAUCGGAUACUCAGGUAUCUCGCACACUUAGUGCUAAUACAUGGUCGAAACCAUCUCUAUCUCAUAUAGAUGCUCACUCUCGAGCCAUCACUAGGUCUGCUCACACAAGCUGACGGUCAAGACGUAGCUACACGGUGCUACUCACACAAGCUAUCGGGUAACCGCAACACAUGCUAGAAAACUUAGCCAUCGGUAGAACGUAUGGGAUCAACACCCAAAACACGAUUAUUCCUAAUGACAUGUCAUUUGUACCUAUCUAUUCCUAACGUUCGAUCGGGAUCCAUACACUUGCCGAUAUCUUGUCGAGAAUUUAUGUAGUAUCGUAUCAACUAAUAUUUCAAUUAAUCAUGUAAACAUAUAUAUAAUUUAAAGCUUAUUAAUAUAUGAACUUACCUUGAUCUCGUACGAUGAAAAUUUAUCGUUUAAUCGAUAACUUUAUCUUUCCCUCGAUCUAAUUCCGUACUUCGCUUUUCUUGAUCUAUGUAAUCAAAUUUAACUCAUUUAAUCAUUAAUCUAUUAAAUUCAAUCCAAAGUUCAUGUUAUGACAAAAUUACUAUUUUGGCCCUAAACUUUUGGCUUCUUUAUAAUUUAGUCCUAAACUCAUAAAAAUGCAAAUUCAUGCAAUUCAAUUUCAGCCCAUGCUAGCUGAAUAUCAUAUAGGUCCCUAGCAAGCCUUAUAUUUCAUUUAUUUCACAAUUUCACCAUGUAUAUUACAUAUUUUAAUUAAAUCCCUAUUUGACAAUUUUACUAAAAAUCACUUAACAAAUGUUGUUUAACUAACAACAAAGAUUCAUUUUCUUCCAUCAAACAUCAAAACACAUACACAUUCGUCAAUGGUGAAACCCUAACUCUUUAACACUUUUGCAAAUUAGUCCCUGGGCUAGCUAGAUUAAGCUACAACGACUUCAAAACCAUAAAAAUCAUUAAAAACCGAGCAAAAUUGCACUUACAUGCAAGGGAGAAAGAUGGUUGAAUGUUCAAUCUCCUUCCAUGGAGUUUCCUAGGUCUAAUUUCAGUGGUGGAUGAUGGAAAAAGAUGAUAGCCAUAUUUUAUUUUACUUAAUUUAUCAUUAUUUACCUAUUUACUAAUUUAACCUUUAAAAACAUUAAAAUUUAUACAAAUGCCAAGCCAUUAUCAUCCACUAAAAUUUUAAUUGUAUAAUUGCCAUAUAAGGACCUCUACAUUAAAGUUCAAUAGCUAUUAAACACUUUUAGCUAUUAGAACCUAACUUUUACACUUUACGCGAUUUAGUCCUUUUCAUCAAAUAAAACAUGUAAAUGAUAACAUUUCUUAACGAAAUUUUCAUAUGACUCUAAUAACAUUGUGUAACCAUUAAAAUAAUAAUAAAAUAAAUAUUUUCACUUCGGAUUUGUGGUCCCAAAACCACUGUUCCAAUUUCACUAAAAACGAGCUGUUAUAAUUUUAGUUUGGAAGCGCAAUUUAAAUAAAAACUCACUGCGUUAAGGAUGCAUGGAAUAACCCUUUGGUGGCCACUUAAUUAACAUUAAUAAGUCAUAAUAGCAUUUGAUCAUCAAAGCUUCCAUUCAACAUUCAACGUUUUCAAAGUAUUGUUCAAUAAAUAUUAAAAUUUCAAAUUGGCGGUUUCUAAGAAUUGGCCUAAUAGCCCCAGUAAAUGCAUGUUAACUUUGAAAUUAAGAAGGCUCAUAAAUGGUCGUAGAUCUAGCUGUAUCCCUUCGAUCACCUCGCUUAACCUAAGAACUUGAAAGGAAGAAGAAACUGGGUAAGUUCGUAAGAACUUAGUGAGUUCUUGGGAAAAAAAAUCCCACCUUAGUUAGUAUCAGACAUUAAGACAAAAAGACUUGACUAGAUCACCCUAUUUGGCAGAUACAUUACCUUGUCUUGUAGAUCAACUGGCGAAUGAUACCGCAAAUCAACUCAGCUUAUUGGUGAACAACACUGGUUUCUAUAAUCAUAUAUGAUAAUCACGGGCACAUAUUUUCCGCGAAUUUGCCACUUGUGUGGACUACCAUUUUUGAUAGAUAAGCUUACUGUUCAUGCUUUCAUGCAACAUGCAAUACCACAUACACUGUUUUUCUACGUCCUCUCUUUUUUAUGCUAGGUUCUGAUCCCUAUUCCUGAAGAACCAAAAUUUUCCUGUAUCUUCAAAUUCACUUGUUUGAGCCCUAACUUUUUUCCUUGUAUGAACACAUAAGUAUUCUACCGCAAGGUCGAGUUUUCACCAAUCAUGAUUUGUAUCUAAGUGUCAUCCAAAGGCAAAACAUAAUUUCAUGUAUCUUCGUUAUCAUUAUAUACAACAUUCCUCCGAUACCUUCUUACACCCAUCUAGAUGCGAAGCUUGUGCACCAAGGAAUGAGUACUUAUACUGUGUAUAUACCAGGUUUUUUGGGCCUGUUUAACCAUGCAUGCAUUGACUCUUUGAAUGAUACUCUUCAGACAUGAACUUCAAAAAUAAAUAACUAAGUCACUUACCUAGCUUAAUGAAGUUUAGAGGUAAAUAAACUAAUGCAGAUACCAGACAUAAAGUGCAAAGGAACUCACCAGAAUACUUUAUUCAGAGCUUUAUCUACUUUACUAGUUCUUUUCCUUUAGCACACAUGAACUUCAGAAAUAAAUAACUAAGUCACUUACCUGGCUUAAUAAAGUUUAGAGGUAAAUGAACUAAUGCAAAUACCAGACACAAAGUACAAAGGAACUCACCAAAAUACUUUUCUCAGAACAUUAUCUACUUUACUGGUUCUUUUCCUUUAGCACUGGGACCUUUUCCCGUUUCUUUAUCUAAACAAUAAAACAACUUUUUUAACUAUCAAAUAUAACCAAAAACUUAUGAUACAACAAAAGUCUAUAGACAUGCAAACGAUUUUUGGAUAAGAGUUUCCUUCCUACCCUAGAUUCAAAGAAAUCCUAUCAAUCAUUUCUCAAGUUAGUUUCUACCUAUUUGGUAAAACUUCAAGGAAGGUUUAAGAAUUUACCAGCAAACAACUAGCAUAGAAGUUCUCCUAAACUUUUACAAUUAACACCCUUGUUAGCAAAGAAGAACUCUUCUGGUUUCUUCGAUGAUAACAAAUUCUAUGUUCGAUCUGGUGCCUUGAGUACAAUAUAUUUGUCUAAUGAAAUUUGUAAUGUCACACCCCAAAUUUGACAGACCUAGUUAGAAGACAUGUAGAUGUGAAGUUAUCUGUUUGGCGUAGUGUAGUUUGCACAUUUGUAAUCUUUUGGUGAAUAACUGUAACAGCCCGGUUUUCAGUGGUGAUAGAAAUAGUGGUUUUGAGACCAUAAAUUUCACUGUGCCGACUUGUAAAUAUUAUUUUUAGAAUAUUUAUAGUCAUUAUAGUCAUAUUAAAAUUUGGUUAAGAAAUAUUAAUGUUUAGUUAGUUAAUUAAGAUAAAAGUAACAAAUUGAAAAAGGUGCAAAACUUGUUAAUUAAUACAUUUAGGUGAUUAGAUGGUUUAAUUAAUAAAUGAGGAAGGGAUUAAGUGAUAAUUAAGCUAUAAAUAAUGAGUGGGACGACAAUUAAAGUUAAAAAUGAAAGAAAAUUUAAUGAUAAUGGCAUAAUUGUAAAUUUCUUGAAAGUAAAACAAAAUUAAAAGAAGAAAAAGACAUUUUCUCUUCAUCUUUCUAUUUUUCAUUGUCAAAACACCAUGGGAGCUUAACUUGGAGGUUCGUCCACUUUAUACUCUUGCAUGUGAGUUUAAUUCCUAUCUGUUUCUUGUAAUUUUUAUGUUUUUGAGAUCGUUGCAACUAGGUCCAGCUAACCCGUACCUUUGAUUUUUAAACUGUUAAAGAUUUUGAAUGUUGCCAUUGAUAAAUAUACUAAUUUUUUAUGUUAAGUUGGUAUUUAAAAGUAUUUUGUUAAGGGAUUUUUGAUAAAUUUUUUAUUAGGGACUAAAUUGUUGAAAUAGUAAAAAUACAAGGGUUUGUUGUGAAAUUAUUGAAAAAAUGGGCUGUAAUGAAUGCCAUGAAUAUUUGGUUAGCAUGGGUUUGCAUUAAAAAUGGUUAAUUUGCAUGUUUUAGGCUCAAGGACGAAAUUGAAUAAAAGUAAAAUGUUAGGGGCAAAUUUGUAAAAAUGUAAAAAAUAAAUUCCAUAAAAUAAAUUUUUUUAUUUUCUAAAUUAAUAAAUUUAAUGAAAUUGUUAAUUUAAAUCAAGAUCGAGGGGAAGAUCGAGGAGAAUGGAAAAUUACCAAAAUGCCCUUAUACUUUUACAUUUCUACAAUUUAGCCAGGUAAGUUCGUACGGUUAAAAUUUAACAUUUGUGUAAACUGAUGAUUGAUAUUAUAUAUAUGUUCUAUUGUUGGAAUUGAAUUAUUGCUAGAAAUAUAUUAUCAAAUUUAAUACUUUGUUUGGAUUGAACGCGAGAUUUGAGUACAUUUGUGAUUUGGUGUAUGAUGGGGGUUUGGAGUGGAGAUGUUAUUGGAGGGUGUUAAGUUCAAUUUUUAGCUUAACUUAUUCCAUUAAUUACCUAAAUUAUUGACAAAUUCUUGAUCAAUUAGUUUCAAUUAGCUCAAUUUGCAUUAAGAAUAUACUAUGCUUUGUUAAUUUAUUUUUGCUCCAAUCCGAUGAUUUAAUGGUAUUUUAAGACAUGUUGCAAGGUAGGUACAUUGGGAAGGUUCGAAUGAACCCAAAUGUGGAAUUCACUUGCCCCGAAUAGAGUUGAUGGAAGGGGCUGGGCGAAUGCUGAAUUCUUUAAAGUCGGCGAAGUCAAAAUACAAAUUUGAAGUAAUUGAGUCGACCGCAAAAGACCUUGACAGCAAAAGCAAGAUUCGGUCCAACUUGAAGGUGCCAUAGACCGACAUUGUGUGACCAGCCAGCAAGGGAAUCAAAUUUAAAUUCGAAUUCCCCUCUUUCCAGCUAUGACCGAUUCUAGUGUACAAUGAACAAACCAACUCAGACUUGAGAAGUUAAGUUGGAGUGAAAGUCUAAUUGGUUUGAGCUAACCUUAUGCGAUAGGCGAGGAAAAAAUCAACGGAGAGAUCAGAUUUUUAUUUUCUAUAUUUAGAGGCUGAGUUUUAUUUUUGAAAAAGGGGAGAGGAGAAGAAAUUGAAAAACAAGAAUGAGGGACUCAGGAAGAACACCGUCUCCAAUCGACCUAGUAGGUGCGAAUCAAGGAGCUAGAACCGGUCUUAGAGUCCAGCAACUUCAGGAGGAGGGAAGCUCGAUGACCUUAGCAGUGUUGUUAAGCAAGAGUGAUUCUAAACUCGACUUGAUUUUAAUUAAUUGUUGUUUAGCCAUGAGGAGCUAAAGUCCCUUUGCUUAGUUAGGCAUUAUUGAAGCCGAACACAAGUUGAAGUAAAGACUCAUUUUAUCUGGAAUUAAAACUCGGUAAUUUGUAGUUGAUUGUUUUUCUCAAAGGGGUUUAUUUUCUAAGUCAAGCUAAAAUGAUCACCUAAUUAAUUUAGGAAUUCUCCUAUCAUCACCUAAGUAAAUUUAAGAAAUCCUAUUUCCUAAGUAGACUUAGAAUCGAUGAACACUAUUAAACAGCUACGGGUUUAAUUUAAUGGGAGCCGUUAGAGGUUUUCCAUGGUUAAUGCAAGGCAAAGCCUCUUUAGCACCUUACGCAUGUUUAAUCGAUUAAACAAAGAGGGAUUAAAUAUAAUUUUCAAUUAAGAACGUUUCAUAAUUGAACUAACAUUGGAAGAGGUAGGGAGUCACUUCGUAAGGGAUUUUCCAGCCUUACUAUCGAGUAGAUUUCCUAGGAUAAGUUGAGUCUCAGUUAGUUGUGUUUGGUGGAUUAGUCGAUAACUAAGCAUCUUUUUCCAUUUGAUUCUAGAAUAUAAGCAUUUUCAUCUCAAACUACUUUCUUUCGUUUUUAGAAGCAACAUUCAUAUAAAACCCCCCACACGCGUAUGUGUGUGUAUUUCAUUUAAUUCUUUUCAAAUAGAUUUAAUACGAGCUUCCUCGUGGGAUCGAUACCCCAUUUUCCCUAUAUUACUAGUUAAUAUUGGUUGAAUAGUGGAUUUAAUUCGGUGAACGUAACGACUUCUCACCAGAGGGAUAUAUCGACAUUUUACCCAAGUAAAUUGGGGUUCAACAUUUAUUGUGAACUCUCGGCUUUUACUUUCUCUUUGGCAUGAUUCGGGUGGAUUAGCUCUUACGAGCUUCUGUUCAGCUCUUUUGAGUUUCUAUUAAGCUCUUAUGAGCUUCUGUUGACGAUGUACUCUUACUCGUAAGUCGUUCUUCAUAUGAAAAAUCUCGAUAAGGUAAUUUGUUUAAUGAAUUUGAAAGUUUUGUUAUUUAUUGAAUAUUGACCUGAACAUAAAUGAAUUCAUCAGUUGAGAUUGUGGAUAAUGCUUAGGUUUGUGCUAAGCUGUUGGUUGCAUUAUAUCAUGUUGAAUAUUAAUUAUAUGAAUUGACAUGGUAAUUGGUUAAAUGGAAAUAUGCUUAUGUUUAUAAGAAGGUGGUAAGAUUCAAAAUGUGUAAUUUCUUAUAAAAUGGUUUAUCAUGUGAUUGACCCCGAAUGAGUUAUAUACAUAAAUGCACUAACUUGUUUAUUGAUGAUGGUGAUUAGGCUUAUGUCAAGCUUCAGAUUAUGAUUGAUGUAUAUGCUUAUGUUUGGUAUUAUACAAAUGAAACGGUAAGUUCAUAAUUGAAAUGUGAUAUGAUGAAAAAGGGAUUGAUGAGUUGAAUAAUGUACUUAUAUAUGAGAAAUUACGUGUGUUAUGGUUGAAAUUACCUAUGUUAUGAAUAAAUAUACUAAUUAGUUAAUUGAUGUUGUUAUUUAAGUUUAUGUUUAGUAAAUGGAAUGGAAAGUAGGUAAAGAAAGUUAUUCGUAGUUUUAUGAAAAUGUUAAUGAUGGUGUAAAAUGUUUUAUAAAAUCUUAUUAUGUUAGGAAUGAAUAUAUAUAUGAUGUUGAUAGACUUACUCAUUUAUGAGUUAGUGGUUAUGUAGUUGAUAAAUCUUGAGGCAUUGGUAUAGCUUUAUAUUUAUCAUAUAAAGUUUAUGAUUAAAUUAGAAUAUUAUGUUUAAAGUUUGUAUGAGCUUGCUAAGCAUUCAUUGCUUAGGUAGUUGUUGAUCCCUUACUUUAUAGAUUAUUAGAAGCUUGAUCGGGUUGGAAGCUUGUCAGAGAUCUAUCAAACUAUCCAACGAUUAUAUCAGUAGAUUUUGAUGUCUUGGUUAAAGUUAUAAUGGCAUGUAUAGUUGGAUUAUGUCUAAUGCUUAAUUGAUGAGUUUGGUAUAUAUAUGUCAUUUUGGUUGAUAAUUAUGGCAUGAAAUGUUGCCUUGAAUUUGAGGUACUUAAGGUACUAUUGAUAUCUUGUUGGUUAUGGUUAAUAUGGUUAAUUUGAUGCAUGUUUAGAAAUAACCAAAUUUGGUAUAUGUUGUAUCAAUCUCAAUAUGGCCAAGACAUGGUAUGUUUUGGACAAGUCUUGAAUAUAUGUGCAUGAUUGAAAUAUGGUAUGCCUAAUAUGGUAAGGUUAGUAUGUGUCAAUUGUGUUAUGCAUUGGUAUGGAAACAAGUCAGUUGGUAAAUGGUAUCAAUGUGGUCAAAUGUGGUGAGAUUAUUUUUGAUAUAGCAUGGAAAUAGUAUUGAGAUUAUUUAGGUAUGUAUGGUUAAGGUUUGUACAAAUAUGCUUAUGUAUAUAUAUAAGUUUGAUGCUUGAUGAUUAAGGUGCCUUUUGGCAUAUUGGUUAAAGUUGUAUGAGCAUUUGGUAUGGAGAUUAGUCAUUUUUUGCAUAAUUUGAGUAUUUUUAAAGGCCUUGUAUACAUGUACAAAUUUUUUGUAGGUUUAUGCUUGAAAGAGGUGAAAGAAAUGGCUUGGAAAUGGUCAUUUUCUUGUUACACUACCUAAGACACGGGCGUGUGUCUCAGCUGUGUGAGUCACAAGGCUUGGCCACACGACUGUAUGAACCCUAUAGUUUGAAAAAAAUUCUAUCUUUUUUUUAUGAAAUUAUAAAUGUUUCUGAUUUUGUCCCGAAUUGUUUCUAAAGUGAUUCGAAGGCCCCGAGGGCUCGAAUAAGGGACGUUAUGCAUGUGUUUGAAUGAAUUAUGCUAUGAUAUAUGAAAUGUUUAAGAAUGAAAGUUUUUAAGUUAUGAUUUCCCGGUAAUGCUCAGUAACCCUAUUCUGACGACGGAUACAGGUUAGGGGUGUUACAAUAAUAGUUGGCUUAGAGUAUCUACCGUGUAAGUAAUUAAAGAUUUUAUCUUAUGUUAUUCUGCUAUUUAAGAAAAGAAUAUGACAAGGGAACAGUAAUACUAGUGAGAGUUAGCGCCAAAAGUAUAGUACCUCCAGUUUGCCUAAGCACUGUGGUUAUUAGGUUUUGUAACAUGAUCUAGUUAAAAUCCAACUGAAUUGGCUGGUCAAAUAAUAUUUGUACAGGAUCCUCAUUUAUAUUUAUCUCAGAUUUUGUAGGCAAUUUAUUAGGAAAAAUUCUGGAUACAAUUGACACUUGUCAAGUUCCACUAAGGGAACUAGAGAGAUAUAUAUGGUGAGAAGGGUUCGCAUGAAGGGUUUUCUUCUUUUAAUACUAUUAUCUAGUUCUUCUACUUAAACUUAUUUGUUUUUUUCUCCUUUAUUAAGUUAGAAGCUAAGGUUCUUGAAUUAAUGAGCGGAUGUUCUAUCUCAUGGUAAGUUUGAUAGCUCUGCAUGCUAAGUUUUUGAAAGAAGGGUAUUAAGAAACAUAUGAAUAGUGAGUUGUGAAUAAGAGACCCCGUAUAGGGGUCGUCUGUGAUUGAGAUAUUAUCCAUUUGUCUAUGAAUGGGUUUUAAUGGUGGUUCCAUGUUCUUUAAGAAAUUGCUGCUGCUGGUUCGAGAGGGAUGUUCAAGUUUCGAACUCCAAGCUAUAGUUUAGGUGAGUAUCAUGUGAGUUUCUAUCUUAGCUCCUGUAUGUGCACUGUUCAAAUAGGGUUAUAUAUAAUGAUAACGUCUCAAAAAACUGGUAAGUGUGUUUUGCAGUAAUGUAAAGAUUUUACUUGGUUUAGGAUGAUAUGUGUGAGGUAUUGUGUGCGUAAUAAGUAAAAUGGUAAGUAUGCCUCUGAUAUCGGAUAUGAGUAAAUAAGAAUCAAUCAGGUAUGUGAAUAAUCUAGGUAACUAACUUCUGUGUAAACAUCUAUUGUGAUGCCUUUGGUUGGGCAAUUAUAGUUCUAACCAGACUGGAAUAUCAUGAUAUGAUGAAACAUGUAAGUUCAUGUGGUAGAGACCCGUGUCAUUAUAUGAUAAGUAAGACAUUCAUGGUGGUGCCUCUAGUGAAAUGAAGAAUGGACUGGAAAAUCACGACAUGAAUAUGUGUAAGUCCAUGAGUCUGAGAAUCAUGACGUAAUAUGAUAAUAAGAAUGUUCAUGGUGAUGCCUUCGGUAAGAUGUAAAUCAGACUGACAGAUCCCAACAUGGAGAUAUGAAUAAGUCUAUGAGAGAGAAACCCAUGAUACCUUUUGUGGAAGUCCGUCGGGCCAGUAAAUAUGUGAUUCAGUGUGUUGCCUGUGUGGCGUGAUCUGCUAAGCCUUGGUGGUGUAUUCUAUGUUGCCAUUGUAGCGAAUUAUAGAAUGCCUAUGUGGCGUAUUCAGGGGUGCUUAUGUGGCAGAAUUUGAUUAUCCACCUUUGUGGUAAGUUCUAAGAUCUCUUUGAUAAAUGAUUCUAUGAUAAUGGUCUGAUACGUCUGAAGUUAGCUUGGUUUGGUUAGGCUUGUGAGGAAAUUGGUUGAGUUUUAAAGAAAGAAUCAGCCAUAGUAGUCUACUAGUAUAGGAUAUGGGCGUAUUCAUAAUUAUGAAGGGUAGAAGUGUUCGUUGGUAAGAAUUCAUCUACACUAUGAAGGGCUGAAAUAUAAAUAAUCAGGUAUCUGCCAUAUCUGAAUGGUAUCAUGUCUCGUUCUGGGGUUAUUUGGAAUCUGAACCAUUUGUCAAUUUUGACAUUCUUGUGUUAUGUAAUAUAGACGUAUGGAAUUCUUCUGAAUGAUCCAGAAUGUUUCAUCAUUAGUAUGAGUUUGUUUUGGGUUUAAUUCAAGAUACGAUCUGAUUGGUGGACUGGCAGCUGCUAAACACAGUAUGGGAAUCUGCCAAGUGUAAGGUUAAUUAGUAAUUAUCCACUAAAGAAUAGUGUCUAUGAAUAACCAUUUUGGGAAAAAUGUGAAGUGUUGUUUGAAGAGGAAAUUCGAUGAAAGUGAGUUCUGUAUAGAUAUUCUUCUUAGAAGUAUCUUGUGUUCUAUGAAUGAUUAAGAUCUAUAGUGACUGGUACAAUUUGGAAUCGGUCUAGGAGUGAAAUGAGAGUGACACAUUAAGUAUAGAAGCUGACAUAUAGGUAUAUAUAUGAUAUUAUGAAUGUAUUAGCCAAAGAUAGAGUGAUAAUCCAAAAUCUUCAAUAUGAAGAAUUCAACUAUAAAGGCUCCAAGGUAUUUUGUAUUUAAACUGACUAGGUUCGCAUGAACUUACAAACAUUUUGUUCGUGUUUCAAGAGUUCACUAGGAGAGACCAAGCCAGGGAUGCACUAGAGAAAUUGGUGAGGGGAUAUUAUGCGCACAAAUGAGAUCUUAGUAGUAUGACAUAUAGUUCUCUAUGCCAAUGAGAGUAUGUCUUUAAUGAACUUCUGUGUUUAAUGUAUUAUAUUGUUUUUAAGGGUCUGUUUGUAUUCUUGAACGUUUUCUUUAUCUCUUUUAUUUAGAAGACCUUUAUUAAAAUAAUAUGAAGUAAGUUGAAAAAGGAUUAUACACAGAUGGUUUAAAAUUUAUGCUAAGUGUUCGUAUGUGUAAACAUCCGUUAUCCAGAUCUGGUGAUUCGGGUUUGGUAAAAGGUGUUACAUAUAAUUUUUUUGAGAAAAUUAGUUAAUAAAAUUAUUAAUUAAUUACAUUAAUACUUUGUAUAUUGUCCUCACCUGGUUUUUGCACGCAAAGAAAAAUAGAAGAAAAUGUUGCUCAUUGGUUGUCUAAUGUUUAAAUAAUACUAAGCGGUAUUACGUGGUCGGAUCAUAGUAUGGAAAGAAAACUAUCAGUAGAAGAACCUAAAAAUGUCCGUAGUGUAAUUGGGGAUGAGCAAACCGAUUGAAAGACUAAUAUGUCGUCUAUCAAGUCUAAUUAGGGAGAUAUCUUAUCAUGGGCAUCGGAGCAGAUUACUUUCAGAAGAUAGAGACAUAUAUGUGACUGACAUGACUGACAGUACAUUAGAUAGGACCCAAGAAUAAUAGAUCCUAAAUCUGUUUAUGGAUUUAUUCACUUGUGAUGUUCAUAGGGUAGCAUACCUAAAUCCUGAGUGGAUGGCAGAUUAUGUAUGCGUGACUCGUACACUUUGAUGUAAUUAAAAGCCCGAGUUCAAAUAGAUACAGAACCGAAAGCUGGUGCGUUGGGUGUACGACUUUUGUAGUAUGUAAUGUCAUUGAAAAUAGUGGAUUUCAUAGCCCAAAACAUGGGUAAAUGAUAUCUUCUCAUUAGCAUUACUUGAUCACUAUUUGAUGGUGAUUGAAUUUUCAUGAAGAAAGAUGUAAUGAUUAUCGUAAGAUAAAAUAGGAUCAUAUUGGGAGAACAAAUAUUAUCCCAAAGAGAUCAAGGAUUUCCUAUGAGGGUAACACACUAAUGACAAGGUCAUUAGACGAUUACUGAGUAGUUGCUUUCGUAAUGGUAUGUCGUCGGAGAGAGUUCAACCAUGAUACUAUAGUGGAUUGACUUUAUGACUAAAUGAGCCUAUAAUUAAUAGGCAAAAAGUCAAAGCUUAAUUAUAAAACAUUUGAGCGUCAACUACAUAUGUCCAAUCAGUCCCUCCGCUAGCUCGUUGAAAUAAAAAAAUAAUUUCAUGUUUGAAUAGAAAUGAAUGAAAUGAAUAGAAGAAGUGAAAUUGGGAACAUUCGAGAAUGAUUAUGGUUUUCUUUAAAAUGGAGAAAUGGAAUCAUUUGAAAAUGAAUGUAGGUUUCCAAAAAUGGAAAUGAAAAUGGAAAUUUGCAAUCCUAUAUGGAUUACUUAAAAAAUGAUGGGAAUAAUGAGUUCAUGUUUUUAGACUAUUUUGAAGCCCGAAAAGGAGAACAAACUAUUCAACAAAAAAAUAUACACUAUUUUGAUCUCCUACUCUAUUUAGACUGAAUAGUUUGUUUUCAUUUUCUAUUUGAAAUGUCAACCGCUCUCCUACUCUAAGUAGGAAGUGAUUUUUCUAUUUGAAAUAAACCACUACAACCCAAGAAGGGUUCUAUAUUCUCUUCCUAUAAAUAGAUGACACUGAUAGAGCUAUUUACAUAAUUGUUAUUCUGCCAAAAAUAGAGAGAAUUUAUUCUCAACUAUUACAUAUAUUUAUCCGGAGUAAUAAUUCUAACAAUUACUAUUAAAUAAUAGAGAAUUUUUGUUUUCACCCCAAAAAGAAAAGAAAGCUUUUUCUAGUUCCGUGUUUUGUUUCAAUUGGUUCAAGCCUAUACUUGAAGUAGUUUGUGGUACGAGAAUAGUGAAGAAUAUCUUUUCAUUGAAAGCCAGAAAAUAUCAAGAAUUUGCUUAUCUGAAAAGACAUGUAUGAUUGUUCAAGGUUUAAUGCUAUAAAUACCACAUAUAUAGUCAGUUUUCAAAAUUUUAAUUUUCUGCUAUGCAAGAAAACUGUUUUCAAAAUAAGUUUUUUUCCAACAGUUUUGUGGAGAAGGUGAAUCAUAAAUCUUCUCUCCACUAUCGUUCUAUCCUAUUUAUAGAUAACCAAUGUACAAAUCCCAAUUAGGAUUAUCUCUAAUCAUUACUUAUUCUCGCAUGCUUCCACUAAUUAAUAACAUCUGACGAGGCUCUAUAAGUGUCCUAAUUAUUGACUCGUUCCCUCCACUAGGAUGUCAGAUGACUUAAACAUGUCUUACAAGCCAUAGGACUUACUUAAGGAAUGAUAUUGAAACACGAGUGAUUAUCUUAUUAGUCGGAAAGUCUACCUAAUAAGGUGUUCGUCCUAACUAUAUCCUCAUUUAUUGCUCAAAUUGACACUCCGCAGCGUUGGCGAAGUUCUUUGUAGUGCUCCACCACAAAGUUACCAACCUUAUCCGAUCUAAGUCUUGCAACUUAGGUGGCCUCCGCUAGUGUAGUCUCCCAAACCAAACCGAUUUGCCAAACCAGGAUUUGACAAAAAAAUUCAAGUACUAAGUUAAUAAAAAUUGACCAAUUCGAAGACUAAAUGUUACCUUAUAAUAAAACAAUAAAGAGGUUUAAUUAGAAAUGUUUAAGGUAAAUUACUCAGUUGGCAACCCAACUUUUAGGGCGCUUUCAUAUUAGUUACCCAAGUGUCAAAUCCGUAAUAAUGACAAACUGUAUACGCCGAAUCAUGUCCACAUCGUGUUUACACUUUCAUUUUGAUCACCCAAGUUCUAGGUCACUUUCAUUUUGGUCAUUGAAUUUUUUUAAAAUUUUUGAUCUAGGUAAAACCAUUAAGGAUUAAAGUGAAAAAGUGGUAGAAACUAAAAUGAUUGAUUAAAAAUUUGUCAAAUUGUACAAUUAAAUAAAUUGUUGAAACUUUUAUCCCUUGAAAAUGUCAACCGAUUUGUUACCAUAACAUUGAAAUUAAUUUAAUUAAUUAAUUUAAUCUCCUAAAUUUUAAAAUUUUGUUUUAUGUUUCCAAAUUAUCCUUAAUGAAAUCAACUCCAAUAAAUCAUAUUUAUUAAUUUUCUAUGAAACUUAAAUCUAUUUUGAUUAUAUAAUAUCGAAUCUUCCAUGUUAAACUAAAAGAUAAGGAAAAAAAUCAUUGCAAUUAAUUAAGUUAAUUGUUUGUUCUUCGUUUGGGUAAAGAAAUGAAAAUAAUUUUGGAUUUGUUUGGCAUGUAAGAAAGUUAGUUAAUAUAAGAGAAAAAAAUUAUUUAUUUUUUUUCUUAACAUUGAAUAUUCAAGAUCAUAUAAAAAAAAUUAAGUUCGGUAGACAAUUAUUAAAAAUAAGUGAUUUUAUUUGAUUUUAAUUUGGAAACAUAAAAUAAAAUUUUAAAAUUUAAAAUGAGGCUAAAUUAGUUAAUUUCAAAAUUAUAGUACCAAAUCGACUGACACUAUCAAGGGAAGACAAAAUUUCAGUAAUUUAUUUAAUUGAUUGUAAUGUUUUAAAAUUUAAAAUUUAAAAUUUCAGUAUUGAAAAAAAAAUUAGAACUUUGGGCAAGGGGGUAAACAAAGAUAAUAUGACAGUUUUUUAACUCAUUAUUUUAGUUGUUAUCGCUUUUUUACUUUAAUGUUUAAUGUUUUUACCCCCAUAAAUAUUUUAAAAAAUAUUUUUUGUGGUGACGAAAAUAAAAGCGGCCUAGAAGUUGAGUGACUAAAAUAAAAGUUUAAACAUGAUGUGGUAUGUACAGUCAACCAUUGUUAGAGAUUUAACGUUUGGAUGACUAAAAUGAAAACGCUUUAAAAGUUGAGUGACUACCACAAUAGUUUAUCCAAAAAUUUAAGAAUAAAGCUAAAAGUUGCAUUGAAAGAUUUAGUUGAAUUGCCCUUUUUCAGGGAAAAGUUAAGUAUGUUAUGGGGUACUUUGAUUUGACACUACUUUAAAGGCCUGAUUGAACUUUGAGACGACGAAACUGUCAUGUAUGGUGAAUCAGCUAGUUAUAAAAUCAAUUUUUUUACUCAAUUAACCCCCACAAUUAAUAUUUACGAAAAUGAUCGAAGUUGAAAACUUAUAACGAAAAUGACUUAAAAUCUAUAGUGUCGAGUGGUGCCGACACUCCGAUGGCCGACACCAAAGUCAAUCAUCGUGUAUUGAUUGCUUGUUAAUUGGGUUGGGGUUUAAAAAACUAAUUUUUUGAUAUAAGUUUUUCAAAAAUACAAGUAUUUGCCAGUUAAAAAGUAUUUUUUAUUAGGUUACGGCAUCUAGGUGGCUGACACGCCGACACCAGGAAAAAUAAUCCAAAAUUUAUGUUUUGGCAUUUUUUAGUUUUGGCAUUGCGAUGGCUGGCACUCGUGUCGAAUGGAUUUUUUUUGGUGCUGCCACCGGUGUGGUUUUUAAUUUUUUUGCCGGCGUUCUCUGGUUUUUAGGAACGGUGACUGUUUGGUUUUUCUUCAUUAAGCUUUGGACAAUGCGACUCCUAAACUUUCAAUUGCAUGAGAAGUGAUAUUUGAAGAAAAUAACACAAUAUCAGUAGAGAAGAGCACUGGAUAUUUGAGAAGAAAAAUAAAAUGAUUUUGAGUCCAGUUUACUGAUGAUAGUACUUAGUAUGUAAAAUAAACAAGAGAACAAGAAGAUGAAAAGAAAAAUGGAGAGUUGUAUAAAAAAAAGAAGAGUGGAAGAGAAGAAAGCAAGACAAAUUUAAAUUUGACAUUUAUGGUUUUAAUAGAAAAAAAAAUUUGUAUAUGGAAUUACAUUCACAAAUUUAAGUAAUGGAAUUACAUUAAAAAAUUUGUUUAUGGUUUUGAUGAUGGACUUUUGUAAACUUGUCAGUCGGAGGCCCGGGUCACAAAAGAGAUGCAUUUUAAAGGAAAGGAGGGAGGUAAAGGCAUGGAUAUAGUGGUUGAUUCAUCACCAGUGAGGGCUCUUUCUUGGAAUGAAAAACUUUUGGGGAGAGGUGCUACUAGAUCUCGAGACUCAUCGGGUGUUCCUGAUAGGGACUUGAGGAGGACUUCGACUUUCUAGAAUGAGGUAUAUUAGAUCUAUAGUUAAUGGGAUUCUGUCGAUUGAAUUUUCCAAUAGGGUACAACAAAUGCUGGAAAAGUAAAUGGCAACUACGAUGGUAGUCAAGCUAUUGGGGAGAAAUAUUGGAUAUAAUACUUUUCAAAACAAGAAUUUCAACUUGUGGAAGCCGCCUAGGCCAUUUCAACUAAUGGACGUUGAACAUGGAUAUUAUUUGGUAAAAUUUCAAAGUAAUGACGACUUUGAAAAAGUGUAAACUCAAGGACCGUGGGUAGUGUUUGGACAGUACCUAACUGUUUAGCCAUAAACACUGGAUUUUAACCCUCUCCAACCAUACCCAAGCAUUGUAAUGACAUGGAUCAGAUUGUCAAGUUUGCCUGGUUUUUUAUACAAAAGGAAAAUAUCUGAGGAGAUCGACAAUUUGGUCGGCGGAGUAGCAAAACUCGACUACAAUAUUGACAGUAAAUCGAGAGGAAGAUUUUCCUGAAUGACGAUUUUCGUGAACCUUGACAAGCCAUUGAUCCCUCAAGUUUUGGUGAAUGGUAAGGCUCAACUCAUGGAAUAUGAGGCUUUGCCGUCGAUUUGCUUUGGAUGUGGUAGGUACGGCCAUACGAAAAAUCUAUGCCCUCACAUUUUUGGUAACUAUAAUUCCACCAUAUAGAAGGGCGAGACGACAGAUCCAUCAAUAGGAGAAAAUACGUCGACCAAGGUGGCGGGGGCAUUUGGGUCGUGGAUGGUGUUGGAGAGAAAAAUACGACAGAAUUUUAGGGAGAAUCAGAAUCAAAAUGCUAGAAAUCAAGAGGAUUUUUUUGGAUCAAGAUUCGAUAUCUUGAACCCUCUGGAAGAUGGAAACGACGCUAUUAAUGGAGAUUUAGCAGAUCUAUAGGGCAUCACUAUUUAGAAAGGUGAUUUUAUUAAGAGUAAUGUUAGGGUUGAGGGAUAUGAUGAUGUUAGAAGUGGGCCAGGUAAGAAAGGUGUAAAUUAGAUUUCUAUAGAUAGCCUGGUAGGUGAUCGUGAGCCAAAUGGAAAUGAAAACCUUUAUGGGUUAGUAAAGAAAGGGCCUAGACUAAAAAAAAUGGUGUUACAUGUGAUUUUAGGUAGAUUGGGGAAACUAGGCCAAUGGUAGAAAAAGCAAAUUUAAUUCGGGCUAGCAAAUUAUAAGGGUGGGCGAAAAUUGGAAAGUGUCAUAUCUUUGCAUAACUUUAAUAAUUCAAAAAAUAAUUAUGGUAUAGUGGAUGCUAAUUCUGGAAAUUCUCACGAUAAUGAUCUUUUAAUGAAGGAGAUGUAUAUUGAUAAUGGGGCGAAAUUAUCAUUUAGUCCCUGUUUGGCUACGACAUCGCACUUUAAUCCUACCUUUGAGGGACUAGUUGAAACCACAGUAUCACUUAGUGGUAGUGUUUUGGAUCUAGGAACGCAUUCUGUUGUUACCUUCAAAGAAAAUUCUAACCUAGUUACUAAUAAGCAAUAAGAUGAAGUUAGACUCAGUGAUUCUAGUAAAAGCAUUCUAGUUCCUAAAGGGCAUAGUCUUGGGACAAAAGAGGGAUAUGUCUGAUGUAACACCAUAAACCCGGCCUAGACGUCCAGCCCAAGUUUAUAGAGUUACCUCAUCGAUUAUAAAACGUCACGCAACAACACAAAUAAGCUAAACCAUGUUUCAUAUCACAUUUAUCAUAAAACAAAUUAAUUAUAUAAUCUUCUAAAUUUCAUACUGUUAUAGUUUACCGAAAUUCCUCAUACUACUUAUAGAAAGAUAACGCUUGACAGAGCAUCCGUUGCGCCGACCCAUUCAAGACUGGGAACCACAUGAAAUCCAAUAAAAAACAAAAUGAGUUGUAAACUCAGUUCGUAAAAGAAGUUUAUUCAGUUAAUGUCCACUUAUAAGGUAGUUCCAAAUUCAGAGAAUUAGUUCGAUACAAAAUUAAUUACAGUUUAGAUUCACGACAGAUCAGUUACCUAUAGAUAUGCAAUUUCAGUUCAUAUACAAUGCAGGUAAGAUUUAGAUGCAGAUAUUCCUAACCCUAUCUGCUACACACCAUCUUCAACCAUCCCAACACACCGUUAAGUGCAUCCAAUACCCAAUCAACCUUACACACCACAAAGUGUUUCUCUGACACAUUUAUAGAAACACAUAUUAGCUGCUGGAUCAUAAUGUGACGAAGUGCCAGAAUCAGAACUAUACACAUGGUGGCUUAACCACUGAUUCAGAGUGGAUUACUUCCUUCAUCAUACAUCCCAACCCAUACAAAUACAGAGUAUAAUUAUCUACAAUACACUUACAAUUAUGAUAUUCAUACGUCCGUUACAGAGUAUCAGAGAGUUCUCGUUCAGUUAAAUUCAAAUCAUUCAUACAAUAAGGAAUCAAUAUCAGCCAUAAACAACAUUUACGACCUCAAAAAGGGUUUCAGGCCCCUUUUACGAUGCCAUACGGCUUGGACACACGCUCAUAUCCUUGCCCGUGUGGCUCAAACGACUUGGACACAUGCCCAUGUCCUUUACCCGUGUGGUUCUAAAACGUAAACAGAGAGUUACACGACUCGGACACACGACCAUGUCCUUGCCUGUGUGACUCACACGGCCUGGGCACACAGCCGUGUGCUUGCCCAUAUGGUUCUAAGUCACAAAUAGUGAGUUACACGGACUAGACACACGCCCGUAUGCCAUGCUUGUGUGGCCUCAAAUCGAUGAAUAGUAAGUUACACGGCCACCCACACAUCCUAGCGAUCCACACGGCCUAGAAACACGCUCAUGUGCUUGGCCGUGUGGCGUCGACAGCCACCAUUUUCGGUGAACAAAACUUGCAAAAGCUAAGGAUUUUGAUACGCGCUUAGUUUCUCUUUGAUGGGAAAUAAGACAGAGAUUACUUGAAAACUAAUUGAUCAUUCAGUAAUCAAUCAAUUGACUAAAUGACCAAUUAACACAACAAUAAUACACAAUCAACUAUGCCGAAUAAAUUGACACGAGGGAACUUCAACGACUAACGCUUAUCGAUGAUUUAACUCGAAUUUUUUGCGAGUACAAUAGAGAAUUUAAGCUUGAUAUCGUGGGAUUGUUAAGGACUAGAGUAAAUGGAAGUAAAGCAGAUUGUAUCAUUGCUAAAUUAGGUUUUCAGUUCUCUUAUCGGAUAGAAGCUAUUGGUUUUUCUGUUGGUAUUUGGGUUGGUUGGAAGGAUUUUAUACAAGUUGAGAUUAUCCAGAAUCAUUCACAAUUUCUUUUGGUUUGGGUCAUUUCCAAUGUUGUGAAAUCUCCUGUUUUUAUCUCCUUCAUUUAUGUGAGUCUUGAUAGAUAGAAGAGAAGGCUUUUUUGAGAGGGUUUAAAAUUGACUGUGUCUGAUGUUUCUAUGCCCUAGAUGGUUUUUGCUAAUUUUAAUGUCAUUAUAUCUUUCUGUGAAAAGAAAUGUGGACAUAUUCAUGAAAGAAUAUUCAUGAAAGAAGGUGUCCUUAUUUUAGGGAUUUUAUGGAGUCACCUGACCUUCAUGAUUUGGGAUAUAAAGGUCCCUCAUUUACUUGGCAUAGAGGUGGGGUUCAUGAGCGCCUUGAUAAAGCCAUAGGUAAUAAUGCUUGGAUUGAAGCCUUUCUGCAUUAUUUGGUGUCCCACCUUCCGAGAAUUAAGCCUGAUCACAGGCCUCUACUCAUGUCUCUAAGAUCAGAUGUUAUCCCAUCUAGAGGUAGACCUUUCAGGUUUUUUACUAGAUAGACUGAACAUCCAGAAUUCUCAGAGUUGGCUAAUAAUAAUUGGAGUUAUAAUGGGGAUAUGACUACUUCUAUUGCUAAAUUAACUUCCGAUAUUAAAAAUUGGAAUAAGUCUGUCUACAGUCAUAUUUGAUAUCGUAAAAGAUAGUUGUUAUAGAAACUUACUGGCAUUCAAAAGGUUAUGUGAAGGUCAGAUUCUAAUUUGUUAAUUUAGCAAGAAAUAGAGGUGCAUGAACACUUGGAGAGUGUCCAGCAUGAGGAACUUCUUUGGAGCUAAAAAACAAGAUGUGAUUGGUUAGUCUUGAAGGAUCAAAACAUUAAUUUUUUCCAUAGACGAAUAAUUCAUAGGAGAAAGCAUAAUAGGAUUACUGCUCUGAGGAAUGAGAACGAAGAGUGGGUUUUCGAUAACGCUCUGUAGGUUGAGGUGAUUAAGUUUUUUCUGAGUUUAUAUGGAGAGGUUCUUGAACCUUUGAGUGGAAUUCCAUCUAGUGCGUUUCCUAAACUUGAGAAUGCGGAGGUUCAUUUUUGAGCAAUGAAGGUACAGAUGAGGAAAUUAGAACUACCCUAUUUGAUAUGGCUUUGCUUAAAGCUCCAAGAAGCGGAGGGUUUCAUGCCUUAUUCUUUCAGACUCAAUGGGACCACAUUAGUACAAUUAUUUGUAAUUGGGUUAGGUUAGUGUUUUUCGAGAAAGCUAUUAAUUCAGAUUUGAAAUAACACUUUAAUUAUUCUUAUUCCCAAGGUUCAUAAUCCUGAAAGCUUUUCUUAGUUUUGGCCAAUCAGUUUAUGUUCAGUCCUCUACAAACUGGUAAUAAAAAUCAUCGCUAAUCGAUUUAAAGUAAUUUUUCCUAAGAUUAUUGCAUAAGAACAAGCAUGAUUCAUUUCUGAAAGAAACAUCAUGAAUAAUAUUAUUAUAGAUUAAGAAGUUAUUCAUUCCAUGAAAAACAAGCAGAAGAACAGAAACUGGAUGGUUAUUAAAGUUGAUUUGGAAAAAGCUUAUGAUUGGUUGAGAUGAGAGUUUAUCGAUACUUCUCUCCAUGCUACAGAUAUCCUUGAUUUUCUUCGUAAUGUUAUUAUGUCUACUAUUACGAACUCUAAUUUGCAGAUCAUGAUAAAUAGAGUCCCAAUUGAGAAGGUUCGACCUAUUAGGGGCAUCCAAUAGGGGCGUUCGCUUCCUCUAUACCUCUUCAUUUUGAGCAUGGAUUGGUUAGGACAUGGUAUUAAGUUUUCCAUUACCAUGGAUCAGUGGAAGCCUACCAAGUUUUCGCGCAUAGGGCCUACCCUUUCUCACAUCUUUUUUGCAGAUGAUCUCAUUUUUUCGAGUGAGUGGAGGUGUAGCAAGCCAAAAUCAUAAAAGGUAUGAUGGAAAGUUUUUGUGGUUAUUCCAGCCACAAGUUAAUUCUCGAAAGACGAACAUCUUCUUUUCUAAGGUGUUAACAAGGAGUUGGGGGAGCAGAUCAGUAGUAUUUUUUGUUAUCAUAAGGUUCAAAACCUCGGUACGUAUUUAGGGUACCCCCUUUUGAUGAUAAAGUUACUAAUAGUACUUUAACGUUUGUUAUGGAUAGGGUUUGGAGUAAGCUGUAUAGUUUGGAUGUGAGACAUUUGUCUCUGGUAGGAAGGUUCAUUUUGGCUCAAUCUGUCUUAUUGUCGAUUCCAAGCUAUUUCAUAUAGUCCAUGAUGGUCCCUAAAGAUAUUUGUGUAGAAAUAGAAAUCAUAGUUAGACAAUUUAUCUAGUGAUCCUCAGUUGGGGGAAGGAAAAUAACAAUGGUUAGAUGAGAAGAUAUUUGCCAACCCCGAUCUUGUAAGGGGCUGGGCAUUAGGCAUCUGCAGGAUCAGAAGACUUCCUUUAUGGCUAAGAUUGGUGAUGAUGAAUGCAAAUUCUCUUUGGGUAAGUUUCCUGAAGUCGAAGUACAAAGUACAAAGUUCAAGAUGAGACUCCAAAGGAUAUAUUGAGGGGAAGAUGCUCGUUUCUUUGGAGGGCCCUUUCAAAGACCUGGCCUCUAAUCUGUGAAAACUUAAUAUGGUCUGUGGGAAAUGGUUGCAGUGUUAAAUGCUGGUUGGAUCCCUGGCUUCCAAAUGUUUGGCCGUUUGUAGAAAAAAUCCAUUCAAAUUCUAAUCUUGAGAGGGAUUGUUUACUUUUGGAUAUGGUUAUAGAAGAUGGCAGAUAGAAUUUGGAUCUCUUUCAUCUCUGGUUAUUGAAGGAUAUAUUUAGAAAGAUUGUGGGGAUCCCCUCCACAUCCUUCUGCACGUCAAUAUAGAAUUAUAUGGGCUAGGUCUACUAUUGGGGCCUUUUCUGUUAAAAAUGCUUAUAGGAAACUUCGUGAGAUGACGUGGAAUCCAAAAAAUGGAUUAUGGCAGAUUCCGUGGAAAUUUCAUGGUCUAUAAAGAGUUAGAUUCUUCAUUUGGAUGAUGAUUAAAGAACGUCUUCUAACUAAUAUCGAGCGUGUAAGGAGGGGGAGAAGGAGCAACAGUUUAUGUGGAUUUUAUGACCAUGACUCUGAGGAUGGCUUACAUGUUAUCAGAGAUUGUAGAGCAACUAAAGAUAUUUGGUUACAUGUGAUUCUUGAAGAUAAGUGCAAAUGGUUUUUCUUUGGGGACUUGAAAGCAUAGCUAGUGGCUAACUUGCAGAAUCAGCCACAAAUUUUGUUUGGGGAGGUGGAAUGGUCAUGCCUUUUUGGGUUAAUCGCUUGGCGUAUUUGGAAAAUUGAAAUUUACAUAUGUUUCAAAGAGUAUCGUGGAGUGUUGAUGAAGUGAUUAAAGAAUCAUAUAGUUGGGCUAAACAAUAUGCUUCUACAUGCAAGGUGUAUGUGUCCAAAAGGAAUACAACAAAUUCCUGUCUGAUAUUGACAGGUAAUUGGAUUAAGUUAAACACGAAUGGUGCCGUCUGGGUGGAUUCUAGUUUUACUACUGCAGGAGGGGUUAUGCAUGACAUGAAAGGGAAUUGGAUCUUAGGAUUCAAUAGGUGUUUGGAAGUAUGUAUGUUCAAUGCUGGAGGCUGAGUUAUGGGGUAUUUUUAAGGGUUGCGAUUUGACAGAGUGUUGAUUAAUAUAGAUAGCUUGGAAGCAGUUUAGGUUAUUCAAGACAACAACUUAAGGAACUCAAGUUCAACUUUGGCGAGGCGUAUACAUCAACUAUUGGGAAGGACAACUCAAUGGCAUAUCCAACAUGUAUCUAGAGAAGAUAAUAAAGAUGCGGAUUUUCUUGCAAAAUGAAUCGUAGUAAUGAAGACGUUUUACUUCUGUUUGAACAACCUCUUUUAGGUGUUUUAGCUUAAGUCCUUGUGAACACUUUGAUUUGUUUUAUAUUCACCAAAAAAAAAUAAUGGUUUUUUUAUGGUUUCAAAGUAAGAAAAAAUUUAAUGUCAUUUUAUGGUUUCAUUAUGAAAAAAAGUUCUGUAUAGAAAAAAAUUUCUUCCCUCUGUCUAUUAUCACCUUUCUUAAAGUGUAUUAAUUAACUUUUAAUCCCCAUGUACAACUUUUUUUCUCUUAAAAAAGUUAAUUAAUAACCUUAAAAAACUUUGUUUAAGAUUUUUAAACUUAAUAAAAAAUUGUAAUACAUUAUUUAGAAAAUUUCAAAUCAUAUCAUUUAAAAAUAAUAAUGCAGUUAUAUUAUAUAUGUUUAAAAGACAUUAUCAAAUUAUAAUCAUAUAUCCCGUUUAUGCUUGUGAAAUAAAAUAUUUGAGCCAUUUUAAAGGAUUUAUGCAGGGUUAAAAUAGUAAAAUUUUGUAUUUUAAGAGUUAUUAAAUCAUAAAAGGAUAUUAAUUAACUUUUUUAAGAGAGAAAAAGUUGCACAUGAUUAAAAGUUAAUUAAUGCACUCUAAGAAAGGUGAUAAUGAAGAGGGGGAAAUUUUCUUUCCAUCUACAACUUUUUUACUAUUGAAACCAUAGAAUUGCAUUAAAUUUUUUCUUGCCUUGAAAUCAUAAAAAAUUAUUAAUGUAAUUUCAUAUACAACUUUUUUUUUUCCGUUGAAACCAUAGAUGUCAAAUUUAAAUUUGUCUUGCCUUCUUCUCUUCCACUUUUUUUUUUUACAGCUCUCCAUUUUUUUUUCAUCUUCUUCUUUUGUUUCCUUUGCCUACUAAGUACUAUUAGGAGUGUUCAGUCGGUUAACUGACCCGAAAUUGUAAUAACCGAAUUAACCGACCUCCCAAAUUUUUUAAUCGUUAACCGAACCGAAUUUUUUUAAAAAUAAUUAAUCGAACCGAAAUUUUUUUCGGUUAAUAAGGUCGGUUAACCAAUUUAACCGAAAAAUAUGUGUUGGUCAUUUUUGGUUAAAAAUUACCCGAAUUACCUGAAUUACCCGAAAAUUAUCCAAAUUACCCGAAUUACCCGAAAAUUACCCAAAUUACCCGAAUUACCCGAAGAUUACCUAAAUUACCCGAAUUACCCGAAUUAAAUCACUACAUAAUUAAAAACAUUACAUAAAUAUUUGAAUCACUACAUAAUUAAAAAUAUUACAUAAGUCUUUGAAUCACUACAUAAUUAAAAACAUUACAUAAGUCUUGAAUUAACACAUAAUUGAAAUGUAAGUUUUUAAUAUUCUCGAUUUAUAUCCAUUUCAUCUCUCCAAAAUAUAUUCAUUUCAUCUCUCCAAAAUAUCUCCAUUUGCAUUAAACCUAAAAAAAAAAAACAUGAGCAAAAAUUUAGCAUAUAAUAGAAAUAUACGCAUUUAAAAAAACUUAAAUAAUAUAAACAAACGAAUAGAUUAUAAAUUAACAAGAAUAAGAUAGUAGUAAGCAUACCCUUCAACUCACGAAAGCUCAUGAAUCUAGGGUAGGCUCUAAUGCAUUCCAAGAAAUGUCUAAACAUUGAAUCAAUUAAAUAAAUAAGGGUGAUAUGGUAAAAAAAUUGAAACUAUUAAAAUAAAACAAUAAACAUACCAUUUUCAAUCUUGUCAAGCUCUUGGAUUUGUUCUUCAAUCUUUUUUAUGUCUUCUCGUGAUGAUGAUCUUCGAAUCCAAUCUUGAGUACACACAAGAGCUUGUACAAUUUUAGGAGUUAAAGAACUCUGAUAUUGAUCAAGCACACGUCCCCCGGUGCUAAAUGCAGACUCUGAAGCAAUCGUAGAAACCGGUAUAGCUAACACAUCUCUGGCAAUUUUUGAAAGAGUGGGAAAUCUAGGGCUGUUCACUUUCCACCACAAUAAAAUAUCAAAAUCUUCAACAAAUUCUUCAUUAGCCUCAGCUAGAUAUUUAUCCAACUCAGAUGUUUUAUCCUCACCACAAAUUUCCAACUCACGCUUUUUAUACAAAGCUUGCAUUCGCCUUUUCAUUUUUUGUUGUGGUUCACCAAUAGAAACAUGUGUUGACACACUCGAUUGGCUACAAGUACUAUGAAGUGGAGGCUUAUACUCAUCAAACAAUUCAUACAAAGAUUCCUUCAACUUUUGCAUCAUUUCACAAGCUUUUUCAAAACUAGACAUUUCACUAAGUGCAAAUUCAAGAUACUUUAGUUUUUGUCUAGGAUCUAAAACACAAGCAACAAACAUAAGCAAAUUCAUCUUAUCAAUACCACCCCAAUACUUAUCAUACUUCUCUUUCAUCUUGAUGGCCAUAACAUUGAAAUCAAUAUUACUAUUUAACUGAGCAUCUCGUAAAAGAAUAUCAAUUUCGGAAAGAUCAUCAAAAAAUUAUUGGACGUGACAUAUGAAGUGCCAGAUAUACGCAAAGUGACUUCAUAAAAGUGUUCCAAGAAAUCCCUCAAGUUUCUAACAUUAUCCCAAUCAUCCACACUAGGCCAACCCUCUCCCUUUUCAAGUUUAGCCCUAAAGUUUGUAUCUUGCUCCUGAAAUCUCUCAAAAGCUCUCUCAAAGUUCUGAGCAGUGUCUAACAUUAAGUAGGUCGAGUUCCACCUAGUACAAACAUCAAGACACAACAUCUUCUUGCACUCUAUCUUUUCCACCACAACACACUCCUUAAACUUUUGUAAUCUAGUUGGAGAUUGUCUCACAUAUCUAACAGCCCCCUAACACGUUCAACAGAUUUAUUCAUUUCCUUUAAGCCUGCAACAAUAAUCAAAUUCACAAUGUGUGCCAUGCAUCUCAUAUGAAGAUAUUUACCAUUUUGAACUAAACCCCCUCGAGGGUUAAAUUUCUUUCUCAAAUAACCAAUAGCAACAUCAUUUGAACUUGCAUUAUCAACAGUAAUAGUAAACAACUUAUCAAUCCCCCAAUUCAACAAGCAUUUCUUAAUCACCAUCCCAAUCGACUCACCCUUAUGACUAGAAAUUGGACAAAAGUUUAAAAUCUUUUUAUUCAAUUUCCAAUCAUUAUCAAUAAAGUGAGCAGUGAUACACAAAUAAUUAACUCUUUGCAAAGAUGUCCAUGUGUCAGUAGUUAAGCAAACUCUAGAACAAGAACUUCUCAAAAUUUGUUUUGGCUUGACCCUUUCAUCUAGAUACAAUUGAUAAACAUCCCUAGUCAUAGUAGUUCGUGAAGGAAUAUGAAACCUAGGACACGCCACAAACAUAAAUUUCUUAAAACCUUCACUUUCAAUAAACUUGAAAGGUAAUUCAUCAAUCAGAAUCAUUUGUGCUAAUCCUUUCCUACAUGCUUCUUGAUCAAAUCUCCAAGUUGAAAGAUUCCCUUCCCCCGCCCCCUUCAACUCCCUUGCUAGGUAAAACUAGUUGUCCUUGACUAGUGUCAACUACAUUACUAGGAUUUUUCUUACAUGAACCAAUAUGAUAUUUCAAUGACCUUGCACCUUUUUUUUCAUAUCACAACAAAAUUCCUUUUCACAAUAAUUACAUUUAGCCUUACUUGCACCCUCACUAUUAAUAAACUUAGUGAAGUGAGACCAAACUUCUGACCUUUGAGGAGGAGCUUUUCUUUUCCUGGACGUAGUCCCCUUCGUUUGGAUUGAAGCUCCAACCCUCGAAUUUUCAGAAUCUAUCGAAGUAGGAGGUGUAACACUACCCUCAAUAGAUGUUGGUUCGGUUGACAUUCUGCAAGAAAAAAAGUAUAUAAUAAAUUAAAAUAAUACGACAAACUUGGGGUCAACUGUCAAGGACAAUAUUAUUUACAAAAUCCAAAAACUUAAUAAAUUGAUGCAAUAUUAUUUAGAUCAUUUACAUUUUUUAAUUUCUCCAAUAAUUAUUCUAAAAUAUAGCAUUUUAAACCAAGUGAAAUCAUUAGAUAAACCACCAAAGAAAUAGUUUAACAGAUAAGAAUAAACCUUAUGGAAGAAGGCAUGACGAUCUUAUGGGUCCUUCAUUCAUCCAAAUUCGACCACAAUUAUUUGAUACGAAAUAAAAUAUGUUCUGAGACUUAUUUAUUUAUGGAAAAAACACUUAUGAAGUCCCAAGUUAAAAAAAACCUAAUAAAUGAAACUAACUAAAUUAUUCCAAAAUCUUGAUUGAUUAAGUGUUUAAAUAGGUGAAGAUAAUGAUUAGACAUCGAAUCUUUAAUGCUAAACAAUUUUAUUCUUAACAAAAAGAUCUGAAAUAAUUAAUUAACCAAAUAAUUAAAAAAAGAGAAAAGAAGGCCACAAAGAUUAUAAUAUGAUGAUAUAAAUAAAGAAAACAGUUGUACUGAUUAUGAUAAUAAUUCUAGUCUGAUUAUAUAUACUUUUUUAUGAAAUAAUCUGAUUAUCAUUAUUAACAAAUAAAUAAAGUCAUGACGGAUUUUAAAAAAAAAAUACAAAGAUAAAGAAAGAUGGCAAGAAAAGCAACGUUUAAGAUAAGAACAAAAGAAAUAAAUGUGUUUCCCCAAUUGAAUAUUAAAUCGUCAUAAAAUAGUAACACAAUUUCUUAGACGUAUAAAUAUAAUAUUCUACAUGUAUAAAAAAUGUAAAUUCUCCGGAUAGGAUUUGCUAUAGCCUUUGGCUUUAAUCUAUGGAAAGGAUUAAGUUUAGUAUGAAAAUUUGUUACUAUUUUUAGUGGUUUCUCCUUAUGUUUAGAUAAUUAGUUGUGGUGUAUUACUUGAAAUAACUUUUGGAGAAUAAUCAUGAAAAGAGGGUAAGCUUCCAAUUCCUUCCAAACAAAAACUUUAUUCCAUUUAAUACACUACAUAGUUACAACCUUGUGCCAAAUGUUAAAUGUAUUUCAUUUGAACUUAAUCAGCAUCAUGUAUCAAACAGACAAACACUCAGUAUUUUUUAAAAAUUAUAAAUUCCAACACUCAAUAUUUAAUAAGUAUCCAUGCAUCAUGCACGUUUAACCAAUCACUAAUUAUUAUAAUUAAGUAAUUAAUUCCUUUUAGAACCUAAUAAUGAUGCAGAAUACACUUAAAAGGGAUCUAUAUUGUAAUUCUCACAUCCCCCAUGAUAGUUUAAGUGCGCUUUCAGCCUAACCCAUUAUUUUUCAUCAAUAAAAAUAACUGAAAAUGUCAGGCUCUUCAACCCUUAGCCUAUCAACCUCCUCCGUCAAACCUGGAUAAAUUUUCCCUAUAAAUAACAGUUUUGCGUGGCCCUAAGGUUUAAACAAAUAAGCUACAUUACAUACAAUCUUUGCAAUGUCUUAUUCAAGAGUUGCCUAUUAGCCCUUACUUUCAUUGUCCAAACAGCUUUUGGAGCUGACCCUCUUUUCCAUUUUUUUCCAUUAGAAAAAAAAAACGAAUACUAUCUAUAUCAGUCAACUACAGAGUACAAACCCAUUCAAGAAAUUGGAAAAAAAAAAGAAAGGGAAAGUAGAAGAAAGCAAACCUAGCUAUUGGUGUGGUGGUCCGACACUCUGACUCGGCGACUCUGGCGGAAGAGAAAUAGUGUGUGAGUGAAAGUUUAAGUGUGUGAUUUAGGGUGGGAUUCGACUGAGAUUGAGAAUAUUAGGGUGGGAUUUAGGGCUAGAGGGGUUGGGUGUUAACUGUUAAGUGUGUGAGUGAAAAGUGAAAACUGAAAGUGAAAGGGAGGGGGUAGAGACGUAGUAGUCGGGCUGCUGCAGUGCUGCUGAGAAAUGGGCAUUGGACAGUAGGUUUAAAUUUGGGCUGGGUUUAAAUUUAAUUGGUGUAGGCCCAACCCUGUUAAUUUUGGUUUACCCGAAUUUUAUUGGUUAACCGGUCCGUUUCGAACCGAUUUAACCGUUAACCGAACAAACCAAAAAAAUUUAACUGACCCUCGACCGAAGUUUUUCGGUUCACCGACCGAUUAACUGAACUCGGUCGGUUAACCAAAAAAUUUCAAUUUUAACCGACUAAUGCACAGCCCUAAGUACUAUAGUCAGUAAAUUGAACUCAAAAUCUUUUUUUUUCUUCUCAAAUAUUCAGCGCUUCUUCUCUACUGAUAUUGUGUUAUUUUUUUUCAAAUCUCUCUUCUCAUGUAAUUGAAGGCUUAAGAGUCACAUUUCCAAAGCUUUAAAAAGAAUCAAACGGUCACCGAUCAUGGCAACCAGAGCAUGCCAUAAAAAAAAAACCACGCCGGCGCUAGUGGAGAGAAGGUCGGCACCAAAAAAAAUAAUUUAAUCUGACACGAGUGUUAGCACCAAAAAAUACUGAAAAGUAAAAUUUCAUUAUUUCCCGAUGCCGACUACCUAGAUGCUGACACCUAAUAAAAAAUAUUUUUUGAACCAGAAAAUACCCAUAUUUUUCAAAAAAGUACACAAAAAUACAUACGCGUGUUAGCCAUUGCAGUGUCAGCACCAAAAAAAUUAUUUUUUAAAACCCUGACCCAAUCAACAAGCAAUCAUUAUACGCUGAUUGACAUUGGUGACGACCAUCGGAGUGCCGACACUGCCCGACACUGUAGAUUUCAGGUAAUUUUCGUUAUAGUUUUUCAACCUGGGUCAAUGUCAUAAAUUUUUUUUUGGUUAGUUGGGUAAAAAAGCUUAUAAAAUCACUACAAAUAUAAUAUUUUAAAUGGUAAAAGUAUGAUAAAGGCUCUUAUUUUAAGAGUAGAUUACAUUUUUCUCUUUUUACUUAAAAAAUAAGUAAAUUAGUCUUUUUUAUAUUAAAGGUACACGUGACAUUCUAUAUGUAAUUGUCUGAUUAUUCUAUCAAUCAAGUCAAUUUUUAUCAAUAGAAAUAGAAACUUUUUAAUAGAAAGAACUAAUUUACUUUUUAAUCCAAUGUACAAGAAUUAAUUUAUUAAUUUAAUUUUGCUCUUAAUACACAGAUUUUUUAUUUUAUUUUAAGCAUGAUCCAAUAAAUUAACUAAACUAAAAUCUGGUGUUUUUUUUCAAAAUUGAUCCAAAAAAUAGAUUAUUUAUGAAAAUGACCCAGGUGAAAAAUCUUUGAUGGAAAUGACUUGGUUCUAUAGUGCAUGUUGGUGCCAGCCAUCUCACCGUCGGCACCACCCUCCAUGAUCUCUUAAUCAUUACCCGAUGAUUGCCCGGUCAAAUAAAAAAUAAUUUUUUUGUGUUGGCACUGUGUUUGUUGACACCAAUAUGUUUUUUUUCAAAUACACUUAAAAAAUACAGUAUUCUAAGAUUAAAAAAAAAGAAAAAAUAAUAAUAUUUUAAUAGGUGUCGGUGUUCACGUUGCCAACAUAGGUUCAAAUUUAAAAAACAAUGUUUUUUAGUGUUGGUACUAACGUUCUCAUUGUCAGCAUCAGUGUGGUUUUGAUUUUUUUUUGUCGGUGUGCUCUAAUUACUAGGACCGGUGACUGCUUUUUAAAAAAAAAAGCCAAAGGCAUUUUAUCAUUGACAAAAGACUACGGCGUUGUCAUAUUUGUUGCCGUUAACUGCAUGUCCUCCACCGCCAAUGUCUUCUUCCUCUAUUUGCUGCUAUCAUCACACGACACUCUCCUCCGCCUGCUUCUUGUUCUUGAAGCGACCAUCAUCGACUUAUUCAACAUUAUGACUUUUUAUUGAUUGGGCAAUCAUCAGAUAAUAAUUAAAGGAUGAUGGAGGAUGGUACCGACGAUGAGAUAACCGACACCAACAUGUACUAUAAAAAAAUAGUUCAUUUUCAUUGUCGAAACCAUUUUUAUUUUGAAAAAUGGGGUCGACUUUUAAAACGAAAAUGGAGUCGCCACCAAUCUUUUUUCGAGGUGUGAUCUGAGAUUAAUUAUUUUAAUAAAACAUUUUGAUUUAUUAAAAUAAUGAUUUUGGUCUACAAAAUUCGAGAAAACGGGCUCGGAAGUUGGUUAUGCACGAGGAAGGAUUAGCACCCUCGUAACGCCCAAAAAUUGGUACCUAAUUGAUUAAUUAAUGUCUCAAAGUCGAAUGUCGAAAAUUUGAAAAGUUUAGAAACGAUUCCCCUUUUUAUUAAUGCCAUAUUUUAAAACAAUGCUUGGAUAGAUUUGAACGAAUGUAAAAUGAUUUCUCAUCCCGAGGCAACAAGAUGUCGUAUCCCCUAAGUUAGGAUGCAACGUUUGAAUUCCCGAGCAUAAGUUAACCUUUUAAAAAUAUUUAUUGAAACCUUGUGCAUUUGAAAACUAAAAUGUUUAGUCAUUUUAGUUCAAUGAGAAAAUCGAAACCCCGUAAGUUAGAGCACGAUUUCUCAUCGUUCCAAAGACGACAUAUUGCAAACUUCAUUUUCCCUUUUUUACGAAAUUGGAUCAAAGCGAAGGUUUAAUGCAAUAUUAACAAUGAUAUAAAUUUGAUUUAUUCGAAAUGAAAAGAAAUGAAAUAAUCAAAUUUUGGCAAAUAAAUCGAAAAUUUUAACUAUGAUGUAAUGUUCUCAUUUAAUAAAUUGUUUAAAACAACUAAUAAAACACAAUAUAUAAAAAUAUUGAAGCAAAUGAAGUAUGAAGAAAAAUUAGAAUAUCCAUUAUAUAGAAAAAAAAAGUAAUAUUUAUAAUUCAAAAUAAAUAGUAUGUAUAUGGAUGAAGUUUAAAACAAUACAUGAAUUAAAACAAAUAAUAUAUAUGAAUGUACAAUUUAAUACCAAUAAUAUCUACAAUUUGAAAUGAAUUGGAUAAUUUACAAUAAAUAAUAUAUAAUAAAUUUGAAAUAAUAAUACAUAUAAAAUUUAAAAAUUUUAUGAUAAUUCUAGAAUAAUCAUACGUGAUAAAUCCAAAAUAAUAGUAUAUAAUAAAUUUAAAAAUAUUAAUGAUAAAUUUGAAAUAGAUAUACAUGAUAAAUUUAAAAUAAUGUUAACAAUGAAUUUAAAAUAAUAAUAUUGAUAAAUUACAAAUAAUAAAACAUGAUAAAUCUAAAAUAAUAAUAUACAGUACACUUAGAUAAUAUUAAUGAUUAAUUUAAUAAUAAUAAGCAUAAACAUUCAAAUAAUAUCAGAUUUAAUUUUUUUAAAAAAAUAGCAUAAUAAUCGAUACUUAAAUAAAUAAAACACAAGCAAAUUAAAUCAAACUAAUGAGGAUUAAAUUGAAUUUAAAGCAAAAUUAAAAGGAAUAAAUGAGAAUAAAACAAAACUGAGGGCCAAAAUAUGGAAAAAAAUAGAUAGUAUAAAAAAAUAAAUUGCAAUUGAUAAUAUAUGGAAAAAAAAUUAAAGCAAAUAAUCAAACAAUUUAAAAUGGACGAUUUAUAACAUGAGUUUUAAAAAAAUAACAUGUGUGACAUAAUAUUAAAAACAAAUAGAGUAUAUAAUUAAUGGAAAAAAAAUAAAAGAAUGAUAAGAAUGGUUAAAUGAAUGAACAAUAUAUAAAUAAGAAAGUUGAUGGAUAAAUAAACAAAUAAAAAUAAAAGAAUAAUUAAUGAUUAAACAAUUAAAUGGAUAAAUAAAAAGGUUAAAAAACGCUUAAGUCAGUUUAACUCUUACAAUAUGAAGAUUCAAAGAAAUUCCUCCAUCAAAAUCCAACUCAAAUGAAAGCAACUUAAAAAGAAACAAAGAUGAACGAAGAACAAGAUAAGAACAAGCCACAGAAAAUAAGAACGCAAGAGAGGGAGAAAUUUGAGUGAAUGCUUUUAAGAAUUAUUAUUGCUCCAAACUUCAGUGUUUUACAAUGAAGGGAGAGGCCUCUAUUUAUAGUUGAGCCUCCCCAAAUCUAACGAUAUAGAUCAAUUACAUCAACGGCUAAGAUUAAAGGGUAUCUACAAAUUAAAUCUCUAAGAUUACAAAAUCUUAUCUUCUAAGAGUGCAUAUCAUAUCUUAGAUUGCAUAUUCUGGACCUUCAACCCACUACACCAAAACAAGUCUUUAGCGGCGUUUUUUUAGGCCUUUAGCGGCAAACAUCGCUAACGUUUGCAGCGUUUACAAAAAAAACCGCCGCUAAAGAUCAUAUUCUUUAGCGGCGUUUUUUUUAAGCGCCGCUAAAGAACCUGCUCUUUAACGGCGCUUUGUAAAAAACGCCGCUAGAGAUCAUAAUUUUUAGCGGCGCUUUUUUUACAAACGCCGCGAAAAGAAAUGUUCUUUAGCGGCGCUUUUAUACAAAAACGCCACUAUUUUUGGGAUUUUUUUAUAUUAAAAUUUUCAUUUUUUUAGCCCUCCUGUAGCAACAAAUCAAAAGCAACCAGAUCUAAACCAGCCAAAAACAAUAAUUUUAUAUAAUAUUUCAAAUUAAAUGAAUAAAAUAAUAUUAAUAUCAAUAAAUAAAAGUAAAUUCAUAUUAUUUUUGCAAAAAUGUUAAAAGUUAAAAUGAUAGAAAUAUUUAUGCAAUACACUAUGACGGCAGAAGUUGCGACUGAAACAUCUUCAUCAUACUCUAAAGCUGCUGCUGGAGUUCGUCGUACUUUUUGCUUUGCUCUGCUUCUCUCGCUGCAGCCUCUGCUUUAAGUUGUAGCUGGAGUUCUUCAUAUUUUCUUUGAACCUCUGCUUCCCUCGCUGUCGCCUCUGCUUUAAGUUGUAGCUGGAGUUCUUCAUAUUUCCUUUGAACCUCAACUAUGGUCGCUUGCAUCUGAGUCAUCUGAUCUUUUAACCUCUGAACUUCAGCUUGAGCCUGACUCCUCGAAGCCAUGUAUUGCUGCGAGCUGGAUCCAAAAUAUUAGGUUGGGCUAACAAAAGAUCCUUGAAAUCGAACCCGACCAUACCUUUCAGGACCUAAAACUUCAGUAAUAAUCCGGUUAUCAAUGUCUUCAGGAUGAACAGAACUAUCACUAGAAGCAAUCGCUUCGUACUCCGCCUUUUUAUCCUUUAGUUUUUCCUAAUAAAUAAAUCACAUAGUUAGGAACGCAAUAUAUAUUAAAAAACAUAUGCAACAUAACAAUAGUCGCAUUACAAGCAAUGAAUUAAACCAUUAGAAAAUAAACACUAUAAAUAACUAAAAGAAGUCAAAUCGUAUUAAGUAAACGUACCAUUAUUUCACCAGCUUCAGGAGUCAUGGGAGAUCCAUCUUUCUUCCUAUGUGUAAUUUCAAAAAGUUGAAGGCAUCAAACUUUUUGACCGGACGACAGUUCCUACAAUAUAGUAGUAAAAAUAUUAUUUAAUGGAAAGUUAUACAUAUUUGACAAUAUUAAAAAAUUAAAAAUACCUCCGCCUCAGCUACACAUGCAAAACUUCUCGACCUGGCUGUGUGAGUGAAUUUUUGUUUCUGCCUACUGCUUUUUCCAACUCGUUCACGAUCCUACGUUAUGAAAUUUUUAGUACGUAAAUAGUAAAUACUAUAAACCAAAAUAAUUACAAUAGUUUGGAAGUACGUCAUACCUUGCCUUUCUUCGAAUGCCAAAAUCUAACCGCAUCUUCCCAUUGGUACCUCAACAUACCCGGCAGGACAUUUUGCAAUUUCUCAUCGAGGGUUAUUUUUGUCUUAUAAUAAUUUUUCUUCAAAGUACUUUUAUGGUCUCUCCAUCUUUUUCCCAAUGCCUUCUUUACAUAAGCAUCCGAGACCUCCAAAGCAAACCUCGCCUACAAAAAACACAAGUUAAUAAAGUAAAUAUAAAUGAAACUAUUUCCCAAGCAUUACAGAUGACAUUAACAUUUUGUUACCUUAAUAUUAUCGAGGGCUUGGUUUUUGUUGCUAUCGGGCAUUUGAUGCCAUGACUUAUAGUUGAUAGGCAACAUAUUCGCAUUUUGUGCUAAAAUGCCCAUGUAUCCUGCUAAAAGUUGAGCUUCUGGUCCAACAGGCUGACCAAAACUAUUUCGUCCAACCUUGACACGCUCGACUGGAUCUAACUCGUAUAACUCUCUAAGCAGCGUACGUCCUCGACCUCUGCACGUCCCACCAUUUUCAGCUACAAAUGGUAUAUUAUAAUAUAAGAAUUUGAAAAAUAAAUCAAUUAUAAGUCAACACGCAUGUAAAUUAAAUGUAAAAUUACUUUGAACUUCUGUAGGAUCCUCAGAUGUAAUCGGAACAUUCGAAGAUCCAAUUGCUGUCUGUUGUUCAAUACUAUUUGUUUCUGUCGAGUUUGGAUUAUUUUGAACCAUGCUUCCCCUUAGAAUUUUUCUUCUAGGCAUUUUAUCUGCAAUACACAUAAAAUAGUUGAAAACUUAAUAACUAAUUACAACAAUAACAACACAUAUAAAAUAAUUGAAAUAUAUAAUAAGACCAAGAUUUAAAUUAUUAUAUUACAUAUAAUUAAACAAUCGUAAAAUCUUACUCCAUCAUUAUUCGUAAAUAUCUUCAUCCGUAUCUUGACGAACCCAUUGAAAUUGUGCACUAGUACUAGGGAUAUUAUCGUUUAAGUUUUGUUUUGGAAAGGGCAAAGUUUCUGAUCUGUCGUCGAUGUUAUCUCUACUUCCACUGCCCAUGUCAAACAAGUCUCUAGGGAUGUUACGAAGUAUAACGUACUAACCCUCAUCAGUUGGAUAUUUUGAGUAAAAAACUUGUUUGACUUGAGAUGAGAAUACAUACGGCUCAUCUAUCACUUGUUGUCCUAUAUAAAUCAAUCGGGCGAAGUUCACCACUGUAAAACCAAAUUGAUCUUGCUUAAUUCCACGAGCAGUAUUAACAUCAGCCCAAUCACCUCGCAAUAAGACAACUUUCCAUUUGCCGUAGUUAUCCAACUCAAUUAUGUCAGUAAGAAGUCCGAAAUAUUCCACAUUUCCCUCAACAAGAUUAUUGUCCCUAGCACUAGCAUAACUUGUAAUUGAGGAAUUAACAACUAUUCCACAAUCUUGCUUUCUCCUCAACCUCUUGCGAUAUUUUGUAUGAAAUCUGAAUCCGUUGAUGAGGAACGCACUAUAUCUUUUAACCACUCGAUCUGGACCUUGGGAGAGCCAUUUAACUUCGUCGUUUACGUUCUUCCCACUCCGAACCUAUUGAAUGGAAAGUAAACCGAGUAAUUAAAAAUUAUUCAAUGUAGACAAUAUUUCAUAGCACACACCUCAAAAAUUUUCACAAACAAAAAGAAAAACAAUUAAAAAAAAGAAAAAGAAAACCCUGAACUACUAGAAUUAAAGAAACCUAUAGCAGGCAGAAAAAUGUAAAGCAACCUUCUUUGUAGCAGGCAUGGCCUCAAGUAUUAUAACCACAAAGAAUAUCUGACAACAAUUGCCUACACCAAACCAACAUGGACUUGUAAAACAAUUCCCACAAGAAGUUGGGUUAAUUUUAUAUGAAAUAGUUUCCCCGCAAAAAUCUAGCUUUUUGGACUUGUAAAACAACAAAUCCAAGUGAAAUGACUUUAGUUUAAAAUUUAAAUUACGGCACUCUCCGCCAUUCAGCCAAUAGUGCUUUUUAAAGAUAUACAAGUAAAGAAAAACAAACUGAAUGAACAAGAUAGGGAAUGACAAGGCCCAUGAGGAAAAUAAUGAAAAAAAUAAAAAUUCAGAUAAUAGUUGAAACAGAACUAACGGUUCUAGGAGAAACUUGGACAAGCCCAGAUACAGAUUUAUACACUUAAGGUAGCCAAAAUUUUCAAUGGCAGCAAAAAUGAAAAAAAAAUGUAUAUAUAUACAGAAAAAGGAACUGAAAUCUUGUAGAAAGAGAAGAGGUGGCUCACUUCUCGGACGUGGAUAAGCAGACGGAGAAACAACGAAAAUGAAGCACAGAUUCAAAAGAGAUGAUUUAAGAGAAAAAGUUUUAUAUUUAUUUAUUCAUUUGCCUUACUAAUAAUAUCAAAUUCCAAGCAGGAAAGAAAGGUUGAAUUCCAAGCAUUGAUUUUAAAUGUCAAAGGAACGAUGACACCUUCGCCGAAGAUCUCCGGUGUGUCAACAUCGUCGACUUCCAUGGCUGAACCUUGGUCGUCUGGGUCCGUCACGAAUUCCAUCGGCUUCUAAGCUUCUAGGGAUUUCUUUCCCCCUUUUUCUUUAGGCUUCUAGGGAUUUCUUUCGUUGUUUUAAUUUUAAUUAUUUCUGUUGAAAUAUCUUUCCCCUCUUUUCCUUACAAUAAAUUAUGGAUUUUGUGGCGUUUUUAGAAAAAACGAAGCUAAAAAAAUUAAAUUUUUGUAGUGAAACGGCACGUUUUGGAAAAAUUUAAUAAAUAUUUGCGGCGUUUUUUGUCCAAACGCCGCUAUUGCUUACCUUUUGCGGCGUUUUUCUCAUAAAUGCCGCUAAUGGUUGAUUUUUUUUAUAAUUUUGUAUUUAAUUAUUAUAUAAUUCAUAAUCCAUAAUUCCUAAUUAUUUAAAUUAUUUAAAAAAAAAGAAAAUCAAGAAUUGUAGAUUUAAUGUUGAUAUUAUAAAUUACUGGUAAAUUCAAAUAAAAAUCUAUCUUAUCUAAACAUUUUAAAUAUAUAUAUAUUUUCAAAUUGUUAAAUUUCAGUCCUAUAUAAAUGAAUCACCAUCCUGUUUCAACAUUCGGCUUUCGAAAUUUCAAUGGAAUUUACAGAAAAUAUUUUGUUAUUUUAUUUAAUAAUUAGGUGUUUUGUGAGAUAAUAAGUAAGAAAUUUAAUUGACAUAUUAUCUUAAUAUGUUAUAAAAAUACUGUUAUUAUCUUAAUUAUAUUACUUACAUUCUAAUGAUUUAUCGGACCUAUUCCAUACACGUGUCAAAUCAGAAAAAUAAUACAACAAUUCUGUAAAAAAAAAUUCGGUGUUUACUUCAAAUAAAUAAGGAAAAUAAUAAUUUGAAUGUUUCAAAAUUCAAUUUUAAACCGAAAAAUCAAAAUUUAGAGGCAAAAAAGGAUCUUUUUCGACGAAAACUGCGGCAAACUGCCUUCGGCAAUUUGUCAGGGCGUAGAUCUCGAAAAGUUAUUCGAGAUAAAAAAAAUGGCCUCAAUUGGACAACCGAGCCAAAAGUUAUGGCCUUUCAAAAUUUUCCAAGCUAAAAAACAUAAACUGUUCAUGAAUUAUUACUUCAAAACUCACCGUUUCGUUUCCAUUGAUUUCAUCGUGCACCAUUUCAAUUGAUUUCACAAAUCCCGCCUCUAAUCCUCCCAAAAUUUGACAUCCCUCCAACUCUACACAACGAUUCAAAAUGCUUUCUUUUUCAGGCAAAAUACCAAAAAAGCCCUAUAUUUUUAAAAUUUAUCGAAAUGGGCCCGGUAUUUUAUUAUUUACCGAAAUGGGCCAUUUUUCCCGAAAUCGCGUCCACGUCAGCGCGAUACCAGGGGACGUGUUGAAACUCUAAACCCCAAAUCCCUAACCUAAUUAUUGAAACCUUAAACCCCAAAUCCCUAAACCCUAACCCCUAAAUCCCAUAACCCAUAAAUCUCUCUAACCUCUAAAGCAUAACACUGAACCCCUAAACCUUAAUUCACAAACCCAAAAUCCAUACCUCGGCCUACUCCUUAAACUCUAAACCAUAUAAUAUAGUGAUAAUUAAUUCAAUAUUUUUAAAUUAAUACUAUCUCUUUUACGAUUAUAUAAGAAAUUAUUUAAUAUAUAAGCUAAAAAAAUCAGUAAUGUAUCCAAAAAGCUUUAAAAUUAUUUUAAAUAAUAGUAUUUUAAUUUUUCCAUUUUUAACAAAUAUUUUAAAUUAUUUUAAAUCCCUGAGCAUUAGCGGCGCUUUUGUAAAAACGCUGCUAAAUCCCCGAAAGCUCAGAAAACGGCAUCGUUGGGUUUAGGUUUUUUUGCGGCGCUUUCCCAAAAACGCCGCUAAAGCCCUGAGCAUUAGCGGCGCUUUCUUAAAAACGCCGCUAAAUCCUCAAAAGCUUAGAAAACGGCGUCGUUGGGUUUAGCUUUCCCAAAAACGCCGCUAAAGCCCUAAGCAUUAGCUGCCCUUUCUUAAAAAUGCCGCUAAAUCCCCGAAAGCUCAGAAAACGACGCCGUUGGGCUUAGUUUUUUUUACGGCUUUUUCCCAAAAACACCGCUAAAGCCCUGAGCAUUAGCGGCGCUUUCUUAAAAACGCCGCUAAAUCCACGAAAGCUCAGAAAACGACGCCGUUGGGCUUAGUUUUUUUUGCGGCGCUUUCCCAGAAACGCCGCUAAUGCCCUGAGCAUUAGCGGCGCUUUCUUAAAAACGCCGCUAAAUCCACGAAAGCUCAGAAAACGGCGUUGUUGGGCUUAGUUUUUUUUUGCGGCGCUUUCCCAAAAAUGCCGCUAAUCCCCGAAAGCUCAGAAAACGGUGUCGUUGGGCUUAGGUUUAUUUGUGGCUUUUGAGCAAAAACGCAAGUAAAGUCCUGGGUAUUAGCGGCGCUUCUCGAAAAACACUGCUAAAUCCUCGAAAGCUCAGAAAACGACGUCGUUGGACUUAGAUUUUUUUGUGGGGCUUUAGCAAAAAUGCCGCUAAAGUCCUGGGUAUUAGCGGCGCCUCCCGAAAAACGCCGCUAAAUCCCCGAAAGCUCAGAAAACGGCGUCGUUAGGCUUUGGUUUUUUGUGGCGCUUCGGCAAAAACGCUGCUAAAUCCGCUAAAGCUCAAAAAAUGGCGUCGUUGGUCUUAGGGUUUUUUGUGGCGCUUUGUCAAAAACGCCGCUAAUGCCCCGAAAGCUCAGAAAACGACGUCGUUGGGAUUAAGUAUUUUGUGGCGCUUUCGCAAAAUCGCCGCUAAUGCUUAUUUCAUCGGCGUUUUCCAUGGAACGCUGCUAAUGGUCGAUCUUUAGCGGCGUUUUUUAUCCAACCGCCGCUAAAAACGCCGCUAAAAGUCUGUUUUGGUGUAGUGACCUUUUCAAGUAAUGAGUCAUUCCGAUCGGACCAAAUGAUAUAAUUUUGGACUGGAGUUAGACUUUAUUUUAUUAUUUUAAGUUUUUUUGUAAACUCGGGCUAAAUUGACCUAUUACAUUCAUAAAUAAAAUUUAUAUUUAAAUCAUUUUUGUAAAUAAUCAAAUUUAAAACCCACAUUUUACAGUGUUGUGCUUCUGGAUUCAUCGUAGGCCUAAGAGUUGGCAAGAUCAUGAGUGACAUAGUGGGUAGUUGUUGUGUAAUGUCAAUCUACAGAAGACACGUAAUUAGAAAGUGACAAAAUUAUUGUCCUUCAGUUGUAGGACAUCCCAUGCAUUUACACUUUGAAAAAUAAUGCAAAGAGCUGACGCGUAAGGACAGCAAUUAAUGGUACGGUAUUCAUCUGUCUCAUAAUUAAUUAAUAUGGCCACAACCACAAGGCUUGUGCCAAAUCACCCCCUACUUCAUUUGACCCCAAUCUGAACUGAAAACCAUGCCUCCAACUUCUUUGCUCCUUAGCUGGGACUGAAUUAUGUUAUUUUACAUUUCCUAUUUGCUUUAAUAUUAUAGAUGUAUAUUUAUUUUAUUUACCCUAUACAAAUUUACAUUAUCCUCUAUCAUUUUAUUAAAUAUAUAUAUAAUAACACCCUUAAACAAUUAAAUUAGGAUUCAACUUUUUAUGGGUUACUUAUUUAAUGAUUUAACCUUUCAAAAUGGUCACAUGAGCGUUACUUUUAUAUACGUAUUUAAAUAAGAGUUUUUCAUACGCUUCAAUUAAGUUCAUAUUAAAAAUUAGUUAAAUGAUAAUAUGUUUAGAAUAAAAUAAAUAACAACUAAAUAAAAUAUUAUUUAAAAAGAAAAGAAAAGAAUAAUAACAUAAUUUGAAACCCAAUAUACGAUAUCUAAGAAGCCAUUAUUUUUGUAGUUUUGAAAUGGUUUGGCUAUUAUUUAAGCACUUUCGAAAAGGUUCGGCCAUUGUUUGAACAUUUUGAAAAGUUUAGCCUUCUUUUGAGCACUUUUGUAAAGAUUAGGCCUUAUAUGACAAUUUUGAAAGAUUUGAUCCUUAUACGAGCUACCCUAAAAGGUUAGACCUCAAAUUGAGCAUUUUUAGCUUUUGAUUUAUUAUUAUUAUUGUUAUAACAUUAAUGUUAUAUAAAAUGUUGAAUAAUACAAUGAGUGUGAUUCACACUAUAAGGGGGUGUGAAGAGCCUCUAGAAUGGGGCAAUUUACACCAUAGAUGAUGCGAUUGGAUUUUAAGUUGUAACACCUUGAAUAAUUUAAGUCUGUUUUUGUGAAAUUUAGGGUCUGUCUGAUUGCCAGUAAAAUGUUUUCCGUAAAAUAAUUUUUGGAAAAUGUUUUACUUUUCUAUAAAAUGAUUUACUGGAAAAUAUUUUUUGGUGUUUGAUUGAAUCCGUGUAAAAUAUUUUCUGCUGUUUGGCAGAUUUCCUGAAAAUAUUUUUCGAAAAAGUUAUUUUUACAUAUAUUAAUAUAUAUUAAUAAAUUUUUAUAUUUUAUUGCAAUGAUUUAUUUAUAAUAAUACUCAAUUAUUAAGCUACAAUAUUAAUCGUUAAAUUAAAAAAAACUAAAUUAAAUAUAUAAUAAUACUCAAUUAUUAAAAUAUAAAAGCAUUGCAAACUACUUCCGAAAUUUACUAAUUAGUAGUGAAUCAAUUGUAGUGAUCUCCUGAUGAAAUUACGCUCAGCAUAAAAGCAAUUUUUUUGUUGUCUUACAAACAACACAGAUAGCAUCAUUAUCAAAUUUCAGCCACUCUCAAGUAUAACCAAUUCCUUAGCCAACCAAUCUACAUUGUAACACAAAGCUAACUCCUAUAAAAAUUAUCCCAAUGCACACAUUUACAGAAAUAAAUAUGUAUAUAUGUAUGCAUUCAACAAAUACAUAACCAUAUGCAUGCAAUCAGCUAUGUUCUUUGAAAGCUACUACUAGAUCAAGCAUUGCCCCAAUACCAUAGGUUGCCAUCCAAUAGAGAGGAAAAAAUACAAGCAAAGAACCCAACUUUUUACUUAGACAUAUGGCGAAACGUGCUCAUGCAACUGGUAAGAAAAAAUCACUCAUGGCCCAAAAAAGAAUUUCAUAAAACUGAUAGUAAAAUCAAAAUGAAUGAUACAUACAAUCAAAAUUUUCAACUGACACCUAUUGAUUUAAUACAACCAGGUAAAGAGGCCGACAACCAUCUGAUAUCUAUGAAGCAAAUGAACUAGCAAUAUACUAGAAAUAUCAGCAAUUGCAAUCAACAAAGGCAACAGGCUCCAUUGAAGUCCCCAAUUUAAAUCUAUUGAUUUAAUACAUGCUCUCAUUGAAGUCCCCAACUCUAGGAAUAUUGUUCUGCCAGAAGCUAGUCAGUUAAGCAAAAUCAAUAAAAAUUCAAGAAACAUAAACCCAAACCUAGAUAAACUACUGCAUUUAUCUUACGGUGCUUGCCAAUUACGUUGCCAUGAUUUCCAAUUAUAACAGAAAUGGAGUUCUGAAAAAGACCGACCCGUACCCGGGGUUCUCUUAACAACUCUUUGUCAGCAGAAAAUUUGAAAGCCUGGAAUGAUUUGAAAUGGAAAAGCACUUAUAACUGCCUUCUACAAUAUACUUGUAUUGAAAUGACAAAAAUUGAGGCACAAGGUGAUAAGAGCUAGAAAGGGGUGCAAGUGAUAAUAGACAUUAACAUGUCCUUACCUUCCAAUAAAUUUAAAAUGGCAUAUCCAUCGCAAGAAUUUUUAUGAUUUGUACCCUCGACAACAUUGGUGAAGAACAACACAACCUAUAAAAUUGUUAUAAGUAUCCUAAAUUGAGAUCUACCUUGAUCAUUAGAGACAAGAUUAGUGCUUUGUUGUAGCACAAUUUAAAAUAAUUGUUUAUGAAAGCAAGACAAUGUGCAAGUACACAAGCAUGAGAGCAACGGAGCUUUCAAUUUUAUCUAUUAAUGGUUUUCACAUGUCUUGAGAGAGAAUAUGAUUGCUAGAUAUUACAAAAGGUUAAACAAAAAAGGUAGGCUAUAUUCUGUACUAGCUCUACAAGUUCAGAGUACAAAAACCACAAGCACUUCUAAUAAAUCAAAUUCUACAGGUCUCUAAUGGUCAGAACCAUUACUCAUUUAUCUUCAGAAAACAGGAGUGGCGAGUUGCAAAAAUCUAUACCUCAUCAACUUCCAUUGAGAGAUCAUUCACACUUUGCCUAAGUAAUCCUUUCAAUCUUCCUUUCUUGAAAUCUGAAAGCUCAGCACCAAUGUUGUUUUCAAAAAGUGAAUCAACAUCUUUAGGACUACAAUCCAUAGACUCUUUAUCAUUGACCACCAUAUACUUCCCUUGAGACAACUCAGAUGCAUUGGAAUUGGACAGAGUAUUUUUAUCUUCUGACAACAGGUCAGCUAUUUGACAAGCAUAGAAGCUAAAGAAAUCAGGUCCAGCUUUACAUUGCUUACUCGAACCAUCUGAAUUUCUCGGCAUCUCUGACAUGAUAGAAGUACUACUACUCUGCAUACGACAACUACAUAGAUAUGAAUCAGUCCAGACUCCAGAUAAAUAACUGAAGCAAAAGAGGAAGAAGCACCAUUAUAUAUACUAUACAAAUUUCUCUCUAAAGCUAUAUUUAGAAACAUGAAUUUGAACAUUUGGAUUUAAUUUCAUUUGUUAUAAAAAUCUACGGAUAAAUAAAUAUUGAUGAGCUAAGAUGAUGGAUCUCUAUAUCAAUGAAUCGUUAUAAUGCAGUAAUGUUGGAUAAAUAAAUAGGCACUUGAAGAUCAAACUCAUGUUUUGAAGAGAGGGCUUUAGCUGAUUCAGGUGGAACAAUAGUUUCAAGUGUUGUUCCGCAAUUCAGCCUUAGAAGCAAUCGGCUGACUUCCUGUUAAUAAACCAUAACAAAAUUCCAAAAGAUUGUUACUUUCACCAGCAAUAAGAUCAGUAGAUUUUGACUUUUAAUAGGCAAAACAUGUUACUUGUUAAUGAGAUAAACUGUUUACAAAUUCUAGGAUCGUCUGCAAUGAUUAUUUCAGUGGCAAAAACUGACUAAAAUGACAAUAACCAAUCAAUUCAUAAUAGACAAUAUGAAAUGGGUUUCCUUUUUCAUGAUCAAAUUUGCUUUUACAAUAUAUAUAUAUAUAUAUAUAUAUAAGCAAGAAAAAUAACAGGAAAGACAAAUAAAUUACAACCCGGAAAGUGGGAAAAAAGAAAAAGAAAAGACCUGGUAGAGUUGAGGCUUGAGAUUUGCGCUCAAGAGGUGGUGAAGCGAAUUAUACCCACAAAUUGAUCCAUAUUUGAAACUUUCUUUUUCUUCUGUGCUUCCAUUUUCUUUCCCAAUUCCAUCAGUUUUUUCAUUUUCUGAUUCCCUCAAUUAUUGCUCCGAAAUCAAAACAUAGAAAAAAGGUUGAUGAACGCCGGUGUCUAGUGUUAAGAAUCGAUGUUGGUUGAUGGCAAGCAGAAGAUCAGGUGUCAAGGAUAGGAGAAAGGGAAGGGCAAGGGAAAGGGAAAGGGAAAGGGAAGAUCGAUGUCUAAAAUUUUCUUGAAAAUGUCUUAUCGAAUUAGAAACGGUAAGAUAUUUUCCAAAAUUAAAGGCUUCUUUUUCCCGUAUUUGUAAUUGAUUUUACGUGAAGAAAAUAUUUUCAGCCAAACAAACACUGGAAAAGGCUGAAAACCUUUUCCGGAAAAUGUUUUACUACAAUCAAACAGAGCCUUAACAUAAAAUGUGUAUUUGCUUCAGUGGUUAAGUGUUCUGGGUGUGUGUAUGAGGUUUUGGGUUCAAGUCUUUAUUUUGGAAUUUUUUUUUAUUUUUUUAUCCAAGCCUUAUCUCUAUUAGGUGGGCUUAUGUUUUAUCUUUAGUAAACCCAAAUCAGAAUGAGCCUGUUGGUUCGAGCAAUAACGAGUUAGCUUGCUGAAGGUCCUGUGUUCGAUUCCCUGUGUGAGCGUGGAUGAUAUUUUUGUUUUAGUUGUGAGAUAGAGGUUAGGUGAAAGUAAAAUUCUAAGGUGGUGGAGAGUUAGUCGGUUAGUUAGUGGAAUAAUGGAAAGUUGAGAUAUUAGGGGUUUCAAAUUUUAUUUUAAUUUUUUUUCUUCUCAAAGUUUUUGACGUCAGUUUUAUUUUAUUUUUCCCUCUUUUAACAUUUUUACCUUCUCGGUAAAAUCCUUUUCAUUUCUCUUUGAUUCUAUUCGUGAAUCCCUCGUUCAAAUCAUUGCUACUGUGAUUUUUGGGUUCUUUAAUCGGUUGGUAAGUAGAACUUCGUAUCUCUUUAACAAUUGGUUUGAGAUAUUGGCAAUGUUAAGUUGUAGCGAUUAAUUAGUAGAUUCUGUGUUUAGGAGAAGAUUGUGAAGCAGAAAAUUCACUCCGACAGCCUAAUCCGUGUUAGUGGUGGUUUUCAUUAACGAUAAGUUUGUGAUCGUUGUUGAAUUUUUGUCACGAAUUUGUAAAUUGGUUGCUAAUCGGGGUUAGAGAUACUAUUUACAGGUUUUUAUGGUCUCGGGAUUGAUUAUACUACAAAAAUAAACCAGGUGUGUAACCCUAACGUGAGAAAAUGAGAUUCGACGAAAGUUAAAAUUUAGGUUUGUCGACGCCACACUAGCGUGUGCCCGGUCGUGUGCAAGACAUGGUCGUGUGACUUAUAAGGGUAUGGCCCUGCGUAAGACACGACCGUGUAACAGUGUUAGUGUGGCUGUGUGGACUUCACGGGCUGGGCGAGAUUGGCCGAAUGGGCCCAUACGGGCAAGCCACAUCGACGUGUGGGCCCAUAAUUCUAAAAUUUUCCCUAGGAUCUCACUGGUCGUUUUGAUUGAAUGUGAACCUAUUAUAGGGUCGGUAAGGGCUAAUCAAACUCUAAUUCAUGUGAUCUGAUAUUCUGAUAGUCUGAUUUGAGUAGGACAUUGAUAUGUAUGUAUGACUGUUCUGUUUGAGUAUAUAUAUAUGUGUUAUCUAUAUACGAACAUGUGUUAAUUAUGUUAAUUUUGUAUUAUGUAUUGUGUUUAGGGUGGGAUUUGUAUAUAUGGAGGAAGUGAUCUGUACGGUGACCUUUCGCCUAUAUUCUGGUAGCUUGGCUGCGUAUUAUCUAUUAUGUGUCGCAUCAAAACUCUAUGGUGUCUAGGGAUGGGUGGGUGUUUUUAACCCCCACAUGGUGUGAUGGGAUGGACGGAGAUGGUGUGUAGAGGAUGGGGGUAGGAUUUUGUAUAUUCGUUCUAUUUAUCUGAUAUGAUUUCUGUAACUGUUGUGGACUUAGGUUCGAAUCUGUUUCUGACUGUAUAUGAAACUUUGUGUAUGCUGCAUGUCUGUCUCUGUUGGGUUACACACUGAGUUUAUAUAAACUCACAUUUGUUUGACUUUUUUGUUCAGGUAACCUAUAGACAUAGGCGGGUCAGUGCGACGGAGGCUCAGCGGUGACCACUCGAUAGAAAACUGUUUCCAUUUAUUAUUUCAUGGUUUUUAUUUAAAUUUCUAAUUUUCGUGAGAGUUUUGUAAUUUUUGGACUCUCCAAACUUUUUGAACUGUUUGGUUUCAAUUUUUGGUUUGGUUGGGUUAUGAUUUCUAAACUACGACAAUUCGACAAAAUAUUGAUUUUACGUGAUCAAAUGUCAUCGAGCCUGGUUUCUAUUUAAACGACUUUUCAAACUUCCGCUGCUAAAUGAUUUGGUUAACCUUAAGGGAUAACAUGUAACUGUUUCAUUAAUAAAUAUAUAAGUGAAUACGUUUUACAAAACUUGGACGUUUUAUUGAAAUAUUAUUGGUUUUAAAACCUUUCUUCGUAACACUCCUGAAUUCGGCCAUAACGUCUAGGUCGAGUUUGGGAUAUUACAUUUAGUGGUAUCAGAGCCAGGUUGUAAAACUCGGGUUAUGAAUUUUGGAUUCCAAAAUUUUGUCUUGAAAAAAGACUAGUUUUUAAAUAAUUUAGAUCAUUCCUGAGUAAGUAUGUGAUACACCAAGUCUUCGGUGUCGAUUUUAUAAGUAUCUCUAAAUUUUGAAAAUACAAUAGAUAGUACUUUAUGAAAUUGUAAUAAGUUAGUUAAAGACUAAAACCUCUGAAAUACUUCUGAACUUUUGAUAUUUUAAGCAUAAAAUAUUUGUUAAUAAAAAUUGAAACUGAGGCAUAAAAUUUUAUAAUGUAAAUAAAAUUAAAAAUACGAUGAGUACUCAUGAAACUCAUGGUCAUAGUAAUCGUGGACGUGGCGGGCGCCGUAGUAGGGCUUGAGUUGAGUUUUCCUCUCUAGGCAGUAUGCCAAAUUUAGAUACGAGUGAGGCACCGGUUUUACUUACUACAAAGACUGGGUUUGAAAGCCGUUCGUCUGGGGACGAUGCACUGUCCUAAUCUAUGUUGAGAGUGUUGGAGAGGGUUGCUAGACCCUAUUCGGGAUCUGGAGGUCGUAGGUCGAUAACAAAAUGACUUCGAUCCAAUAGAGUUGAGUUGUUUAGAGGUGUCACUAGAGUCACCUUUACUGUGGACGAGUAUUGGUUAGAGGCCAAUAAGAGGAUUAUGAAUGACAUCUACUGCACUCCUGAGUAGAAAUUAAAAGGUGCAAUCUCUUUGUUUCACGACGAAGCUUAUCAGUAGUGGUUGUCAGUUGAGGAGGGUAUUCAACCGGAUCAUCUGAACUGAGACUACUUUAAGACCGCUUUCUAGGGAAAAUAUGUGGGUGCAAGCUCUGUGGAUGCUUGUAGGCGUGAGUUCACGAAUCUCACGCAAGGUGAUAAGUCUGUGGUCGAGUAUGAGGUCAAAUUUCUGAGACUGAGUCGCUACGCUCAAGGCAUUGUGGCAUCUGAGUAUGAGAAAUAUGUUUGUUUUAAGGACGGCUUGAGGGAUAGUCUGAGGGUAUUAAUUGCUUCACAGAGAGCGAGAGUUUGCUGUUCUUGUGGAUAAGGCGAAGAUCGCCGAGGAGGUUAAGGACGUAGAGUGCUAGAACAGAUAUCGUGAGAGAGGCAAGAAUAAGAAGGAUUCAGAGCCCUCUAGUUCUAUUCAGAGGCCUAAGAAAUUGCCCAGACCUGAUGGGCCUGUUAGGGUGGGAGUUAUUAUUGCUCUUACUAGGAUUCAGCCUUGUGGUGACUGUGGUAGGCUUCAUCUGGGUAAGUGUUGGAGGAGAUCGGGGCUUAUUUGCGGUAUGGGUCUUUAGAGUACCAGAUUAAAGAAUAUCCACAUCGUACCAAUUAGAUGCAAGCUACGGGACCAGGUUUUGUUCAGCCUCAGAGGACAGUACAACAGCCACCUAAGGGUCGUGGAUUGGCUAGGAGUGGUAAUGGUAUGAGUCAUGGACAGAGAGUACCAGACAAAGGUGUUAAUCAGACUGAGGCGAGACAACCUGCACUGGUUUAUACUGCUCGACGCCGAGAGGAUAGAGACGCUCCUGAUGUGAUCACGGAUACGUUUUUAAUUUUUGAUAUUUCAUAUAUUACUUUGAUAGACUUAGGUUCUACACACUCCUAUGUAGCUAGUGUUGCUUCUGAAAACUUGAGAAUUUCUAUUGAGUGUACUUGUGGUGAGAUUAUUGUACUGAGUCUGUUGGGACAGUCUGUUUGGGUAAAUAGACUUUAUAGGAAUGUUUCGUUGGAAGUAUAAUGGGUUAUCUUUUCGGUAAAUCUGAUGGAGCUAUCGUUUGGGGAGUUUGACUUAAUUCUAGGUAUGGACUGAUUAGUUGAACACCGAGUUAGUUUGGAUUGCGUAACUAAGAGGGUCAUUUUGAGGACCAAAGAUGAUAAGGAGGUGGUUGUGAUUGGUGAGUGUCGAGAUUACUAGUCUAAUAUAAUCUCCGCUCCAGUAGCUGAGAAAUUAGUUUGAAAAUUGUGAGGCGUAUUUAGCCUACGUCAAUAUUUCAGUUUAUGGGGACUCUGCUGUCGGGGAUAUCAGAACAGUGAGGGAAUUUUUGGAUGUUUUUCUUGAGGAAUUGCUGGGUUUACCUCUGAAUCAAAAAGUUGAGUUUGACAUUAAGCUUCUACCGGGUACAAAAUUGGUAUUUAUAGUUCUUUACUGUAUGGCACUGAAGGAGCUUACAGAGCUUAAGGUUUAACUUUAAGAGCUUCUGGUUUCAUCCAUUCUAACGUGUCUCCGUGGAGGGCACCAGUUCUAUUUGUGAAGAAAAAUGAUGGUACCAUAAGGAUGUGCAUCGAUUACUAGCAGUUGAAUAAACUGACUGUGAAGAAUAAGUACCUACUUUCGAGGAUCGAUGAUCUGUUUGAUCAAUUUUGAGGGGCUUCAGUAUUCUCAAAAAUAGAUAUCUGUUUUGGGUAUCAUCAACUUAGAGUUAAGGAAGCCGAUAUUUAUAAGACGGCUUUUAGGACUCGUUAUGGGCACUACGAGUUCCUAGUUAUGCCCUUUGGUUUGACAAAGGCUCCAACUGGAUUCGUAGAUCUGGUGAACCAAGUUUUUGGUGUACUCUAAGAUUGAGGAUAAGCAUGACGAUCAUCUUAGGGUAGUGCUUCAGAUACUUCGAGAGAAACAACUUUACGCUAAGUUGAGAAAAUAUGAAUUCUAGUUAUGAGAAAUAACAUUUUUGGGGCACGUGGUUUCUACUGAGGAGAUCCGAGUUGAUUCUAGAAAGAUUGAGGUUAUGCUUGACUGGAAACAACCUAAGAACGUAUCUGAGAUCCGUAGUUUUCUAGGACUUACAUGUUAUUAUUGGAGGUUUAUUGAGGGGUUCUCGUUGAUUGCAGCUCCUUUAACUAAGCUUCUGUGCAAGAGUGUUCCUUUCUUCUAGACUGAUGCGCAAUAAUCGAGCUUUGAGAAGCUCAAGUCUAUUUUGACUCAAGCUCUUAUUUUGAUAUAGCCUGAAUCUGGUAGGGAGUUUGUGGUGUACAGUGAUGCGUCGCACGUUGAUUUGGGAUGUGUACUGAUACAAGAUAGUAAGGUUAUGGCUUAUGCGUCUCAAUAGCUCAAGUCACGCGAGGGAAAUUAUCUGAUGCAUGAUCUCUAGUUGGCUACGGUAGUGUUUGUACUAAAGAUUUGUAGGCCCUAUCUGUAUAGUGAGAGGUGUAUUAUCUACACCGAUCACCAGAGCCUCAAGUACCUCCUUACUCAGAAGGAAAUCUUAGGCAACAUCGAUGGAUUGAGCUGCUAAAAGAUUAUAACUGCACAAUGGAGUAUCAUCCCAGUAAGACUAAUGUGGUGGCUGAUGCUCUCAGUUGUAAAGCGAUGACUGAUUUGAUAGUAGUGUUCGCUCUUCUUAGUCUGUUGGAUGAUGGAGGUCUGUUAGCCGAGUUGCAAGUUAAGCUGACUUGGAUUGGGCAGAUUUGGGAAAGGGGAUGAGUCACUGGUUCUGCGGUUUGUCAGGUUGGGAGUGGCUAUACUUUUGAUUUUAGACUGAAUAAGGAUGGAGUUCUGUGUUUUUGAGGACGGGUUUGUGUAUCAAAUGAUUUUGAUCUGUUCUGAGGGAAGCGUAUAGUAGUCCUUAUGCUAUACAUCCUAGUGGUAAUGGAUUUUCGUGAGCUGUACUAGUGGCCGAGGUUGAAACGAGAGGUAAUAGAUUUUUUUAUUCAUUGUCUGAUAUGCCAGCAAAUUAAAGUUGAGCAUUAGUUUCCUUCAAGUUUUCUCCAACCCGUUAGGAUUCUUUUAUAGAAAUGAAAACGAGUGAUGAUGGACUUCGUUAGUGGGUUGUCCUUGACACUCAUUAAGAAUAAUUUUGUUUGGGUCAUCAUGCAUCGAUUGACCAAAUCUGCCCAUUUGAUUCUGGUCCAGACGAACUUCUUUCUACAAAAGUUAGAGAAGCUCUAUAUCUCCGAGAUUGUAAGACUGCAUGGGGUUUCAGUUUCGAUAAUUUUUGAUAGGGAUCCUUGCUUCACUUCUCGUUUCUGGAUGAAACUUUAGGAAGCCCUAGGUUCGAGAUUGGACUUCAGUACUGCGUUUCAUCCUCAGACCAAUGGUCCAUCAGAGAGGGUGAUUCAGAUACUGGAGGAUAUGCUUCGGAGUUGUGUGAUUGAUUUUUGAGGUAAUUGAGAGGAUUUUCUGUUGUUAGCUGAAUUCACCUGUAAUAAUAGUUUCUAUUCUAGCAUUCAUAUGGCACCUUACGAGGCUUCGUAUGAUCAUAAGUGUCGUACUUCACUAUGUUAGACUAGUUAGGUGAGUGAUAGAUUUUGGGUCUUAAGUUGGUUUUCUAGACUGAAAAUAAGGUUAGAUUGAUUCGGGAUUGUCUGAAGGCGACUUUUGAUAGACAGAAGUCCUAUGCAGAUCUAAAAAGGAGGGAUAUUGAGUACUCUGUGGGUGAUUCUGUAUUCUUUAGGGUAUCACCGUGGAAGAAGGUUCUACGAUUCGAUCGUAAUGGCAAGUUAAGCCUUAUUCAUUGGGUCGUACCAGAUUCUGAAGCAUGUGGGACUGGUUACUUAUCAGUUAGAGUUACUUCUAGAGUUGGACUAUAUCCAUGAUGUGUUACACGUCUCGAUGUUGAGGCGGUACUAGUCUGAUCCAUCUCACGUUGUCUUUGUUGAGGAGAUCGAUGUUAGACCAGAUUUAACUUUUGAGGAGGAACCGGUUCAGAUUUUGGAUCGAGAUAUUAAGGUUUUGAGGAGGAAGUCCAUAUCGUUAGUGAAGGUUCUGUAGUGGAAUCAUGGCAUUGAGGAAGCCACGUGAGAACUUGAGGACUUGAUGCGUCAGCAGUAUCCUCAUCUGUUCGGAUCAGGUAAAUUUCGAGCCAAAAUUUCUUUUAGAGGGUAGAGUUGUAACGCCCUGAAUAAUUUAAGUAUGUUUUUAUUAAAUUUGACAUAAAAUGUGUAUCUGCUUCAGUGGUUAAGUGUUCUGGGUGUGUGUAUGAGGUCUUGGGUUCAAGUCUCCCUUUUAGCAAACUUUGUUAUUUUGAUCCAAGCCUUAUCUCUGUUAAGUGGGCUUAUGUUUUAUCUUUAGUAAACUUAUAUUAGAAUAAGCUUACGGGUUCGAGUUAUAAGGAGUUAGCUUGCUAGAAGUCCUGUGUUCGAUUCCCUGUGUGAGCGUGGAUGAUAUUUUUGUUUCGGAUGUGAGAUAGAGGUUGGGUGGAAGUAAAAUUCUGAGGUGGUGGGGAGUUAGUGGGUUAGUUAGUGAGAUAAUGGGAAGUUGAGAUAUUAGGGGUUUCAAAUUUUAUUUUAAUUUUAAUUUUAAUUCUUUGUCUUCUCAAAGUUUCUGACGUCAAUUUUUUUCUCUUUUUUCCCUCUUUCGACAUUGUUCCCUUCUCGGUAAAAUUCCUUUUCUUUUUUCUUUGAUUCUAUUUGUGAAUCCCUUGUUCAAAUCGUUGCUACUAUGAUUUUCGAGUUCUUUAAUCGGUUGGUAAGUAGAACUUCGCAUCUUUUUAACAAUUGGUUUGGGAUAUUGGCGAUGUUAAGCUAUAGCGAUUAAUUAGUGGAAUCUGUAUUUAGGAGAAGAUUGUAAAGUAGAAAAUUCACUCCGACGGCCUAAUCCGUGUUAGUGGUGGUUUUCAUCGACGGUAAGUUUGUGAGCGUUGUUGAAUUUUUGUUAUGAAUUUGUAAAUUUGUUGCUAAGCAGGGCUAGGGUUACUAUUUACAGGUUUCGGUGAUCUCGGGAUUGGUUAUACUACAAAAACGAAUCAGGUGUGUACCCUUAACGUGAGAAAAUGAGAUUCGAUGAAAGCUGAAAUUAGAGUCUGUUUAUGCCACACGGGUGUGUGCCUGACUGUGUGGCACGACACGACCGUGUGACUGACGAGGGUGUGGCCAUGCGCAAGACACGGCUGUGUGAUAGUGUGAUAGGAGUUUGGUUGAGUGUGGGUCUUAGCUUAUUUGGUACCUUAGUUUUUUUUGUUCAAUUUAAUUCCUGAACUUAAUAUUUUUUUCUUAAUUUAGUACUUAAGCUUCUUUUUUUUCCAAUUUGGUAUCUAACUUGUUAAAGGUUUUACAAAUUUCUCCAAUAUAAUAACAAUUUUAUUUUUAUAAGGUGCGAAAAUAAUCAAUGUAUGAUUAACGUAUGACAGAUGACAUGAGAUUGAUUUUUUGUAUUUUAAUGGUUAAAUUACUUUUAAUUAAUUAUUUUAUUUUACCUUUUUAAUUUAAUAAUGAAUUUCUUUUUAUUUUUGGGUUUUAAAACUUUUUUUUCAAUAUUCAUUCAUUAAGCGUAGCUCAAAGUACAAUCUUUUAACAUAAUUUUCCUCUAAUACUGACAAUAUUUUUGUGGGAUUUGAUGGCUUUAUGAAAACUAGGUCAUGCUUUAAGCAUGUGGUUCCUCUUGUAACAUUCUUGCCAUUAACUGUCAAAGUAAUCUUAGCCUUGAUGAAAUGUAAAUUUUGAACAUGUUGUUUAGAAAAAUAGAGAAAACUUUAAAUAAAUGUAAUCAUCCCUGUCAUUAAAUUCCAUAUCAUUGGUCACAUGACAACCAUACGUUAGCUACCUCAUAAAAAAAAUGAAGAUCAUUAGUGUUUUGAGGUAAUUUGUAUAAUAUUUAAAAGGUUUAAGUGUCAAAUUAAAUAAAAAAUGAUUAAGUAUCAAAUUAUAAGAAAAAUGUCAAAAUUAAGUACCAAAUGUUAAAUAAUUAUAACAAUAUAUUAUUAGUCGGCUUACAGUUUGAUUUCCUCUUUCCCAGUUGAUUGGAACAGUUUGUGGACAAAGGGUUUGAUAUUAGAGGCAGGAUUUAGGGUUUAACAUUUAAAAAUUUAUGGUUAAAAGUUUAUAAGGUUUAAAAUUUAGGAUUUGUGUUUUGUAAAAAUAAAAAUAGAAGUAUAUAUUUAUUUUACAAAGUCACAAAUUUGUAAAAAAAAAAAUUAAAUUAAAUUAGUUUCUAGAAUUACAUUAAGAAUAAACUUUCAACAUUCACUCAUUUUCUUCUAAGAUUUUAAGAUAAUGGAUUUAUCAUGCGAAGACUUGAACCCCACAAUAUACGAUAUAUGAAGAUAAUGGAUUUAUUUAACCCCACCAUGCAACAUAUAAGGAUAUAUGGUUAGGUAAACUCAUAUUUUCUUUUAUAAAGUUUUACAAUUAAUAAAGAUUAUUUUUUAGUAAAAUAUAAAUUCAAACUCACACACAAAUAAAUUUAUGAUUUCGACCCUAAUUUCAAAUAUAAAUGAACUUUUAAAUUAUGGGUAUCGUAUUAUGAAACGAUAAACUUGCCACAUUGAAAUUUUUUAUAUGGAGUGAAUCUCAUAAUUUUUGUUUUCUUAAUUUUGUUUUAAAGCAAUGAAAUAUAGAUCACGUGAAUGUUGAUAUAAAAUGGGAAAUGGAGACGAGUGAUAUUAAUUUGUAGAUAAAGUUAAUAUUACGUAGUCGCAUAAAGCGGCAUAGUACACAACCCACAACUCUGGAAUUUUAACAUCCAUAUUUAUUCUGUAGCUAUCGUUAUUUUGGCUUCCACUAGCUGGUGAACUUUCCAUGCCAAAACUUCACUUGACGCUGCAAAUGAAACAACAAAAAACACAACAUUAAAUGUUGAGCAAGUAAUAAGCAUAAGCAAUGAAACAACUCAUACGAACCUGUUGCAGUCAGUGCUAGGGCUGAUCUUGUAAGGGAUGUUGACACCGCACUUGCCUGGGAGUCCGCUUGCAAUACCAUAGUUGAUGCCAGAAAUGCCGGCGGCCGCACUUUUGAUGCAUUUGCAAGCUGCUUGCCGGUCUGGUGUUGUUUGGGCGGCGGAGUUGAGAGAUUUUAUGCCGCCGCAGCAACCUGGGGGAACGCCACCAGCACCAUUCCCUGUCAAGUAACCAAUGCAGGGUGCGAGGGAGCUUGUGACUUGACCACAGGUUACGGCCCCUUGAGCCAGGGGUGCACCCACCACCAUGCACAACACCGCCACACAUGCAAGCUUAAGGGACAUUGAGCUAGCCAUAUCGAUUAAUCACAAGAAAAACAAACUUGUAAGGAAAAUGCUUGCUUGGAGUAGUAGUACUAUUGCUGAUUGUCGUGGUUAGGGCUUGAGGGUAGGAGGGUUUUUAUAGCCAAAAGUAGUAGCGGGUGAUGUCUGAAUUUUACUUUCCUAGCUAUUAGGUAAGUUGAGAUUAUCCGAUCCAAACAUUAACACACCACAUUAAAAGUUGAGACCAUUCAAUUAGGUUCAACUGCCAACCUACGUGAUUAUUGUUUUCUUUCAAUACAAUUAAAACCAGCGUCCAUUUGAUUUCACUCAAUCAUGCCUCCACAGCUAGGACUCAAAUAUUGGUUUAACUUUUUUCUAGGUGUUUUCUUAUAAACAUGAGAUUUACAUUUGAUGUAUUUAUAAAUGCAUUUAUUGUCAGAAUGAUACCAUUUUAUUAAAAGUAAUUUGAUUUAUAAUUGUUUGUAUAUAUACUUUUAUAUAUUAAGUCUUUAAUUGAAUUGGUAUUACGAUUCACCCAAGCAUCUAUUUAAUUGAAAAUUUGUUAAAAUAUUCAUAUAACAAAUAUUAAUAUUAAUAUAAAUGUAUUUUUAUUUUUAUUAUAAAUAAAACUAUAAUAAGAUUUAAACUUAUGACUCAUAAAUUUUACUCUUUUUAACUUAACUAUUUCAACUAAAAUUUCAUUUAGUUUUAAUAUAAAUUUUUAUAAAUAUAUUAUUUACAUGAAUUUUCCUUUUCCAGGCGGUAUGCCAUGGAACUAAUAUAAAAUAUAAACAAAUGGUUAUUUUGUUAUUUUCAAUGGAAAAAAAAAACUUCACAAGAUUAGGACACAUGCAUGGUUUUUUUAAUAUAUAUAUAUAUAUAUCAUGCAACAUUCUAAAUCUAUUUAUAGAUUAUUUUGUUGAUUGAAUUUUUAUUUUUUUUUAUUUUGGUAAUUAUAUAAAACUAAAUAUUUUCUUCGCGCAAUGUUAAGAGCAGUUUGAAAUUUAAAAGAAGUGUGGAUUCUAAUAAUAAAUUUAGUUAUCUAAUGUUUACAUAUUUUAUUAAUUUGGUCUUAAAUAUAAAAAUUAAAUUCAACAAAAUUAGCCCUCAAUGUUUACAAAAUUUUUCAUUUUAAUUCAAAUUCUAAAAUAAUCCAAUAAAUUUAGCUCUCAACAUUUACAAAAUGAAAGGAUUUGAUUUUUAAAAUUUUAAUUUUUUUUUUUAAAAACCCAAAACACAAACCUAAAUAAACUGAAAAAGAAGAAGGAAUAAUUAUCAUCACCACGAUCUAAUCUCUCAACUUUAAAAUAAGACUUCAACUUCGGUUUAACCCCAAGACAAGGCGAAACAUUGAAAGUAAGUGCAGCGGAUGCCAUUGAUUCUCCUACCUUUUGGCUAAACACAUAAAUUUGAACAACUUCAUACAUAACUAGCAGCAGUACUAAAAAAUCAUUAAUACUAUAUUUUCAAGUACAAGAAAUUGAAAAAAGAAUCACGGGUAGAGUACAAAAAUGAAAUUUGGUGUGAACCUAGAUUAACAAAACAAGGUUCACGGUUUCUCAAAAACACAAUACUAAAUUUUUAGAAUUUCUUGUGAAGAUCAAGCAAUGAGACAAAUACUGAAAUUGGCAAUGCCUUAAUAGCAAAUAAUAAUUCAAACCAAUGUAGAAAAAAGAUGAAGAAGAAGAAGAUAGGAAAAGAAUUUUUAGUUUACAUUAAAAGCCUUGAAAAGGUAGACCGAUAGGAUUGAUUGUUUUGAAUAUUACUCAACUUUCUCAUUAAUUCUUGUACUAUUAUGGCUAAGUGUGUUUUUAGAUGGUAAUGAAUUUUUUUAAUUGUUAAUAAUUUUUACAAUUAUUACACUUGAUUUGGCAGUUGUUUUUCUUUUUAAUUUACAAAAUUUUAAAAAAUUAAAAAUUUCUAUUUUGUAAAUGCUAAGAGCUAAAUUUAUUAUUAUUUAUUUUAGAAUCUAAACUAAAGUGACAAAUUUUGUAAAUAUUUGGUGUUAAAUUUAUUGGAUUUUUAUAUUUAAAAUCAAAUUGAUAGAAUGUGUAAAGAAAGUUAAUUUUUUUAUUAGACAAAUAAAAAAUAACCCAUUUCAACACUUCCGAAAAAUUUUCAAACGGCCGUUAACAUUUAGUGAUGAAAAUAUUUGAUUUCAUAUAGUUUAAUAAUUAAAAUAAAAAUAAUUAAAAAUUUAGUAAUCAAAGUAAAACACAAGUGAUAUUAUUCUAGUGAUCAUUUCUGUACUUGACCCUAAUUUUUUUUUCAAAACACUGUUAAAAAACGAUUAAUUUCUCGUUUUGGCCGGAGUUAAAAUUUUUAAUAUAUUUGUUUUUAUUAAAUUUAAAAAUUAUAAUUUUACAUAAUAUAUUUUUGAUAGAAUACAUAUGAUAUAAUUUUAAUCAGUGACACCUGUUAAAGCUUGUUAGAUCUCCUGUAUCUCUUUCAAUCUGGUGGUAAAUGAAGCAAUCAAUGAGUAUUACAACCAGCCACAUGUCAUUCAAUUCACAUUAUAUCAAUCUUUUCCCUUUUCUCUCAUUUUGGUAGUUAAUUCCUUUUUUUGUCAUCGAAAUUAUAUUUUUUUCUCAAAUUGAUAAUUUCCUUAAUCCGUUAAGUUUGUUAAAAGAAACCUUAAUCUUAUUUAAAUUAUAUCUUUUUUUUUUUAUUUUGAUACUUAAACAUUUUUGUCACAUGUGGUAUGUAAUUUAUUUUUUCUUAAGUUGUUAGUUUAAUUAUUACUCAAAUAGUUAAGUCUAUUUAAAAAAAGAUAACUAUUUAAAAAUUACCAUAUUCGAACUAGCUAGGCCAUUAGUUCCUGGUUUAAUCAGUUUAUCUAGUUUGAUGAAAUCAAUUAUUAAAAAUUCAUAAAAAUAAAAAUGUUAAAAAAUAGAGAAAACUAGCUCAACUAGUUUUUUUUUUAAGCUCGACUCAAUCAAUCUGUAUCAGUUUGUAGGUUAAUCGGUUCAAGCCCUAUCUCCAAACUAGUAUCCCAGUUGGUUCCUAGUAUUAAGGGUGAGCAAAAUUUGAAUCGACUCGAAAAAAUUUAAAAAAGUUCAAAUUUUGAAUUAUUUGAAUCGAGUUAAUCGAAUCAACUCGAUUUUUUUUUAAUUUCAAGUUCGAGUCGAGUUGAGUUUUUGAAUUCAAAUGACUCGAAUAAUUCGAUUAAGCCGAAUACCAAACUAUAAUAUUUUACAUUUUACCUCAAACCCCAAACCCUUUUACUUUUCCCCCAAAACUUUACUCAUUCCUCCUUGUCUGCCCCUGUAACGCCCCAAAUUUUGAAUUGUUACUGUUAGUUUCUAUUUAUAAGUAAGUAUUUGCUUCAGUGGUUAAGUGUUAUGUGUUGGUGUUUGGAUCGGGGGUUCAAGUUACACUUUUAGAGAAUUUUAUUAUUCUUUUGUUUCAACUCUUAUCCUUGAAUGCUUGAAUUAAGUUUGUAUCUGCAUUAAUUUGUGUCAAGAAUGAGUCUUCUAGUUUAAUGGUUAAGUUUUGUAUUACCUAUGGUCUCGUGUUCGAGUCUCUGCGUAGGCAAUAAAGAAAUAUUUUGGCAUGCUAUCGGGAAAUCAGUUUUAUUUUAAUAAUUAUUUUUAUUUAAAACUUAUUUUUAGUUUUUUUUAUUUUGGUUCUUCUCCUUCCUUACUGUUCAUUUCCUUCUUCUUUUUUCUCCUUUUGUAACACCCCUAACUCGAAUCCGUCGCUGGAACAGGGUUAGGAGUAUUAUUGAAGUUUACAAUUUAAACAGGCAGAAAAAUUAAACAUUUCAUAACAUAUAGCAUUCAUGUUAGAAACCAAUCAUAAUUAUGCAUAUUGUCCCUAAUACGAGCCCUCGAGGCCCAAAAUACACCUUAGAAAUAAUUCGGGACUAAAUUGAAAAUUCGGAGCAUUUUUUAGAAACUUAUAAAAUUUUUAAAACUACAGGGGUCACAUGGCCGUGUGGCUAGGUUGUGUGACUCAUAUGGCCAACAGACACGCCCAUGUCUUAGACCGUGCGGGUAUUCGAAAUAGGGACACACGGUCGUGUCCCAGCCAGUGUCCAUGCCCGUGUAACUCACUAACUUGGGCCACACGGUCAAGCCAUACGCCCGUGUGCCAGGCAUUGUGAGCAUACUAACUUGCAUUCUUUAAAAGAUACAGGGGACACACGGCCAUGUCACCUGACCGUGUGUGACACACGCCCGUGUCUCUGCCCGUGUGGACAAAAAUAGGCUAUUUUUCAAGUCAUAAAUAUUCAUGUAUUCUUUAAAAGAUACAGGGGACACACGCCCGUGUCUCUGCCCGUGUCUCUGCCCAAUUUGGUACCAACCUAAACACAACAAUUUGCAUAUAACCAAGUCAUAAAUAGGCAUCCAAAACCAGCCAAAAUCAAGCUUAAAACAUGUAAUAUCAUCACAUACAACCAAUAUGCCCUUAGGCACCUCAAAUGACAACUUAUAAUAUUAAUAUUCAUGUAUUCAAUAUAGCCAAAUGUAUAACUCACUUAUAUGCAUAUUUUCAUCCAAAGUUUAUUAAGCAAAUUUACAUCAUUUCUUACCAAAUUACUUACCUUCCAAAACAUAUUAUUUGGUGCUAAAAUGUAUUUAACAUACUAACAUAUUUAACUUAUAUGCCUUACAUAUCCAGACACCAAUUCAUGAUCAAUUCUUCACAUUCCAAAACACAUAUAUGAAAUGCACAUUAGGUUACCUUUUUACCACUCUUUAUUCAAUCAUGAACCAAACUACAUGUCAACCAUAAUAAGCAAAAUAUGCACAUAUCCAAAAUUCCAUAACACAAACAAAACAAAUGGCUAAUCUCAACAAAACACAUAUAAGCCAACAUUGGCCAAACUAAUCUAUACAUGCCAUUAUAACCGAAAUUAAACAACCGAAUGUACCAAAAGAGCCAAUGGAUAGUGUGAUAUAGCUCCGACAAGCUUUCAACCAGAACGAGCUUUCGAAUCACUAAAAACACAGAAAAUAACACAGAGUAAGCAUUCAAGCUUAGUAAGUUCAUAUAGCAUAUAAUUUAACUUACCAUUUAGUCACAUUUAAGGUAAGCAUACAAAACAUAUCCAAACUCAAUUAGGAUAAAAGCCUCAACACAUAUCCUCAUCAACCAUGUUAGUCAUGUAAUUCAUAUAAAUAUCAAGAAACAUGUAUGAGCUCAACAAUAAUCAAACUUGCAUGUACAUAUAAUUUCCACAUCAUGUAUUUACAUAUCAUGUACAAAUCAUUUUCAUAUAUCUCAUGUAAAUACAUGUAGUAGUUUGUAUUGAACUCAUGUAAUAUCAUAACAGAACAGUGCCCGUUGAACCAUUUAGAUUAUUGUUGGAUACGCGGAUAGUACACAUGAGGUGUACUGAACUGUAAUUCAUCAAUUCAUGUACAUGUAUGCUCAUAUGAGCUAUAAACAGUAAGCUCCUCUGAGAUGAAUAACAAUAAGCUUGUACGAGCUGAAUAUCGGUAAGCUCAUAUGAGCUGAGUAUCGGUAAGCUCAUAAGAGCUGAAAUCGAUAACCCUAAUGACAUGUUUACCAAGCCAUGACAUUCCACUAACACAUUUAACCUUUAAAAUUAUUUCAAUUUACAAGUUUAAGAAAGAACAUAAAAGAUGAUACUUGGCUUUAUUUUACUAAAUUUUGUUAUUUACUUAAUUACUUAUUUAACCUUUAAAAUCAUUUCAAUUUACAAGUUUACUAAGCCAUGACAUUCCACUAACACAUUUAAGGGUUAUUUACCAUAUAAGGACCUCUACUUUAAAUUUUUAUAGCUAUUUAAUACCUUUAGCUAUUAGAACUUUACUUUUACACUUUACGCGAUUUAGUCAUUUUUAUCAAAUUGAACAUGUAAACGGUAAAAUUUCUUAACGAAAUUUUCAUAUGGUAAUAUUAUCAUGUUUUCGACCAUAAAAUAAUAAUAAAAUAAAAUUUUUUACUUCAUAUUUGUGGUCCCAAAACUACUAUUCUGAUUUCACUGAAAAUGGGUUGUUACACCUUUCUUGCUUGAUUGCUUCCGUAAGUUUGCUAUCGUGCUUAAUUGGGCAUUCUGUGUGGUUUCUUACAUUGAUUGCAAGGAUAUUGCGUAAGUUAUGUUGUUGUUUUUUACCUAUUUUUUCUAGACUUCGUCUGUUUCGUCGAGGUUAGAUAUUACUGUUAAUGGUUGUAAAAUCUCGUUAAUAGUUCCAAUGGAUCUUCUUUUAGGAAAAGGUUUCAAAAGUAACAUUUCCCUGUGAGAUUAGGUCCGAAUUGUUGUUGCUUGCUUGUCAGUAAUUGAAAAUUUCUAUUUUGGAUAGCUGCGUCGAAGUUUUCGACGAACGUUAGUUUUGAGUGCUAAUUUUGGCAUUUUGAGUUGAUUUAGUCAUUUAAUUCGUCAAUUAAUUGUCGUUUUAGGUUUCAGAUUCUUGUGUGUUGCUUCUACAUCGAAACUACAUCAAGUGUGUAACGAAAACUCAUUUUUCUAUGAUUUACGAAUGCUAGAAAACAUGGCUGUUAAUCACACGACCGUGUGUUAGGCCAUGUAACUUACUGUUUAUGUAUUAAAGUCACCGAGCCAAGGACGUGGGCGUGUGUCCUAGUCGUGUAACUUACUAUUUGUGGAUUGGAGUCACACAGGCUAGGGACACGUUUGUGUGUCCAGACUGUGUGAAGGAAAUUUUAUGAAUUGAGUCACACAAGCGUGUGCUUGACUAUGUCAUAGACCGUGUAACUCACUUUUUUGAGCCACACGAUCGUGUGCCAGGCCGUGUGAUAGAUCGUGUGCUACACGGGCCAGCCUUCCGGGACAUGUGAAUCCACACAAGUGUGUGGGUCAAAAUUUCAAAUUUUUUAUUAGGGCCGUAAACAUCAUUCCAGUCAAACGUAGGCCUACUGUAGGGUCUGGAUGAUCUGAUUUGGGUUAUAAAACCCAUUGACUAGUUAUCUGUUUCUGUAUAAACUGUUAUUUUAUAUACAUCAUAGAAUUGUAAACUAGAGAGUAGUUGUAUUCUGUAUUAAUUGAGUAUAACCUGAAAUUUGUAACAUCGUAUGCUUAUAUCUGUAUCUGUAACAUUGCAUCUGCAUUGGGGUUGGGAUUGAAUAAGGAGGAAGUUAUGGCAGUUAAAUAAUCUGCUAAGACUGGUGGCUAAGACACGUAAAUGUAUCUAAUUUUGGUGACUUUCGCAUUCUGUCCUAGCAAUUAGUCUGCAACCUUUUGAACGUGACAUAUGGUCACUAUGUGGUGUGUAGGGACGAUACCCUUUUUGGUGUGUAGGGUUGGAUGCAGAUGGUGUGUAAUUGACAUAUUCUACUCUAUUUCCGUAUAUAAUUCUGAGAACUGUUCUAACUUUAAGAAAUUGAAGAUCUAUUUUGUUGUUUCACUUAAUAAUAAUAUAAGUUAUACGCUAUGUAUAACACCCUUUACCCGAGACCGUGGUCGGAGUCGAGCAUGAGGUGUUACUUGACUUAACUUAAAAGUUCAGGGCAUAAAAAUUUACUUUCAAAAUUAAUUUCACCAUUCACAAUAAAGUUGUCCACCUGAGCAGCAGUCACUAAAUUAAUUAUAACUCAAGCUAAGAAACUCGAAAUUUAGAUUCGUAAAUUUUCCCUGAAACUAGACUCAUAUAUCUAUUCACAAAAAUUUUUCAGAAUUUUUUAUUUGACCAAUUAGUACAGUUUAUUAGUUGAAGUCUCCCCAGUUUCACUAAUCGACUAUCCUGACCUCUCGUCACUAAAAUUCAAUUAUCUCAUUAUACAGACUUGACAUGCUGAUUCCACUUAUUUAUACUUAAAAUAUACUCAUUAAGGAAUUUAAAAAUAUAAUUUAUAACUCAUAAUUCUAUUUGUACAAUUUUUAAUGAAUUUCUAAAGUCAGAACAGGGGACUUCAGAAUCAUUCUGACUCUGUCUCACUAAAAUUAAAAUAUCUAAAAGUAUAUAACUCUUUUGCUUACUCUAUUGCUUUCAUGUGAAAGUAGACUCAUUCAGAUUUAAUUUCAUCUCUCGCUAAACAUAUAAUUCUAUUUCUACAAUUUUUGGUAAUUUUUCAAAGUUACAUCAAUGCUGCUGCCCAAAAAUAGUUCCAUUGAAAUUUUUAAAAAAAAAUUCAAUAUAACCCCUUUAUAAUUAUCUAACCUUCCCUGCAAAUUUCAAAUCACAACCAAUUUCAGUAUUUCAACUACUUCACUUAAAUACUAAUGAAGUUCAACUAAUCAACCAUUUCAAACUAAAAACAUGUAUAGUUCAAUGUUUAACACAACCAUCACAUUCAAAUUUAUUCAUUCUAUUACUUUUUACUUCAAUUCCCUAUACAUGUCAUAUAAAUCCAAAAAGUUGUUUAACAAAAUCUACAGGAGUAAAUCUGGAUAGUGUGAUUCUUGGUGUAGAUCUGAUCCUCCGAAUGUAUAAAUACGUCAAUCUACAAGAAUCAAUAAACACACAAUUAAGCGUAUAGAAAGCUUAGUAAGUUCAUAGGCACCAAACAUAAAUCUUACCAAACAUUUAUACACUUAUACAUUAUACACCAUUACUAAGUUUACCUGUCAACCACAAUCUUUGGUGAGUUCCUUGGUAUAAACUCACUACUACUUAUUCUUUUACCAUAAUUCCUUUGGGCCCAUUUGUCACUUACCAUCCUUGAUCAAAAUUAAGGAACGGUUACGGAAAAUUGAGUACUUCACUUUCACUUUGCCAUAGUAUAACUAUGGUCUUACGUAUGAUCAAACAUCACUUGUCCUUGAUAAGAUAAGUGUAGCUAGGCAACCACUUAUCACUUUGUCACUUGAUCAGAUAAGUGCAGCUAAAGCUACCAUUUAUCACUUUAUCACCACUUAUCACUUGUUCUUGAUUAGAUAAGUGUAGCUAAAGUUACCACUUAUCACUUUGUCACCACUUAUCACUUGUUCCUAAUCAGAUAAGUGUAGCUAAAACUACCACUUAUCACUUUGUCACUUGAUCAGAUAAGUGUAGCUAAGCUAUCACUUAUCACUUUGUCACUUGAUCAGAAGUACUCAAAUCCGGUGUUCUGCUCAAUUUGAUCAUUUAUUCAGUUUUCACAUUUUUAUUUUAUUCUCAUUUCAUCAAUAAAUAUAUAUAUUUCAUCAUACAUUAUAUAAUUCAUGAAAUUAACAUUUAAUCAUUAAAUUUUAGCCAUAUGAACUUACCUGGGUUGAUUUGCUGAAUUUGUAAAAGUUUAGGGACUAAUCAGCUACUUUUUUUUUCCUCGACUUGUUUCGGGUUCUCAAUAUGAUUCAAAUAUAUGAAAAACCAACUUGGAGGGACUCUUCAAUGGUGUUUUUUGCUAAAAAAUAUGAGGAAUUGCCUAGAAACACUUUUAGUUAAGAUUUUUAUUUGUUAUUUUUUACAAAAUUUCCAAUUUUGCCCUUAUUACAUCACUUUUUCAAAUUUUUCUUCUCUUAUGUCGUCUCAACUAUUCCAUAUUGGCAUAUUUAUGCCUUAAGUCCCUCCUUAUUUACCACUUAAGCUAUUUAAUCACUUUUAACAAAUUUUACAUUAUUUUCAGUUUAAUCCUUUUUAAUUAAUUAACCACCCAAACGUUAGAAUUUUCUAACGAAAAUUUAAUACCAACUCAAUGACACUCCAUAAAUGUUUCUAAAAAUAUUUAUGGCUCGAUUUAUGAGGUUGAGGUUUCAAUACCUCAUUUUCGAUUCUAAUUAUUUUAAUAUUUAUUCUUAGUACAUUAUUCACUAUUUCAAAAAUUUUCCUAACUUCGCAUUUAACUUAUACUCACUAAAUUAAUAAUAUUUUCUACUCAUUUGUCAAAUUUAAUGAUCUCGAAUUACCAUUCCGACACCACUGAAAAUUCAGGCCAUUACAACUCUCCCCCCAUUUUGGAAAUUUCAUCACCGAAAUUUCGUACCUGAAAAUAAAUUCGGAUACUGAAAUCUCAGCAAUUCCUCUGUUUCCCAGGUUGCCUCCUCAGAUCCAUGUCGAUUCCAUAACACCUUAACUAGUGGUACAUGUUUAUUCCUCAACUCUUUAACCUUCUGAGCUAAAAUUUUCACCGGUUCCUCUGAAUAAGUCAUGUCAGGUUGAAGCUCUAUUUCCGUAUGAGGAAUUACAUGUGAUGGAUCUGAUCUGUACCGUCUCAACAUAGACACAUGAAACACAUUAUGAAUCUUUUCAAGUUCCGGGGGCAAAGCUAAUCUAUAGGUUACCGGACCGAUUCUUUCAAUGAUUUCAUACGGCCCGAUAAAUCGUGGGCUGAGUUUCCCCUUUUUGCUGAACCGCAAAACUUUCUUCCACGGUGACACUUUCAAAAAUACACGAUCACCCACAUUAAACUCUAUAUCCCUUCUCUUCAAAUUUGCAUAUGAUUUUUGCCGAUCGGAGGUAGCUUUUAAACAAUCUCGAAUAAUACGAACUUUUUCUUCAGUUUCCUGAGUCAAUUCCACUCCCACUAGUUUCGAUUCACUUAAUUCAGACCAAUAUAAUGGAGUUCUACACUUUCUUCCAUACAAAGCUUCAAACGGUGCCAUUUUAAUGCUAGUUUGAUAACUAUUAUUAUAAGCAAAUUCGGCUAAAGGUAAAUACCUUUCCCAGCUACCGCCGAACUCAAGUAUACAACACCUUAACAUAUCUUCUAAAAUCUGAAUCACUCGCUCUGACUGCCCAUCUGUCUAGGGAUGAAAAGCUGUGUUGAAAUUUAAUUUGGUGCCUAAAGCUUCCUGUAAUUUACUCUAAAAUCUCGAGGUAAAUCUCGGAUCUUGAUCUGAAAUAAUAGAUGUCGGUACCCCAUGUAACCUCACUAUCUCAGACACAUAUAACUCCGCUAACUUUUCAAGCUGAUAAUCUGCUCUGACUGGAAUAAAAUGUGCUGACUUAGUUAACCGAUCAACAAUCACCCAUAUUGAAUGUUUCUUCUUCAGAGUUACUAGUAAUCCAGAUACAAAAUCCAUCGUAACAUGUUCCCAUUUCCAAUCUGGAAUCAUAAUGGGCUGUAACAACCCUGUCGGCACUUGAUGCUCAGCUUUCACCUGUUGACAGAUCAAACAUCUUGCUACAUACUCAAAGAUUUCCCGUUUCAUUCCGGGCCACCAAUACAUUUUCUUCAAAUCACAAUACAUUUUUGUACUACCCGGGUAAAUAGAACACAUACUACUGUGAGCCUCUGAUAAAAUAUCAUUUUUCAAGUUUAAAUUAUUCGGAAUACAUAUUCUAUUACGAUAAUAUAACAUACCAUUUUCAUCAAUGGAGUAUUCUGAGCUUAACUUAUCUUGAACCAUCUGUCGCUUUAUCAUCAAUUUUGGGUCAUCAUCCUAUAACUCCCGAAUCCGUUGAAAGAACACGGGUUUAGCCUUUAAUUCUGCUAGUACAGAACCAUCCUCAUUAAUAGAUAAAUGAGCAUUCAAUGCCCGUAGUGCAAAUAAUGAUGAUUUCCGACUAAGCGCAUCUGCUGCGGCAUUUGCUUUCCCUGGGUGAUAGUCAAUGACAAGAUCAUAAUCUUUCAGCAACCCCAACCAUCGUCUCUGUGUCAAAUUUAACUCUUUCUGAGUCAUUAAAUACUUCAAGCUUUUAUGAUCAGUAUACACGUAACAUUUCUCACCAUAUAAGUACUCUCCAUAUCUUCAAAGCAAACACGAUCGCUGCCAAUUCCAAAUCAUGUGUAGGAUAAUUCUUGUCGUGCGGUUUCAGUUGCCAAGAAGCAUAUGCCACCACUUUGCCUGACUGAAUAAGUACACAGCCCAACCCAUUUACAGAUGCAUCACUAUAUACUACAAACGGUACACCCGAUUCUGGUUGAGUCAACACUGGAGCCUCUGUCAACAUCUUUUUCAACUGAUCGAAACUCCGCUGACAUUCAUCUAACCAUAUAAAUUCAACAUUCUUUUGUAGCAAUCGAGUUAACGGUAAGGUAAUCAUUGAGAAAUCUUUGACAAAUCGACGAUAAUAACCUGCCAAUCGUAGAAAACUCUGCACUUCAGUCACAUUCUUCGGAACUUUCCAAUUUAUCACUGCCGCUACCUUACUUGGAUCCACUCUUAUUCCAUCAGCUGAUACAAUAUGACCCAAAAAUGCAACUUCAUGGAGCCAAAAUUCACAUUUGCUGAAUUUGGCAUACAAUUGUUUCUCCCACAAAGUCUGUAAUACAAUCAUUAGAUGUUGUGCAUGUUCGGACUCUGUCUUUGAAUAAAUCAAUAUAUCGUCAAUGAACACAACCACAAAUCUAUCCAAAUAUGACUGAAAAAUUCUAUUCAUCAAAUCCAUAAAAGCAGCAGGGGCAUUGGUUAAACCAAAUGGCAUCACCAAAAAUUCAAAAUGACCAUAUCGAGUUCGAAAGGCAGUUUUCGGCACUUCACACUCUUUAACUUUCAACUGAUAAUACUCGGAUCGAAGAUCUAUCAUGGAAAAUACUGUAGCACCUUUCAACUGAUCAAACAAAUCAUCAAUAUGAGGCAAAGGAUUUUUAUUCUUUACUGUUACCUUAUUCAACUGUCUGUAAUCUAUACACAGUCUUAAAAAACCGUCCUUCAUUUUCACAAACAAGACAGGUGUACCCCAGGGCGACAUACUCGGUCUGAUGAACCCUUUAUCUAAUAACUCCUGCAGCUGCGCCUUCCGUUCUUUUAACUCGACUGGAGCCAUUCUGUAUGGUGUCAUUGAGAUAGGAGUUGUUCCGGGGAUCACAUCAAUUACAAAUUCAACUUCUCUAUCAGGUGGUAGACCGGGUAACUCUUCAGGGAACAUAUCAGGGAAUUCAUUCACCAUUGGCACUUGUUCGAGCUUCAAACCAGAACCCUGAGUAUCCAGGAUAUAGGCCAAGAAUGCUUCGUUGCCUUUGUGUAAUAACCUCUGAGCAGAGAGAGCUAAAAUAAUUCUGACUGUAUCACCCAGAUUUUCAGACCCAACUGAGAUUAUAUCUCCCGUUUGACAUUUCAAACUGAUUUGUUUAUCACGAUAAUUCACUACCGCAUCAUGUCUCAUUAACCAGUCCAUCCCCAGAAUAAUGUCAAAUUCCCGAAAAGGUAACAACAUCAAAUCAGCGAGGAAUUCAUAGCCUUUCACUUUCAGUGGACAAUUACGACAUAUCAAAUUAACCAUCACACUUUGACCUAAUGGGUUUGUGACUUGUAUAUCAAAUUCAGUGGACUCAACAGAUAAUUUCUUUUUAGAUGCUAACAUAGUGCAAAUAUAUGAAUGAGUAGAUCCAGGGUCUAUCAAUGCAUAAACAAUAACAUCAUAAAGAUAGAAAGUACCAGCAAUUACAUCAGGAGCCGUAGCCUCUUUCCUUGCUCGAAUGGCGUAGGUACGUGCUGGUGCUCUAUUCUCUGAUCGACCAACUGAUUCCCUCGUACCCGAACGGGUAGUCCCUGUAGCACUGCUCUGGCCCGAACGUCUACUUUUUUGGGGAAUGGUUCUCUGUAUUUCUUUCUGUUCCACUUCAUCUUUUUACAGUCGGGAACAAUCUCGAAUAAGAUGAUUAGUACCCUCACAUUUUUAACAAGCCCCUAUCUUGGUCCUGCAUUCUCUGAAAUGAUAUCUUCCACAAUAUUGACACUUAGGCCGGGGAGCAUUCUGAACACUGCUCACACUUGCUGGAGGUCUAUCGAAUACCCUGAAAUCAGAUUGUCUUGGUCUAUCUCUACCCGAUCUUCUCGACAGUGAUGUAGUUCGACUAAUUUCUUCUCUAGAUUUGUUCACUGGUAAAUCUAAAAAUGACUUAGAAGCACCUCUUUUGAAUGGCUCUUUACUUUUUCGAUCCCGCUACAUUUUUCUGUUGUAUACUUCUUCGAGCUUUUGAGCACGGUCUGACAGAACAGGGAACUCUCGUAUUUCAUUACCCCCAAUCAUCAUUCUAAUUUCAUCAUUUAACCCUUCUUCAAACCUGAUACACAUUUCUUCUUUAAUAAGUACAAUGUCUCGGGCAUAUUUGCUGAGGUAGACAAAUUCUCUUUCGUAUUCAGCCACUGAUUUAUCUCCCUGGCGUAGGUCGAGAAAUUCCCUUUUAUUUUUAUCCAAAUACCGUCUGCCCACAUAUUUCUUCUUAAAUUCAUUUUGGAAAAAUUCCCAAUAAAUUUUCUCUGUCGGAACCACAUCCUCAAUCGUCUCCCACCAACUAUAAGCUUCUUCUUUCAAUAGAGACACAACACAACUCAAAUAAUCAUCUAGUGAGCAAACCAUUUCUUUAAAAAUUCUUAUUAAACUCUGUAACCAAUAUUCAGCUUUGACGGGAUCUUUAUCAGUCCUUCCCCGAAAUUCUUCGGCUCCAAGUUUUUUAAGCCUUUCCAAUGGAGAACGCUUUCUGGAUUCAGUCGUUGUAAAAGGUGGAGGAGCAACCGGGUGUGCCACCGAUGGAGCAGUAGGGGGAGGAGGUGGUUCAGCCUGAUUUCUUUCUUGCCUCAUUUCAGUAUAUCAUUGAUUCAUAAUCCCAUAAAUCAUAUUCUUUAACUCUUGCUCUCGCAUUUGGGAGAUCGGAACAUCACUGCUUGUUCUUUGUUUAGAAUUAUGUAUUCUACUAUUAACUUCUUCUUUCUCAGUACGUUUAGGUAUAUCUGACAUCUCCAUAACCGGAGAAUAUCUACUAUUAACUUCUUCUUACUGGAUUCAGUCGUUGUAAGAGGUGGAGAAGCAACCGGGGGUACCACCGAUGGAGCAGUAGGCAGAGGAGGUGGUUCAGCCUGAUUUCUUUCUUGCCUCAUUUCAGUAUACCACUGAUUCAUAAUCCCAUAAAUCAUAUUCUUUAACUCUUGCUCCCGUAUUUGGGAGAUCAGAACACCACUGCUUGUUCUUUGUUCAGAAUUAUGUAUUCUACUAUUAACUUCUUCUUGCUCAGUACGUUCAGGUAUAUCUGACAUCUCUAUAACCGGAGAAUAUCUAUAAAAAUAACAAAGAUUAGAUCGCAUCAUACGCAUUACACUAUCACAGAUUUAUAUGGCAUGUAUUUCUAAACACUUUACACUUUACACAUAUUCCGAGAACCGGCUAAACCUGGAUCUGAUACCAAUAAAAUGUAACACCCUUUACCUGAGACCGUUUCCAGAGUCGAGCAUGAGGCGUUACUUGACUUAACUUAAAAGUUCAGGGCAUAAAAAAUUACUUUCAAAAUUAAUUUCACCAUUCACAAUAAAGCUGUCCACCCACGCAGCAAUCUCUAAAUUAAUUAUAACUCAAGAUGCGAAACUCGAAAUUUAGAUCUGUAUAUUUUACCUAAAACUAGACUCAUAUAUCUAUUCACUACAAAAUUUUCAGACUUUUUGGUUUGGCAAAUUAGUACAGUUUAUUAAUUGAAGUCUCCCCUGUUUCACUAAUAGACUAUCCUGACCUCUCGUCACUAAAAUUCAAUUAUCUCAUUAUACAAACUUGACUUGGUGCUUUCAAUUAUUUUUACUUAAAAUAGACUCAUUAAGGAAUUUAAACAUAUAAUUUAUAACUCAUAAUUCAUUUUGUACAAUUUUUAAUGAAUUUCUAAAGUCAAAAUAGGGGACUUCAAAAUCAUUCUGACUCUGUCUCACUAAAAUUCAAAUAUCUAAAAGUAUAUAACUCUUUUGCUUACUCUAUUGCUUUAAUGUGAAAGUAGGCUCAUUCAGCUUUAAUUUCAUCUCUCACUCAACUUAUAAUUCUAAGUCCACAUUUUUGGUGAUUUUUCAAAGUUACAUCAAUACUGCUGUCCAAAAACUGUUCCAUUGAAAUUUUUUUAAAAAAUUUCAAUAUAACCCUUUUAUAAUUAUCUAACCUUCCCUGCAAAUUUUAAAUCACAACCAAUUUCAGUAUUUCAACCACUUCACUUAAAUACUAAUGAAGUUCAACCAAUCAACCAUUUCAAACUAAAAACAUGCAUAGUUCAAUGUCUAACACAACCAUCACAUUCAAAUUUACUUUGCAUAUUUAGAUAUUCAUUCUUUUACUUUUUACUUCAAUUCCCUAUACAUGUCAUAUAAAUCCAAAAAGUUGUUUAACAAAAUCUACCGGAGUAAAUCUUGAUAGUGUGAUUCUUGGUGUAGAUCCGAUCCUCUGAAUGUAUAAAUACGUCAAUCUACAAGAAUCAAUAAACGCACAAGUAGGCUUAAUAAACACACAAGUAAGCUUAUAGAAAGCUUAGUAAGUUCAUAGGCACCAAACAUAAAACUUACCAAACAUUUAUACACUUAUACAUUAUACACCAUUACUAAGUUUACCUGUCAACCACAUUCUUUGGUGAGUUCCUUGGUAUAAACUCACUAAUACUUAUUCUUUUACCAUAAUUCCUUUGGGCCCAUUUGUCACUUACCAUCCUUGAUCAAAAUUAAGGAACGGUUACGGAAAAUUGAGUACUUCACUUUCACUUUGCCAUAGUAUAAAUAUGGUCUUACGUAUGAUCACUUAUCACUUGUCCUUGAUCAGGUUAGUGUAGCUAGGCUACCACUUAUCACUUGUUCCUGAUCAGAUAAGUGUAGCUAAGCUAUCACUUGUCACUUUGUCACUUGAUCAAAAGUACUCAAAUCCGGUGUUCCGCUCAAUUUGAUCACUUAUUCAGUUUGCGCAUUUUUAUUUUAUUCUCAUUUCAUCAAUAAAUAUAUAUAUAUAUUUCACCAUACAUUAUAUAAUUCAUGAAAUUAACAUUUAAUCAUUAAAUUUCAUCCAUAUGAACUUACCUAGGUCGAUUUUCUGAAUUUGUAAAAGUUCAAGGACUAAUCAGCUACUUUUUCUUUUCCUCGACUUGUUUCGGGUUCUCGAUAUGAUUCAAAUAUAUGAAAAACUAGCUUGGAGGGACUCUUCAAUGGCGUUUUUUGCUGAGAAAUAUGAUGAAUUGCCUAGAAACUCUUUUAGUUAAGAUUUUUAUUUGUUAACUUUUACAAAAUUUCUAAUUUUGCCCUUAUUACAUCACUUUUUCAGAUUUUUCUUCUCUUAUGCCGUCUCAACUAUUCCAUAUUAGCAUAUUUAUGCCUUAAGUCCCUCCUUAUUUACCACUUAAGCUGUUUAAUCACUUUUAACAAAUUUUACAUUAUUUUCAGUUUAGUCAUUUUUAAUUAAUUAACCACCAAAACGUUAGAAUUUUCUAACGAAACUUUAAUACCAACUCAAUGACACUCUAUAAAUGUUUCUAAAAAUAUUUAUGGCUCGAUUGAUGAGUUUGAGGUUUCGAUACCUCAUUUUCGACUCUAAUUAUUUUAAUAUUUAUUCUUAGUACACUAUUCACUAUUUCAAAAAUUUUCCUAACUUCGCAUUUAACUUAUACUCACUAAAUUAAUAAUAUUUUCUACUCAUUUGUCAAAUUUAAUGAUCUCGAAUUACCAUUCCGACACCACUGAAAAUUCAGGCCAUUACAACUCUCCCCCCAUUUUGGAAAUUUCGUCCCCGAAAUUUCGUACCUGAAAAUAAAUUCGAAUACUGAAAUCUCAUCAAUUCCUCUGUUUCCCAGGUUGCCUCCUCAGAUCCAUGUCGAUUCCAUAACACCUUAACUAGUGGUACAUGUUUAUUCCUCAACUCUUUAACAUCCCAAGCUAAAAUUUUCACCGGUUCCUCUGAAUAAGUCAUGUCAGGUUGAAGCUCUAUUUCCGUAUGAGGAAUUACAUGUGAUGGAUCUGAUUUGUACCGUCUCAACAUAGACACAUGAAACACAUUAUGAAUCUUUGCAAGUUCCGGGGGCAAAGCUAAUCUAUAGGUUACCAGACCGAUUCUUUCAAUGAUUUCAUACGGCCCGAUAAAUCGUGGGCUGAGUUUUCCCUUUUUGCUGAACCGCAAAACUUUCUUCCACGGUGACAGUUUCAAAAAUACACGAUCACCCACAUUAAACUCUCUAUCCCUUCUCUUCAAAUCUGCAUAUGAUUUUUGCUGAUCGGAGGCAGCUUUUAAGCAAUCUCGAAUAAUACGAACUUUUUCUUCAGUUUCCUGAGUCAAUUCCACUUCCACCAGUUUCAAUUCACUUAAUUUAGACCAAUAUAAUGAAGUUCUACACUUUCUUCCAUACAAAGCUUCAAACGGUGCCAUUUUAAUGCUAGUUUGAUAACUAUUAUUAUAAGCAAAUUCGGCUAAAGGUAAAUACCUUUCCCAGCUACCGCCGAACUCAAGUAUACAACACCUUAACAUAUCUUCUAAAAUCUGAAUCACUCGCUCUGACUGCCCAUCUGUCUGGGGAUGAAAAGCUGUGUUGAAAUUUAAUUUGGUGCCUAAAGCUUCCUGUAAUUUACUCUAAAAUCUCGAGGUAAAUCUCGGAUCUCGAUCUGAAAUAAUAGAUGUCGGUACCCCAUGUAACCUCACUAUCUCAGACACAUAUAACUCCGCUAACUUUUCAAGCUGAUAAUCUGCUCUGACUGGAAUAAAAUGUGCUGAUUUAGUUAACCGAUCAACAAUCACCCAUAUCGAAUCUUUCUUCUUCGAAGUUACUGGUAAUCCGGAUACAAAAUCCAUCGCAACAUGUUCCUAUUUCCACUCUGGAAUCAUAAUGGGCUGUAACAACCCUGUCGGCACUUGAUGCUCAGCUUUCACCUGUUGGCAGAUCAAACAUCUUGCUACAUACUCACAGAUUUCCCAUUUAAUUCCGGGCCACCAAUACAUUUUCUUCAAAUCACAAUACAUUUUUGUACUAACCCGGUGAAUAGAACACAUACUACUGUGAGCCUCUGAUAAAAUAUCAUUUUUCAAGUUUAAAUUAUUCGGAAUACAUAUUCUAUUACGAUAAUAUAACAUACCAUUUUCAUCAAUGGAGUAUUCUGAGCUUAACUUAUCUUGAACCAUCUGUCGUUUUAUCAUCAAUUUUGGGUCAUCAUCCUGUAACUCUUGAAUCCAUUGAAAGAACACGGGUUUAGCCUUUAAUUCUGCUAGUACAGAACCAUCCUCAUUAAUAGAUAAAUGAGCAUUCAAUGCCCGUAGUGCAAAUAAUGAUGAUUUCUGACUAAGUGCAUCUGCUGCGGCAUUUGCUUUCCCUGGGUGAUAGUCAAUGACAAGAUAAUAAUCUUUCUGCAACUCUAACCAUCGUCUCUAUCUCAAAUUUAACUCUUUCUGAGUCAUUAAAUACUUUAAGCUUUUAUGAUCAGUAUACACGUAACAUUUCUCACCAUAUAAGUAGUGUCUCCUUAUCUUCAAAGCAAACACGAUCGCUGCCAAUUCAAAAUCAUGUGUAGGAUAAUUCUUGUCGUGCGGUUUCAGUUGCCGAGAAGCAUAUGCCACCACUUUGCCUGACUGAAUAAGUACACAGCCCAACCCAUUUACAGAUGCAUCACUAUAUACUACAAAUGGUACACCCGAUUCUGGUUGAGUCAACAUUGGAGCCUCUGUCAACAUCUUUUUCAACUGAUCAAAACUCCGCUGACAUUUAUCUGACCAUAUAAAUUCAACAUUCUUUUGUAGAAAUCGAGUCAACUGUAAGGUAAUCAUUGAGAAAUCUUUGAUAAAUCGACAAUAAUAACAUGCCAAUCGUAGAAAACUCCACACUUCAAUAACAUUCUUCGGAACUUUCCAAUUUACCAUUGCCGCUACCUUACUUGGAUCGACUCUUAUUCCAUCAGCUGAUACAAUAUGACCCAAAAAUGCAACUUCAUGGAGCCAAAAUUCUCAUUUGCUAAAUUUGGCAUACAAUUGUUUCUCUCACAAAGUCUGUAAUACAAUCCUUAGAUGUUGUGCAUGUUCGGACUCUGUCUUUGAAUAAAUCAAUAUAUCGUCAAUGAACAACCACAAAUCUAUCCAAUUAUGACUGAAAAAUUCUAUUCAUCAAAUCCAUAAAAGCAGCAAGGGCAUUGGUUAAACCAAAUGGCAUCACCAAAAAUUCAUAAUGACCAUAUCGAGUUUGGAAGGCAGUUUUCGGCACAUCACACUCUUUAACUUUCAACUGAUAAUACCCAGAUUGAAGAUCUAUCUUGGAAAAUAUUGCAGCACCUUUCAACUGAUCAAAUAAAUCAUCAAUAUGAGGCAAAGGAUAUUUAUUCUUUACUGUUACCUUAUUCAACUGCCUGUAAUCUAUACACAGUCUUAGAGAACCGUCCUUUUUUUUCACAAACAAGACAGGUGCACCCCAGGGCGACAUACUCAGUCUGAUGAACCAUUUCUCUAAUAACUCCUGUAACUGCGCCUUCAACUCUUUUAACUCGGCUGGAGCCAUUCUGUACGGUGUCAUUGAGAUAGGAGUUGUUCCGGCGAUCACAUCAAUUACAAAUUCAACUUCUUUAUCAGGUGGUAGACCGGGUAACUCUUCAGGGAACACAUUAGGGAAUUCAUUCACUACUGGCACUUGUUUGAGCUUCAAACCAGAACCCUGAGUAUCCAUGAUAUAGGCCAAGAAUGCUUCGUUGCCUUUGCGUAAUAACCUCUGAGCAGGGAGAGCUGAAAUAAUUCUGACUGUAUCACCCAUAUUUUCAGACCCAACUGAGAUUAUAUCUCCCGUUUGACAUUUCAAAUUGAUCUGUUUAUCACGACAAUUCACUACCGCAUCAUGUCUCACUAACCAGACCAUCCCAAGAAUAAUGUCAAAUUCUCGAAAAGGUAACAACAUCAAAUCAGCGGGGAAUUCAUAGCCUUUCACUUUUAAUGGACAAUUACGACAUAUCAAAUUAACCAUCACACUUUGACCUAAUGGGUUUGUGACUUGUAUAUCAAAUUCAAUGGACUUAACAAAUAAUUUCUUUUCAGAUGCUAACAUAGUGCAAAUAUAUGAAUGAGUAGAUCUAGGGUCUAUCAAUGCAUAAACAAUAACAUCAUAAAGAUAGAAAGUACCAACAAUUACAUCAGGAGCCGUAGCCUCUUCCCUUGCUCGAAUGGCGUAGGUACGUGCUGGUGCUCUAUUCUUUGAUCGACCAACUGAUUCCCUCGUACCCGAACGGGUAGUCCCUGUAGCACUGCUCUGGCCCGAAUGUCUACUUCUUUGGGGAAUGGUUCUCUGUAUCUCUUUCUGUUCCACUUCAUCUUUUUACAGUCGGGGACAAUCUCGAAUAAGAUGAUUAGUAGCCCUACAUUUUUAACAAGCCCCCAUCUUGGUCCUGCAUUCUCCGAAAUGAUAUCUUCCACAAUAUUGACACUUAGGCCGGGGAGCAUUCUGAACACCGCUCACACUUGCUGCAGGUCUAUCGAAUACCCUGAAAUCAGAUUGUCUUGGUCUAUCUCUACCCGAUCUUCCCAACAUUAAUGUAGUUCGACUAAUUUCUUCUCUAGAUUUCUUCACUGGCAAAUCUAAAAAUGACUUAGAAGCACCUCUUUUGAAUGGCUCUUUACUUUUUCGAUCCCGCUGCAUUUUUCUGUUGUAUACUUCUUCGAGCUUUUGAGCACGGUCUGACAGAACAACGAACUCUCGUAUUUCAUUACCCCCAAUCAUCAUUCUAAUUUCAUCAUUUAACCCUUCUUCAAACCUGAUACACAUUUCUUCUUUAGUAGGUACAAUGUCUCGGGCAUAUUUGCUGAGGUAAACAAAUUCUCUUUCGUAUUCAGCCACUGAUUUAUUUCCCUGGCGUAGGUCGAGAAAUUCCCUUUUAUUUUUAUCCAAAUACCGUCUGCCCACAUAUUUCUUCUUAAAUUCAUUUUGGAAAAAUUCCCAAUAAAUUUUCUCUGCUGGAACCACAGCCUCAAUCGUCUCCCACCAACUAUAAGCUUCUUCUUUCAAUAGGGACACAGCACAUCUCAAAUAAUCAUCUGGUGAGCAAACCAUUUCUUUAAAAAUUCUUAUCAAACUUUGUAACCAAUAUUCAGCUUUGACGGGAUCUUCAUUAGUCCUUCCUGAAAUUCUUCGGCUCCAAGUUUUUUAAGCUUUUCCAAUAGAGAACGCUUACUAGAUUCAGUCGUUGUAGGAGGUGGAGGAGUAACCGGGGGUACCAUCGAUGGAGCAGUAGGGGGAGGAGGUGGUUCAGCAUGAUUUCUUUCUUGCCUCAUUUCAAUAUACCACUGAUUCAUAAUCUCAUAAAUCAUAUUCUUUAAUUCUUGCUCUCGCAUUUGGGAGAUCGGAACAUCACUGCUUGUUCUUUGUUCAGAAUUAUGUAUUCUACUAUUAACUUAUUCUUACUUAGUUCGUUCAGGUAUAUCUGACAUCUUUAUAACUGGAGAAUAUCUAUAAAAAUAACAAAGAUUAGAUCGGAUCAUACGCAUCACACUAUCACAGAUUUAUAUGGCAUGUAUUUCUAAACACUUUACACUUCACACAUAUUCCGAGAACCGGCUAAACCGGGAUCUGAUACCAAUAAAAUAUAACACCCUUUACCCAAGACCGUUGCCCGAGUCGAGCAUGAGGCGUUACUUGACUUAACUUAAAAGUUCAGGGCAUAAAAAUUUACUUUCAAAAUUAAUUUCACCAUUCACAAUAAAGCUGUCCACCUGCGCAGGAGUCACUAAAUCAAUUAUAACUCAAGCUACGAAACUCAAAAUUUAGAUCCGUAAAUUUUCCCUAAAACUAGACUCAUAUAAAUAUUCACCAUAAAUUUUUAAGAAUUUUUAGUUUAUCCAAUUAGUAUAGUUUAUUAGUUUAAGUCUCCCUUGUUUCACUAAUAGACUACCCUGACCUCUCGUCACUAAAAUUCAAUUAUCUCCUUAUACAGACUUGACAUGGUGCUUCCAAUUAUUUUUACUUAAAAUAUACUCAUUAAGGAAUUUAAAAAUAUAAUUUAUAACUCAUAAUUACUUUUUUACAAUUUUUAUUGAAUUUCUAAAUUCAGAACAGGGGACUUCAAAAUCAUUCUGACCCUGUCUCACUAAAAUUCAAAUAUCUAAAAGUAUAUAACUCUUUUGCUUACUCUAUUGCUUUCAUGUGAAAGUAUACUCAUUCAGAUUUAAUUUCAUAUCUCACUUAACUUAUAAUUCUAUUUCCACUAUUUUUGGUGAUUUUUCACAGUUACAUCAAUGCUGCUGUCCAAAAACUGUUCCAUUGAAAUUUUUAAAAAAAAUUCAAUAUAACCCCUUUAUAAUUAUCUAACCUUCCCUGCAAAUUUCAAAUCACAACCAAUUUCAGUAUUUCACCUACUUCACUUAAAUACUAAUGAAGUUCAACCAAUCAACCAUUUCAAACUAAAAACAUGUAUAGUUCAAUGUCUAACACAACCAUCAUAUUCAAAUUUACUUUGCAUACUUAGUCAUUCAUUCUAUUACUUUUUACUUCAAUUCCCUAUACAUGCCAUAUAAAUCCAAAAAGUUGUUUAACAAAAUCUACCAGAGUAAAUCUAGAUAGUGUGAUUCUUGGUGUAGAUCCGAUCCUCCGAAUGUAUAAAUACGUCAAUCUACAAGAAUCAAUAAACACAUAAUUAAGCUUAUAGAAAGCUUAGUAAGUUCAUAGGCACCAAACAUAAAUCUUACCAAACAUUUAUACACUUAUACAUUAUACACCAUUACUAAGUUUACCUGUCAACCACAAUCUUUGGUGAGUUCCUUGUUAUAAACUCACUACUACUUAUUCUUUUACCAUAAUUCCUUUGGGCCCAUUUGUCACUUACCAUCCUUGAUCAAAAUUAAGGAACGGUUACGGAAAAUUGAGUACUUCACUUUCACUUUGCCAUAGUAUAACUAUGGUCUUACAUAUGAUCACUUAUCACUUGUCCUUGAUAAGAUAAGUGUAGCUAGGCUACCACUUAUCACUUUGUCACUUGAUCAGAUAAUUGUAGCUAAAGCUACCACUUAUCACUUUAUCACCACUUAUCACUUGUUCCUGAUCAGAUAAGUGUAGCUAAAACUACCACUUAUCACUUUGUCACCACUUAUCACUUGUUCCUGAUCAGAUAAGUGUAGCUAAAGCUACCACUUAUCACUUUGUCACUUGAUCAGAUAAGUGUAGCUAAGCUAUCACUUAUCACUUUGUCACUUGAUCAGAAGUACUCAAAUUCGGUGUUCCGCUCAAUUUGAUCAUUUAUUCAGUUUUCACAUUUUUAUUUUAUUCUCAUUUCAUCAAUAAAUAUAUAUAUUUCAGCAUACAUUAUAUAAUUCAUGAAAUUAACAUUUAAUCAUUAAAUUUCAGCCAUAUGAACUUACCUGGGUCGAUUUAUUGAAUUUGUAAAAGUUCAGGGACUAAUCAGCUACUUUUUCUUUUCCUCGACUUGUUUCGGGUUCUCAAUAUGAUUCAAAUAUAUGAAAAACCAGCUUGGAUGGACUCUUCAAUGGCGUUUUUUGCUGAGAAAUAUGAUGAAUUGCCUAGAAACUCUUUUAGUUAAGAUUUUUAUUUGUUAACUUUUACAAAAUUUCCAAUUUUGCCCUUAUUACAUCACUUUUUCAGAUUUUUCUUCUCUUAUGCCGUCUCAACUAUUCCAUAUUAGCAUAUUUAUGCCUUAAGUCCCUCCUUAUUUGCCACUUAAGCUGUUUAAUCACUUUUAACAAAUUUUACAUUAUUUUCAGUUUAGUCCUUUUUAAUUAAUUAACCACCCAAACGUUAGAAUUUUCUAACGAAACUUUAAUAUCAAUUCAAUGACACUCUAUAAAUGUUUCUAAAAAUAUUUAUGGCUCGAUUGAUGAGUUUGAGGUUUCGAUACCUCAUUUUUUAUUCUAAUUAUUUUAAUAUUUAUUCUUAGUAUACUAUUCACUAUUUUAAAAAUUUUCCUAACUUCGCAUUUAACUUAUACUCACUAAAUUAAUAAUAUUUUCUACUCAUUUGUCAGAUUUAGUGAUCUAGAAUUACCAUUCCGACACCACCGAAAAUUCAGGCCAUUACAUUAUGUUUAUUGACUCAUUUUUUCUGUUGACUGAAUUUCAGGUAACUCAUCGACUUAGGCGGGUCGGCAUGGCGAGAGCUCGGUCAUCCUUAUUUAGUAAUUUUCUGUUUAAAUUAAACUUAUGCUAUAGUUGUUUUAUCUUGAAUUACAGAUUGCAAAUUUAUAUUUCUACACUAGUUCAACUAUUUAAACAUUUUCUGACAAUUAAACUUUAAUUAGUUAAAAGUGAGAAUUUCUUAAAUGAUUUGUUGUAGCUUUCCAAGCUUGGUCCUAACAUCUAGGUCGGGUUUGGGGUGUUACAACCCAAAACCCCCAAACUUUCCCCUCAAAACUUUUACUCCCCCACCCUUUCUCUUUCUCGCUCACCCUCCCAAACCCUUUUACUUUUCCCCCAAAACUUUUACUUCCCACUUUUACCCCCAAAUCAAAAAUCAAAAUCCUCCCAAAAAAAUCCUUAAACCUAAAUAGUAAUAAUUUUAUUUAUGGCCACUAUUUAUAUUAUAAAUUAAAUUUCACAUUUUCUAUUAUUUAUAUUAUUAAAUUGUUUAAUCAUUUUGAAUCUUUAUCAAUUUCUGUUAAAACUGUAUCAUUGAUGAUGUCAUACAUUAUUUGUGUUAAAAAUUUCUAUUGGUAUCAAUUUCACAUUUUAUCUUUAAAAUAAAUUUUAUUAAAAAAAUUACUUUUUUACAUUUAAUAUAUUUUUUAAUUUCAAAAUAUAUGGUGACAAGAAUUAGAAGAUAAUUGAAGCAACUAAGCAAGUAAAAAAGCUAACAUGUAUAUAAAAGAUUAAAUAAAUUAUGAAGGGAUGAAAGUUAAUAACACAUUUGAUUACGGUGGACAAAUUUGAUAAUGAUGGGUGACAGUGGCUACAAGGAUCCAAAGUAAUUUUUUCAAUUAACUGGAAACAAAUAUAUUCGAUUCGAUUCGAUAAAAUUUGAAAUCAUUUUAGGAUGAUAAAAUAAGAUUCGUCAACUCGAUUAACUCGAAGUUUUUUCAUUUGAUUCGAUUAGACGCUCACCCCUACAAAGUAUGACCGAUUGGUCUGAUUCUGAAAAAAAUUGGUUUUGAUCAAUGAAAGAACUUUUACGAUGGCGACAGGUCUAACAAACAGGUGAUAUUUUGAAAAGAAAAUUAAUCUCCAUAGUCUCAACCUUAGGAGGGUGAAUUUUGAGCAUUGCAUUUGUUGUCAUUGUUAGACAUUAUAAAGGAAGAAAAAAGAAAGAAAAAAGUUAAAAUGAGGGAAAUUAUUGAAAAAAAGAGAGAAGAGAAUAAUUAAUUUUUUUUAAAAUUUUACAUGUCAAUCUAUUAUUGAUUAGAUUUUUUUAAUGAGUGUAACAUUUUGGUGUUAAAUGGAUAAUAAAAAAAUAUUUUAAGUAUCAUUUAUGAUAAAAAUAUUUAGGUAUCAAUUUGAAAAAAAUAUGUAGCUUAGAUACUAAUUGAUGGGUUAAUUUUUUUAGCUUAAUAAUUUGAUUAAACCGAAAUACCAACUGAAAAAAAGUUUACUCGCCGCUUAUGAAAAAAAAUAAGUAUGAAUUUGUAAGUUAAAUCUCCCUAAAAGAAAAAAUAUAUCACAUUCAAUACGGGGUGAAUGAAGCAAUGAAUGCAAUGGGGUAUUACAACCAGCCACAUGUCAUUCAAUUCAUGUUAUAUCUACCUUGUUGGCCCCACAGGCGGUCUUUUCCAUUAUUUUCGAAGUGAACGACAUGAGUCGGACCUAUAUCGGCCCCAACAAACAACCUCAACCACUUGUUUUGUUAGGUUGUUGACUAAUUUGAAUAUGUCGGCUCAAAGCUUUUUGAAAAUUAAAUUAUUUUUUAUAUUAAUAUCAUAUAGGUAUAAAAAUUUAACGUUUUGUAAAAAAAAUAAAUUUAGUGUUAAAUUUAAAUAAUUAUAAAAAAUUAUACAAAAUACAAAGACAACUUAGAGUCAAUAAAAAAAAUAUGGAAAAUCAAUUCAUACAUGAAAUGGCAUAAAAAUAUUAUGAACACUAUACAAAUAUAUGAAUGUUUUUAUAUCUAUAUAAAAUAAGUUAUUAACGCUUAAAUUUCAACCAAUUAAAUAUUAAUUUAACUAUAAACUAUAAAAAAUUAAAAUUUCAUUUACCCUAAACAAUUAUUCUAAUUUCGCCCCUGUAUAAAAUAGUUGUAAUAUUAAAAAAAAAGUUAUACGAAUAUGGAGUGUUAAAAAAAAAGGCUUUCAACUUUUAAUAUUCCAAACAAAUAAAAGAAAUAAUAAUAACAGUUUACAAGUGCAAUAAAAGUAAUACAUAUUUGAUGAAUUAAAAAUAGAAUAAAUAUAACUAACUAUAACAGAAAUAUAUUUAGAUUUAAACCAAAUUUUUUUGAAGAUGAAAUUUGAACUCACAAAUAAUAUUUAUAAAUGAUGAUAUGUUUUAGAACAUGUAUAUUUUAAUUUCAUUUGAUAUUUAAAUUAAAUGAAUGAAAUGAGUAUAUUAGCAUAAAUAUAUUGAAUUUCUAGAUUUAUUAAAAAUCCAACUAAAUAGAGUAGAUCCAUAAAUUUAAAAAAUGAUUAUGGAUUUUGAAAUAUAAAUCUAAAAUUUAAAAUCUGAAACCCUCCUAAAUGUUUUCCAAAGUAAGGCGGGGAUAAAUGGUAUAGGGAAGACGGUGGGUAGAUAGAUGUACGGUUUAUUUAUAACUUCGUUUUUAUUAGUCGGCUUACAGUUUCAUAAAAAGCAUCCGUGCAAGGCAUGUUCAAAUGCUGCACUAGCAUACCACUACUAUAAAAAAAACACAUACAAGAGCACCACAAAUUUAUCCCAAAAUACAUUAAAUAAAUGACUCCUAAGGGUGCCAGAUUUAACUAGUGUGUCUGGGAUUGUAUUAGCCUCUCUGAGGCCAUGUGAAAAAAUUUAAUGUUAUUGUUAUAUUUCCAUCUCGAUACGUUGCAAGACAUGAAGCAAUCUGUAAACAACUCUCUUUUGGAAGCAGUUUGCAUACGACUCUUCGCUAAGAACCAUUUGUUGUGAUCUUUCGCUUAGGAUUGCUCACAAAUGACCCCCAUGCACCCUAUCUCUCUCCCUCCUUAACUCAUCAUCUUGAACUCUCAUCCUAUUAUAGGUGAAUCGAGACUCUUCUCCUCCACCCUUUCCUCGUUGGUUACUUGUAGCAAAAAAAAUUAAUUUCACCGAAAAUGUUGGAGAGAUCCCAUGGUCUAAGUGUGUUGUUAGAGCAAAGCUCGAUGGCAAAUUUGGAGUCAAAUUUUAGAAUCAACCCUUUAAAAUCCAUUACACCGUAAAGGAAAAUUUUUACAAUUACAUUAACAAUAAAUAUUCAAAAUUUACUCAUCUAUCUAUACUUAUAUUAAGCCUUAUUUGAGUUGGAGUCAAGAGUCAACUAGGUACUAACUCAGUUGAGAAUUUACUAAAUAAUUUUAAUAUAAAGUAAAAAAAAUAUUAAUACGAGGGUGUUUUUAUCUUUUCAUAUUUUUAAAUAAAAAUACUAUAAUAAGAUUUAAACUUAAGUUUAAAAUUUCAAUCAAAACAUCACUUAAAUUUAAAAUAACAUUUUUAUAUAAAAUGUGUUUAGAUUCUAAGAUAAUGAAAUUUAUGAUGAGGUAUUCAAAAUGUGUUUGAAUAUGCUAAUGAGAUAUUCAAAUUGGUAUGCACAUUCCUAAUCAGGGAGCAUUAAUGAUAAUUUAGUAAAAUAAAUUAUCUCAUUAGCAUAUAGUUUAUUAUAAAAUUAUUGUGUAAAAUAAACAAUUCACAAACUUAAGAAUUUAUAACACAAAAAUUAUACAUCAAUGUUGUUAGAAUUGUAUUAUAUCCAUCGGUUGAAUUUAAAUUUAAAAAUUUAAUCAGCGAUAAUAAUUAAAAUCGUUUCAAACUAGUAAAAUAUUGAAAAUUAAGAACUAAUAAAAUAGAUUCUAAUUAUUUUUAUUUAAAAAAUGUUACCUUCUUAUUCAGGUUACAUUAAGACAAACCCAUCUUAAUUAUAAGUAUCAUAUUGUGAAUGGUAAACUUCUUACACAACAUCCACCAUUUGUCCAAAUAUGUUAAAUUAGGUGCAACAUAGAAAUUUUAUUGUAAGGAGUGAAUCUCAUUGUUUUUAUUUUCAUCAAACAUACGUCUAACUUUAUUAUUACGGGAUUAGAACUUAAAUUUGAUAAAUUGUGUGGUUUUAGGUGAUUUCUUUUCGUUAAAUUUAUCUAAAUCAACCUAACACUCGAAAAGUGAGAAUUCUCCUAAAAAUUCUUUAUGUUAGCAAAAAAUAUAGUGGAAGUAACUUGAAACGAAAGAGCAAUGAGAGAAUUGAAAAGACACAAGAAAAUAAUGCAUACAAGGUGUUUGAGUAAAUGCUCUCAAUAAAUUCUUUAACUCAAGAAGGAAUGAAGUACAACCAGUAUCUAGCCCCCCUAAAAUAGAAAAUUUUCCAUUUAUAUACCUUUAUAAUUUAUAAAAUUUAAAAUUUUACUUUCCCAUAAAAUGAUAAAAAAUUGAUUUAUUUCUUUAAAAAUUAUAAAGAUGACUAUUAAAAUAGUAAAAUUGUAUUUUUAUUAUUGUAAAAAUAUACAAUUUAAUUCUGUCUCCCAAAUUUUUUUUUUUUGGUUUCAUCCCUAAGUACAAUGAUCGUUGUAGCAGGAUACAUAGGCAUUCUAGCACAGAAUGCAAAUAUGUUGCCAAUUAACUUCGAGUCAUGGCAUAAAGUGCCCGAGAGUAACAAGAACCAAGCUCUCGAUAACAUUAAGGUAACAAAAUGUGUAUAUCAUUUAUAAUACUUGAGUUUAAGUUUCGUUUACAUUUACUUUCUGAAGUUGUGUUUUUUGUAGGGGAGAUUUGCUCUAGAGGUCUCCGAUGCUUAUGUAAAGAAGGCAUUGGGAAAAAGAUGGAGAGACCAUAAGAGCACUUUAAAGAAAGACUAUUUUAAGACAAAAACAACACUCGACGAGAGAUUACAAAAUGUCACGCCGGGAAUGCUGAGGUACCAGUGGGAAGAAGUCGUUAGAUUUUGGACUUCGAAGAAAGGAGAGGUAUGUGUUACUACAAAAAUCUUGUAAUUAUUUUGGUUUAUAGUAUUUACUAAUUAACGUACUAAUAAUUUCAUAACGUAGGAUCGUGAACGAGUUGGAACAAGUAGUAGGCAGAAACAAAAAUUCACGCACACAGCUGGGUCGAGAAGUUUUGCGUGUGUAGCUCAGGCCGAGGUAUUUUGAAUUUUUUAAUACUGGCAGAUAUUUAUUACUUUCUAUCAAAUAAUAUUUUUACUAUUGUAUUGUAGGAAGUGUUGUCGGGUCAAAAAGUUGGACGCCUUCAACUUUUUGACAUUACACAUAGGAAGAAAGAUGGAAACCCUAUGACUCCUGAAGCUGCAGAAAUUAUGGUACGUUUGCUUAAUACAAUUUGACUUGUUUUAAUUAUUUAUGCUGUUUAUUUUCUAAUGUUUUUUAUUACAUUUCUUGUAAUGCAAAUAUUGUUAAGUUAUGUUGCAUUUGUUUUGUUAAUAUAUGUUGCGUUCUUAACUAUGUGAUUUAUUUUUUAGGAAAAACUGAAGGAUAAAAAGGCGGAGUACGAAGCGAUUGCUUCCAGUGAUAGUUCUGUUCAUAUUGACGACAUUGAUAACCGGAUUAUCACUGAAGUUUUGGGUCCUGAAAGGUAUGGUCGGGUUCGAUUUCAAGGAUCUUUUGUUAACCCAUCCCAAUAUUUUGGAUCCAGCUCGCAACAAUACAUGCAUUCGGGGAGUCAGGCUCAAGCUGAAGUUCAGAGGUUAAGAGACCAGAUAGCUCAGAUGCAAGCGGCAACGAGUGAGCAAAUUACACAACUUAAAGCGGAGGCAACAUCGAGAGAAGCUGAGGUUCAAAAAAGAUAUGAAGAACUCCAGCUACAACUUAAAGCAGAUGCGGCAGCGAGAGAAGCAGAGGUAGCAGCGAGAGAAGCUGAGGUUCAACGAAAGUAUGAGCAACUGCAGCAGCAGCUUAAAGAAGAUGCGGCAACGAGAGAAGCAGCGGCUGCAGCGAGGGAAGUAGAGGCUGCAGUGAGGGAAUCAGAACAGCAUAAAAAGUUCGAUGAACUCCAGCAGCAGCUUCAGAAUAUGAUGAAGAUGUUUCAGCAGUCGCAACCGCCGUCAUCUUAGACUAUCGUUUAAAUAUACUUCAAUUUUGACUUUGGUAUUAUUAUUUUAACUUUUACAAUUUCUGUCAGAAUAAUACGAAUUUUAUUUUAUUUAUUGACAUUUAUUUUAAAUAUUAUAUAGAUUUGGUUAGAUUUGGUUGGUUGGAUUUGGUUUCUUCUGAUUUGUUUUUAUAGGAGGGGGCUGAAAUUUUUUUUUUCAAAUCUGCAAAAAUUAGCGGCGUUUUUUUGGAUAAGCGCCGCUAAAGACCAUCGUCUAUAGUGGAAUUUUUUGGCUAAGCGCCGCUAAAGACCAUGGUCUAUAGUGGCAUUUUUCGGCUAAGCACCGCUAAAGACCAUGGUCUAUAGUGGCGUUUUUUGUCUAAGCGCCGCUAAAGACCAUGGUGUAUAGUGGCAUUUUAUGGCUAAGCGCCGCUAAAGACCAUGGUGUAUAGUGGCGUUUUUUGGCUAAGCGCCGCUAAAGACCAUGGUCUAUAGUGGCGUUUUUUGUCUAAGCCCCGCUGAAAACCAUGGUCUAUAGUGGCGUUUUUUGGCUAAGCGUCGCUAAAGACCAUGGUCUAUAGUGGCGUUUUGUGGCUAAGCGCCGCUAAAGACCAUGAUCUAUAGUGGCAUUUUUCGGCUAAGCGCCGCUAAAGACCAUGGUCUAUAGUGGUGUUUUUUAGGCUAAGCGCCGCUAAAGACCAUGGUCUAUAGCGGCGUUGCAAAGAAAACGCCGCUAAAGACCAUGGUCUAUAGUGGCGUUUUUUAGGCUAAGCGCCGCUAAAGACCAUGGUCUAUAGCGGCGUUGCAAAGAAAAUGCUGCGAAAGGUCUUGAUCUUUAGCGGUGUUUAUUAUAAAAAGCGCCGCUAAAGUUACCGACGCUGUCAUUAGCGGCGAUCCUUGCGGCGCUUCGUAAAGCGCCGCUAAAAGUAUUUGCGGCGCUAAAAAAUGCCGCUAUAGACCUAAAAAAGCGCCGCUAAAACCCUGUUUUGGUGUAGUGUGAGAUGAUUACAAAUGAAGGGGGAGAUCUCUAUUUAUAGUUGAGCUCCCCUAGAUCCAAUAGUAUAGAUUGAAUUACAUCAACGAUUGAGAUUAGUACUUAUCUACAAGAUGAGUCUUAAGGAUUUUAAACUCUAUACAUCUUUAUCCCUUAGGAUUUACAUUAAUUACUCUGGUAACUCUAGUUUUACUGGAGAGUUUCACUGAACCACCAAAGGUUUAAGUAGAUGAGCUUCUCCAUAUGUUCCACGAGUUGGACAAGUUCAAGCGGAUCAAAUGAGCCCAAUUUAAUUAGUUAAUCUCAAUAAAACGUUCUAUGCACAAUGAUCAUGAACUUUGAUCCACAUCUCAAAAUGAUCAGAUGAAUAAUCUCUCUUAAUUAUAUUUUUAUAAAACUUGAUAUUUUCAUUUAAAAAGAAACACAAUCACAUAUAAUAAUGUCUCCAAAAGAGUCGUCCACUUCAAAGAUUUAAAGUAAUGUAAGAAUGAACCCAACAUUUUUCAAUUAAAAAUAUGUCGAUAGAUAUAGCAAGUUGUAUAACCUUUCAAUUACAAAACAGAUUUCAAUGGGGAUUGCAUCCGGUACAUGCAACUAAAGAACAGAACCGGUGCAUAAAUUGAUUUAAUUAAACUUUGGGUUGAGUAAUCAUGAUUUUCAUUAUUAUUAGACUACGUGAAUGUUGAUAUAAAAUGCUUGAGAGAAGGGUAUAGAAGAAACACAAAAUAAUGAGUGAUAUUAAUUUGUAGAUAAAGAUAAUAUUACAUAGUCGCAAAAAGCGACCUAGUACACAACGCACAACUCUAAAUUAGGAUAACUCCUCUGCUAUCCCUAUGGAUGGAUUUUAACAUCCAUAUUUAUUCUGUAGCUAUCGUUAUUUUGGCUUCCACUAGCUGGUGAACUUUCCAUGCCAAAACUUCACUUAACCCUGCAAAUGAAACAACAAAAAACACAACAUUAAAUGUUGAGCAAUUAAUAAGCAUAAGCAAUGAAACAACUCAUACGAACCUGCUGCAGUCAGUGCUAGGGCUGAUCUUGUAAGGGAUGUUGACACCGCACUUGCCUGGGAGUCCGCUUGCAAUACCAUAGUUGAUGCCAGGAAUGCCGGCGGCCGCACUUUUGAUGCAUUUGCAAGCUGCUUGCCGGUCUGGUGUUGUUUGGGCGGCGGAGUUGAGAGAUUUGAUGCCGCUGCAGCAACCUUGGGGAACGGCACCAGCACCAUUCCCUCUCAAGUAAUUAAUGCAGGGUGCGAGGGAGCCUGUGACUUGACCACAGGUUACGGUCCCUUGAGCCAGGGGUGCACCCACCACCAUGCACAACACCACCACACAUGCAAGCUUAAGGGACAUUGAGCUAGCCAUAUCGAUUAAUUACAAGAAAAACAAACUUGUAAGGAAAAUGCUUGCUUGGAGUAGUAGUAGUAUUGCUGAUUGUUGCGUGGUUAGGGCCCGAGGGUAGGAGGGUUUUUAUAGCCAAAAGUUUUGUGAAGGGAUAUGGAACGAACUGAGAAACACGUACGAAUAGAAUAUGGUUAGGCGUUGGUAGUUGUCCCAAUUCAAUGCCAAGGUUUCUUUUUUUCUUUUUCAUGUUUCAGCUUAUGGUUGAGUGUGUUUAAUGCUUUGAAAAAGGUUUGUAUCUACCACUUUCAUCUUCAUCACUAAUGCUGAAUUACUCCGUUGAUUAAUGCAUCAUAUUAGCCUUGUCCUAGUGUUACCGGUUUUCUGAUAUUAGUAGCUUUACCAAUAAAAGAUGCUAUCAAAUAUAGUUUUCAGGAUGAUAUUAAAAAUUAAGGUUUUUUAGUUACAAAUAAAAUUGUCACAUUAUCAAAUUUUAAAGAUAUGAAAUUAUUAUUAUAAACUCAUCUAUAGAGAAAUUAUUUUAUGAGCCCUUUCCACCACAUUAUUCACAGUCCAUUUUCAAUUAUUUAAUAAUAUUUCAACAAUAUUUUUCAUGUCAUUGACACAUAAUUUUAAUAAAUUUUUUACCCUGAACCUUGAGUCUAGAAUCCCAAACCCUAAAUAAAAAACUUAAAACCCCAAACUAUAACCCCAAACACUUGCAUCAUAAACUCGAACCGCGAACCUCAAACUCAUAAUCUGUAACCUUGAACCCAAACUUGUAAUCUCGAACCCUUGAACCCUUGAACCCUGAACCUAAACCUUGAACCCUGAACUCAAAGCCCAAAACCAAAACUGAACCCUGAACCUUAAAUCUCAAACCCAAACCUUAAACCUCGAGGUUUGGGUUCAAGGUUCAAGGUUCAGGGUUUGAGUUCAAGGUUCGAGGUUUAGGAUAAAAUAAUUACCAAAAUUUGUAACAGAAUAAAAGAGUUCGUUUAUAAUUUAAAAAGCAAUUAUUUUAAGUAAUUUAAUUAAAGUGAAAUUAAGUUAGAGAAAAUAUUAGAUAUAGAUGAGUGUAUAAUAAUACUUUAUUGUCUUUAAAAUUUAAUGACGUGGUACUAUUUUAUUGGUGCCUCAAACUAUACUUUUUAGAAUAAUCCUAAUACAAUUUAUUCCCAUAUUAAAUACGUAUGCUUUCUAUAUUUUUUCGAAAAAAUAAAUUUUAUUCAUAAACUUUCUAUAUAUAAAUAUAUGUUUUAUUUAAAAUUUAUAAAUACAGAAAAAUUAAAAUAUAAAUAUAUGUCAAAGUAGCUAUUAAGUGUAGAAUUAAACAAUUAUAACAUAUAAAUAGAUUAAAAAUUAGGACAAAAAAUCAAUCUAUUACAUAAAAUAUAAAUUAUGAAUGAAAACAAUCUAAAUUAUAGUCUGGCUAAUCAAACUAAAACUUACAUAUAACCAUAUGACUUUAAGGGUCUUGAAUAUGGUUACUUAAAAGCUUAUAGUUCAGCUUUUACCCACUACGUCAAGGCUUCAUUUACGUUUUUUUUAACCAUAUAUUUUUCAUAUAAUUAUAUAUAUAUAUUUUGCAUAAAAAAUCCCCAAGACGUUAAUUACUUCUAUAUAAUGUAGCGAUUAAGUCCUCAAACAAAAAUUGCUCAACAUCAAUGCAUGUAUAGAUCAAUUUUAUAUAUCAAAGACCAAUACUAUCUUUUUCUUAAAAAAAAAAAAAAACCAAUAUGUUGUGAUUGCUUAGCUAUUGUUCCUAAGUCUUCCUGAAAAAGGUUUCACAGCGAGAGGAGAAAAAAAAAAGUUGAACUUGUCUUGGUUUGCCCCAUAAUGAUUGAAGCAUAGACAAGAUUAUAAAUGUUAAUUUAGUAUACGACAUAAUAAUAUAAUAUAAUAUAUUUAAAUGUAUAUCUCCUCACCUCCUAGACGCUGUCAGUUAUUUUAUUUUUUGGGAUUCUUUUAACAAAAGGUUGAGCUUUUUAUUAGGUUUUAUUUGAUUUUUCAUUUAUUAAUAUAAUUUUUUUAUUUUUAUAUAUUUUAGUUAUUAUUAAUUUUUGUUGGAAAUUUGUACGGUCUUGUUCUAACAACAAUUACAACAAGCUUUUUGGAACAAUCAAAAGUUUUGGGUGUUGGCAUGUUUGACUUUUAAUGGCUUAUGUUUUAAUAUUAGUUAACAACAAAUGAUAAGAGAAUUUCAUGGUAAAUUAGAAUAUAAUUAUCAUCCAUUUGAUUAGUCUUGAAGAGGAAGGAGAGGAGUUUUAACUUUGGUGGACACCCAUCCUUAUCCUUGUCUUUUAGAGUGUUUGAAGCUAUUGGAGAACUUGGUUUUAAAGAUUUUAUUUGAUAAAUAUUCAAAAUAAUUAAUUUGAUAAUUUCAACUUUUAAAGGAGAGUUUAAAACUUAUCAAAAUAUUAUUUGAUAAACACUUGUAGAGGCGUAUAAAUAGGCAACAGUGUGGUGUAACUUUGUUUGUUGUUUUGGAGUGUCUUAAACUUUUAUUUUUUUGCUAUUCCAUUGGGUAACUUUAUGACACUCUCUUUUUAGGUAUUAUUUGGAGAUGUUUAGUAAUUGUAUUGUGAGGAAUUUGAGUGAGUGAUUGCAUUGAAGAAAUGCGACCUAAAUGUAUAUGUUAAACUCUUAUCUAGGACAUAAAUUCCAUGAACAAGGUACCCAUGUUAAUAACAUGUCACCACUUCGCAUCUUUAUGGUAUUGACCCUAUGUAGUUAGACCCUAUAUGACGUAAACAACACUUAUAGUGUGCACGAUAUCGUAGGCUUGAACGUUGAUUGAAUGCAACCUAUAUUUUGGUGCCUUUGUCGGAAAUGAUGUAUGCAUCGGGUUGCGGUACAAAUGCCUUCUCAGGUUAGUUAAGAAGAAAUCCCAUUCAUCAUUGGAUUCUUCAGGAGUUAUUACAAAAGCUAUUGGCAGGAUUUUUAGGUUACCAUCUUAUGCAACAACUACUAACAACCGAUGGUCGCAUAUUCUAUACAGGAAUGUGCCGUUAAUUUGGAAAAGUGGCUUACAGUACCAAAAUGUAGUUCUGCAUUGCUUAAAAGUCCAAAAGCAACGGUGGAAAACUCCUUUUCCAGGGACCAAGCAAUCGUCAUAAUACGCAGGCUCCAUUUUUAACUUGGUUACAGAACCUAGUAUGUACCACUCUAGUAUCUAACACCAUUGCCACAAUUUAUAGUAGGAUUUCUCCCACCCUCUAUUCAUUUUCUCCAAUGCCUUCUAUUUUUGCAACUAUGUCUUAUGCUAGGACAUGGUGUAAUCGGAUUCUCUACAGAUGUGUGCGAUCAAAAUUGGGACCAGAAUCGUAGGACUUGCUUUUGCCAUGGGUAAUAGAAUUUUAGAUAUCAUGUCUAAAUCUAAUUUUGGAUGAUCAUUCGAUAUGCUUGAAAAACAAGAAAUCAAGUCACUAUGUGUAAUAGAAUGUAAAAAAAGGCUAGGAUUCGAGUCGAUGUUGUUAGCCAUAUUACAUACCAGCUACAACACAUGUAUGUGGCACGAUAAAUUUCCUACGUUUAAAAUGCCAACUUCUUCGUCAUAAAUGCCAUGAUUUUCCAUAGACAUCUUGUUGCACGCAUUGUGCGCAUCGCCUUAUAUUUCUCGGAUUGAGAGCAUGUAAUAGUGAAGUUGACACCAAGUUGUAUGCUAUACUACUUGAUUGUAGCUACAAAAGCAUAUUUGGAGUCAAAUUCCAUCCCAACCUCUAAGUGGUCGAAAUUUGUUGAUGAAGUCGCAUACCUUAGUCUUCUACGGGGGAGGUCUGGGAAUUCUAAAACCACUUUCACUAGUAAGACUGAGAGUACGCAUAUGGGGUGGGGGUUUGUAUUUCGUGAAACUUAGGUCAUCCCCUCGAGCGAUGUCUAAAGCUUGACCAUUAGAUCCAUCGUCUUCUAGUUCAGUAGGAAUGGGAUCUAGUUCUAAAAUUACUACAAUUUCGCACCAUCCAGUCCAACCACCUCUCCUGGGUCAUUAUCUGAUUUAGACCCCUCUUUGACCACUUUGUUCUCUUGUCCCUCUUUGUUAUCAACCCUGGUUGUAAGUCCAGGGUUGGAUGUACCCUCUCUGGUCAAAGUUGUCAAGAGUAGAUCAUUCAUUCUUGUAAAUCCGAUGUCAAUCCCAAAAUCAAUUCUGUUUGGCCUACCCAGUAACUUGAUGGUGUACCAUAUGAGUGUUAUCGAGGUUGAACAUAGGUGUGUCAAAGUUGAAACCAAAGGCACUGAUAGAAUGUUGUGCGGCUGUGUUGUAGGCCUGGUGACCGAAUACGUCUAACUAUCCCCCGAAGUUGAAAUCGAGGGAUGAAAUCGAUGAAUGCCUCACCAUUGAUGAUGUUAAUAAUGUGUCUUUGUAUAAGCUUUGUAGAAAUGAUCUGAAUCCACAACAAAACCGUGUGGCCAGACUUUUUGCUUCUUGAUUUGGCUAGAAAUUUGGCGGACACGGUAUAAUCGAGCUUGGGCCACCUUUUUCCUCUUCAGCAAAGACUGUAUAUUCUCACUAGAGUAAUGAGUUUCGAUCACUGUCUUCAAACCGUUGUCCCCUGUGAUCUGAAAAAUGGAAUAUCUAACGGGGUUAAAUGAUGUUAGAUAUCUACAUUUCAGGCUCAAAAUUCUUCUUCAGAUCCCUACUUUAUGCCUAAACCUUGUUCAAAGCUCUUUUAACGUUAUGCUCUAGUUGAAUGUCAGAUCUUUAGAUUGGGUUGAUACAAAAAUGGGCUCAAUUUCAGCCUCACAAUUUUGACCGUUGUAAUGGACAAUAGCUCUGGCUCGUCUCCUCAUCUUGAACCAAAUAUUCUAUUCCACAUGUUUAAAAUCGAGAAAAUUGUAAAAAUAUAGUUCUCAUCACCCAAAUCCCUAAAUUUACACUUACUUUAAUGAAAUACCUUUGCUUCGACAAUAUUGUCAGUAUAAAAUUUUUGUUUUUUACUACAACAUCGAUAACUCCUAAUGCCAACAAUCUGCUUCAAACAUCUGUAUGGAAAAUCCAAGAAUUAUAUUGAGUUUUUUUAUAGAGCCUUUUCCUCGACGCACAUGAAACGAUUCUAGCAACAACACAUGUCAAGGCAUUAGUUGUUUUUGAGGUAUACACUAAAAAUUAAAAUUUGUGGGGGAGAAAACGUUCCCCGCAACGAUGUUUUUCAGCACCUAGACAUAGCAUUGAAAUUUAUCCUAGGAAUCCCGGGUUGUAGGGGCUUAGAGGUUGAAGCAAUCAAGUUGGCUUGGGUAUUGAAAGACCAUAAAGAAAAUGCCUAUUGCAGGAAGCAUUUCCACCUGACUUGGCAAUCAAAAUGCCUCCUGCAGGACGCGUUUUCCAGCCACAUCUCUGAUAUGUUAGUCGAAAACGCAUCUUGCAAGAGGCGUUUGUACUGCCAUGUUAGGUAAAAACACUUCCUGCAGGGAACAUUUUCUUUAUGGCCAUUUCAACACCCAGGCCAACUUAAUUGCUUCUGCCUCUGAGCCCUUACAACACGGGAUUCUCGGGAUAAAAAAAUUUCCCUUUUUACCCCACCCCAUCCCUUAUAUAAAUGCAUGUUCUCAUCCCCUACUCACCCAUAUCUCAGUCUCCUUUAAAUUAUUUUUUUCUUUUUCUUCCGUGUUGAAAUUUUCAAGUUUAAAGAUUUAUUUCUCUCACACUUUGAGGGGGAUGUAAUCAUAGUUUUAAGUUGUGUUUGAGUUCACAAUAAUGUCGUGGCGCUUGAUAACUUACAAAUUUCACUUGUCGUGUGAGUAUGGAGCCAUCACUUGAGAAAUCGAGAUCGCUUUGCAACUCGAGGUCCAAGUUGACGGUGUAAAUAAGGCUUCAAGUUUACAAAGGUUAUGCUAUUAAAAGGAUGGAGCAAAACCGGGACUGUAGUUGAUGAUGGUGAUGCAAGCACAAGAACUAGUUUUUCCUCAUUGGAAGAGCAUACUUUAUAAAAUCCAUAUACAAGUACGAGGGAGAAAAUCACAGGGGUCUUCCAGUAUAAUCAAGUAAUUCAUUUUAUCCUUUUCCAGCAAAGGCAAUGACCCUGUUACUAAAACCUAUUACAUCCCAAUUCUAUCAUAGGUAAUAGUAACGGUGUCACUGUCUUUGGUGGAGAUGGAUAAAAAAAUUUACUUAAUUAUACUGAGAUACCAUUGCAUUUUUCUUCCUCGUACUUGUGUAUGAGUUUUAUAAAGCAUCAUUUUCUAAUGAAAAAAGUUUUUUGUCGUGCCCGCAUAACCAUUGUAAAUUACAGCUCCAAUCAUACUCCGUCCUUUGAUAGCGUAACAUUUUGUAAACUUGAAGCUCUAGUUACACUUCAAUUUCAGACCGUAUAAUCACCCUUAACUGGGACCAUGAGUUGCAAUGCGAUCUGGCUUCUCGGGUGAUGGCUCCAUACUCACAUGACAAAUGAAAUUUGUAGGUCACCUAACUCCACGACACCACCAUAAAUUCAAACAUUCCUUAAAACUAUAACAGUGUCUAUCUCAAACAAGAAUGAAAAUAAAUGUUCAAACUUCUAAUUUCAAAUUGCAAGAAAAAAAAAAGAAAAAAAUAAAUUUUAGCAAAGUAAAAAUGGGUCCUACCGGCACAUUUUCAUUGCCACAUCAAUGAAAAUACACCUCGUACGACACGUUAUUCUUUCUUCGUAAACAAUGUAAAUCAAUAAAUUUAAAAAAAAAUUAUACAUUCUCAAAUAACUCUUUUUUUCAGCAUUUUUGUUAAAUUUAUCCCAUAAUACUGCUACUUCUUGUUUCCUGGGUUAUUUUUAUUACUGCUGGUUGUACCACCCUCCUACUGUGCGCCGGUUAUAGCAACUCACUCAAGAUUCUAAAUACUAAUAUAAACACCAUUUCUUUUAUUCUUAGUUUUUUUAGUGAUUAACGUGGUUUUAAUUAUCGUUAGAUCACGUGGGUGUUUAUAUGAAAUGCUUGAAAUCGUCACGCAGGACAAAAAAAAAAAAGAAAAAGAAAAGGAAAUGAAGAGUAUAUAUAUAGAGGAAACAACUAGUGAGAGUGAUAUUAAUAUUUAGAGUAGGUAAAGAUAGUAUUAUAUAGUCGCAUAUGCGACCUUGUACAUUACCACUAACUCUAAAACUAGGAUAACUCCAACAAUGAAUAGUACCGCUAUGGAUUUUUAACAUUCAUUUUUAUUCUGUCGACAUCACUAUUUCCCUUCCAUUAGCUGAUCCCAACUUCCAUGACCACACUUCACUUAAUGCUGCAAAUGCAACCACACCAAACAAAACAUUCAUAAAUUAAUAAAUCAAUUGCCAUAAGCGAUAAACUUUGGGUCAUUUUCUUUUUCCGUAAUUUCAAAGAAACCUAGUUUAAAUUAGAUACGAACCUUUUGCAGUCAGUGGAAGGGCUGAUCUUGUAAGGGAUGUUGAUACCGCACUUGCCUGGGAGUCCGGCUGCAGUGCUAUAGUUGAUGCCAGAAAUGCCGGUGGCCGCACUUUUGAUGCAGCUGCAAGCUGCUUGCCGGUCUGGUGUUGUUUUGGCGGCAGAGUUGAGAGAUCUGAUGCCGUUGCAGCAAGCUGGGGGAGCAGAACCAGCACCAUUCCCUUUCAAGUAAGCAAUGCAGGGUGCGAGGGCGCUUGUGAUUUGACCACAACUUAUGGCCCCUUGAGCCAGGGGUGCACCCACCACCAUGCAAAACACCACCACACAUGUAAGCUUAAGGGACAUUGAGCUAGCCAUAUCAAUUAGUCACAAGAAAACAAACUUGUAAGGAAAAUGCUCGCUUGGAGUAG
RNAcentral lists this long non-coding RNA (101058 nucleotides) under Gossypium barbadense (sea-island cotton). RNAcentral's name for it is "long non-coding RNA (GBAR_LNC019854)". The record is from RNAcentral. Lineage: Eukaryota; Viridiplantae; Streptophyta; Magnoliopsida; Malvales; Malvaceae.